UGAGAACUAAGAAGGAGAAGCAAAUGGCUUCCUCAAUGAUCUCUUCCCCAGCUGUUACCACUGUCAACCGUGCCGGUGCCGGCAUGGUUGCUCCAUUCACUGGCCUCAAGUCCAUGGCUGGCUUCCCCACCAGAAAGACCAACAAUGACAUUACCUCCAUUGCUAGCAACGGUGGAAGAGUGCAAUGCAUGCAGGUAUGACAACUCCACACAUAUAAAUACACAAGAGGCACCAAAAUGAUUAUAAUUCAUGUUACAUAUUUAGGCAUGUACCAAAAUGUUACUUAAAUAAACAUGUUAGUCAUAGGUUGCUUAAAUUUUAGUCAUAGGAAAAUUUGCACAUGUGCUAGUUAAUCUGUUAACCCCUUUACUCAAUUUUCAUGCAAAUUAAUUACUAGGUGUGGCCACCAGUUGGCAAGAAGAAGUUUGAGACUCUUUCCUACCUGCCAGACCUUGAUGAUGCACAAUUGGCAAAGGAAGUAGAAUACCUUCUUAGGAAGGGAUGGAUUCCUUGCUUGGAAUUCGAGUUGGAGGUCAAUUUCUUGCAAACACUUUUGGUUUAAUCAUAGAUUUUCUUAUUCUUAGUUUGUUUCAACUUAUUUUCAAGAAAUAAUGGCUUCUCUUGCUAGUGUGCUAAAAGUACUUUUGGAAACAAAACAAAAAAUGGUUGUGUUCCAAAAUUUAAAUUUAUCUAACAGAUUUUUCUAUUUGAGAGUUAUCAAUAUGUAUCAAAUCUGUUCCUAUCUCUGACCAAAUUUUAUUCUUCCAAAACAAGCACUUGGUUUUGAGUUUUGAUGGUUGAUCUGUUUGUUUGCAGCACGGUUUCGUGUACCGUGAGCACAACAGGUCACCAGGAUACUACGAUGGACGCUACUGGACCAUGUGGAAGCUGCCUAUGUUUGGUUGCACUGAUGCUUCUCAGGUGUUGAAGGAGCUUCAAGAGGCUAAGACUGCAUACCCCAACGGCUUCAUCCGUAUCAUCGGAUUCGACAACGUUCGCCAAGUGCAGUGCAUCAGCUUCAUCGCCUACAAGCCCCCAGGCUUCUAAGUGUGAAAAAUUUGCAAAGCAUUUGUAGCCGCCACCCCACUUUGUUUGUUUGUACUUAAACUACAUUCCCAUUUGUUUUUGCUUUUUGAGAUUUCAUCAUCCUGUAUUUUUGGUUUCUGUUUUCGGACUUCAAUGGAAAUUAAUGGAUGAGAACUAAUGAAUAAGCUAUUGUGUUGUGUUGCUUUGUUUCAAAAUAACUUCAAUAACCCAUCGUCCUUGCAUUUCUCUCUACUGGGCUGAAAUUAAUCAUUUCUAAAUUUAAGUUAAUUAAUUGUGUCUCUAAAUGAUGGUUAACAGGGGAACUCUGUGUUAUUCAAGUGCACUGCUUAGUUUAGCUGAGCUUGGCCUUACUUUGUCACAAGUCACAAAUCUGAUGUAUGAAUGUUCUUUAUACUUUGGUCUUCCAAGAAAUGAAGUUCAAGACACAUAGUUUGUAAACAUGUUGCUAGGAAGCUACUGAACUUUCAAAACCAAAUAUGAACUCGAUAAUUCUUGGAAACACAGAUAUUUUGUAUAGUAUAUAGCAACAAAAAACCACUAAGGAACUGCUACCAAAUCGUUUUGUUAUUUAUGUGCAAAGAAAGCGAUAUCAAAUUCAAAUUUUUAUUGGUUUCAGAAUCUUUUCUUUCCAAGCAAUAACCACCAACUGCAACGAAACCGUUUUGUUUGUUCCAUUUCUCACUCUCCUCACUGCAAUGUUCAAAUUCUGAUUUGGAAAACAGCACAUAAAAACACAAGAUUUGGUCAUGCUCUGGUUCUACCAAAUACUACAUUUGUUUCUAGAAUUGCCAGAAUCUGAUCCUUUUGCUGACAAUUAAUCUCUAGAAGAUUCUUUUGCUUGUAACUUGGUAGUUAUGGAUUAGCAACUGAUAAAUAAAUCAUUUAGUGGGCUCUAUGUUGUGAGUAGUGAUAGGUAACUUAUGUCGACACCUUUUAGUAGAUUGCAUUAAUAUUUAGACUGGACCCUUUUGAUAGCUACAUUUGUGAACAAGAAUACAAUACGAUAAAGAAAUAGAUAAGAAGUUUCACCUCCUAUACUCCCAUGACCACAUCAUGACAUAUUCAAUGCCAAUCGUGAAUAUACAAAUCAAUAGGAUUUGUUUUCUUCCAAAUAUUUAUUUGUGGACGUGAAUCUACUCACCCUAGAAGCAAGUUUCGUUAAAUUUCCUUUGUUUAAUAACUUUUUGUGAACAUUCAUUCUUUUUUAAUUCAACUUUUAUAUAAAAAUAAUUAGACUCAAAUUCCUUAAACAAGGUCUCAAGUUCAAAUUUUGUGAAUGAAAAAUAUAAUUAAAAGAAGAGACAUAAUUGAAGUAGUCAGUCAAGUUAUGACAAAGCCUUACAAUUCACAAAAUAACUAAAAUAUUAUAUCAAUCAACUUCAUUUUAAUGGAUAGUAGUAUUAUUCUUUUAAAAUACAAGUAAAUGUUAACUAUAAGAUAAUCUUUAUGGUAAUAUAUUACAAAAUAUAAUAGUUAAGGGUCUCUUUGGGGGAUUGUUAGUUGUUAGUUUCAUUUGUUUUUAAAAUAACAAUCAAUUUUUAGUUUUAGUAUAAAAAGUUUUUAAAACCAGUCUUUAAAAUUUGAUUAGUUUUCUAACUAUUAGUUUUAAGAUUAAGUCAUUUUAAAAUUUUCUAAUCUUUUUAAAAUUAAUUUAAGAGUGUAUUUUUAUAUAUGAUGAUAACGACACCAACAACAACAAUGGUGGUAUUUUUGGUGGCGAUAGCAAAGUCAAUAGUGAUAAUAACAGUGUCAAUGAUGGCAGUGAUACUAGUGGUGGUGUUGGUGUUGAUAGUUAUAAUGCAGUAUUGCUAAUAAUGGUAGUGAUUGAUAGUAAUGGGAGCAGUGAUAGUGUUGACAACGAUAGUAAUAGCGGUGAUGUUGGUUGUUGGUGUCAAUAACAAUGGUGACAGUGUUGAUAAUAAUAGUGAUUGUGUCAAUGAUUAUGAUGAUGAUCAUAAUGACGACAUAGAUGGUGGUCCUGGUGUUAGUAGAGGCAAUGAAAAGUGUCAUUAUCAAAUGUAGAGAGUGUGUACUUUUUUAAAAUUAAAAUCAAAAUUACAAAUAUUUUUUGCCCAAAACUUUUGGUUUUAAAAAUUACAUUUAAAAAUAAAAUAUAAAAAACUCACAAUUACGUGACCAAACCCUAAGUCUUUUAAAUCAAUUAGUAUUCUAUAAAGAAAUAGUAUUUUUGAAGUAUUUAUAUAAUUUAAGUAUUUACUUAUUCUUAGAGUGAAUAGAUCCCUUUCGUUUGUUUUAUUCAUCAUACAGAAUCAAUAAUACAGUGGAAUCCUUCUGAAUAUUUUCUUUUAUAUAUAUAUAUAUAUAUAUAUAUAUAUAUAUAUAUAUAUAUAUAUAUAUAUAUAUAUAUAAUGUACCUGGAAAAAAUAAUCUUCCAUUAGUGAGACAGACAAAUAUAACCUUAUUUCCAUAGAGCCUGCAAAAACCUAACUAUCCAGUCAAUAUUUUAUAUUUCCAUAGUUUUUCUGACAAACCAACUUCUUUAAUAUAUUUUUCAAAAGUUUUCAAAUAAGUUAUAUAACAUAUCAUAAUAUUCAAGGUUUUCCAAGAGGAAAUUUAAAAAUUGUUAUUUUGACAAGAUAAGUGCUACAUAAUUGUGUGGUCUAUACCGACUAAUGAGUCAAGGCAUCGUGACUAUGUCGUAACAAAAAAGGUAAAGAAAAACAAGUCAUUAUCAUAGCAUUAUUUGAAGUUGAAGAAUAUUACGUAGUGUGAUAUGAUUUAUUUAUGACUGUUUUGGUUGUUUCCGUUGCGUUUUAUGAAUGGAAGAUCAAAUAGCUAGCUAUAAAAAGACCCUAAACAGAUAACAACCUAUUGGUAAUUUUUUUUUGUUUUAGGCUAUUCAAUUAGAUAUAGGCUCAUAUAUGUAGAUUUUAUAAGUUUAAGCCACAAAAAAUAUAUUUUUAUUAAAACAAUAAAAAGAUAUUGCCGUAGUGUUUAUACGAGAAAUGGCGCAUAGUGAGGUGCUCGAUCGAGUCUCUAUCAAUUUGCUUUUGAUGUGUGCAAAGGAAAAGAAAAGAGAAAAGAGGAAAGUUACAAAGUGAAUGCUUAGAUACUUAUAUCUUAAGUAAAUCCUUGUGUCUUUAUAAUAAAGUUGGAUAAAGACACAUUAACACUCAUCUUAUUUUUUUAAUUCCCUGAGUAUUUAACUCAAUUAGAUACUUAAAGAUUUAAAUUUGAGGCUGUUAUUAGUUAAAUUAAAAUAAUUUCACAUAAAUUGAUUCAAACACAUAUUAUUUGACAUCUUAAGAGAAAAAGAAAAAAAAAUGAAAUGUAAACAAGAUAAAUUAUAUGAUAUGAUAAGAAAGAAAAGACAAAAAUAAAUUGAAGAUGUCAAAUAAAUAUCCAUGUAUCAUUAUUAAUUAAGUUUCAAAAUCAAAGACUGAUACAUGAUUUUUUUUUUAAAAUUCAAAAUAUAUCUCAGUGAAAACUAUUUAAUGUUUAAAAUAACAUUCAUAUAUCAAUGUUUUAUUUGAGCACUAGUUGUUUUGAAUUUAUUUUUGGCAUCUCUCUCAUUUCCUUUUUCUUGAUCACUGCUUCCUUUUUCCCAUUUAUUUUCCCGACAAAACAAUUUUAGUACAACACAUCCUACAUGCACCAUCUAAAGGCUCUCUCACAAACCCAGUCUAAUUAAGGACAAAUUAAUACGGAGAAAUUAAUUAGUUCUCGACUACUACUGUAUAUUUAUAAUAUUGAUUAAUCUUUACCAAACAUGAUACGUAUUAAAGUUUUUUAAUUUAAGAAAAAAUUAAUAAUGCUAAAUUGUAAACACUCUUAGAUUGCUUAAUAAUUUAUUCUCUUAAAAAAUUAUUAGAUGUCCAAAACCAUCCUAGACUCUAUUAAAACAAGGCCACUUAUAUAAUAAAAACAUAAUAUACAAGACUAUUAAUUUUUUUAUUAUUAAUUAAAAAACCUGAAUAUAUAUAUAUAUAUAUAUAUAUAUAUAUAUAUAUUAUCGGUAAAUAUUAUUAGUUUUUGUUAACAGAGAAAAUCAAAUUUAUGACUUUUUUUUUUCUUUUUCCAUCUCCCAUAAUCUUCUAAUUCAUCUUAUAUUUUCAAAAUUCUGAAAAGGUAUCAUACAAAUUGAUUCAGGCCAUAGAGAUGUAGUGAUCCGAAACUACUUAAUAUAUAGUUUCUUCCACACUCACGGCACUCAAAUAUUUCAUUUCCUCACACAUAGACUGCACCUCCCCCCUCACACACUCACACACUCACUCAUUCACAACACCACACUGACUUAUUCAUAUUCAUCCGUCACAUGAAAGGCAAUGGCAAGCACACACACAAGUUACACAGCAAAUCCAAACUCUUCAGUGGCCUUAUUUGCACCAUGCAACCAUAAUAUCCACCCAUUAUAGAUCUUAUAGACAAUAGCAUAUAUAGCCACACCAUAUGCAUUAUGAAUCCAUGGAACAAUCAUAUAUCAUUCGUGAAAAAAAAGUAAAACAAGUCUUCAAAGCUUUUCCCAACCAUAGAACUUCUCAACCAAGUCUUUAAACCUUCACGUGAAUCUGUCAUCAAGACAGCCCCUAAAUUAAGCUUGAGCCAUCUGUGUCAUACACGUAUAAGAGGUCACGCAUGGUUUACAUCAAGUAAGAAAAGAAGCUAUCAUAAAGAUAUUACUUCUAUUUUUUGUUGUUGAAUAAGUCUAGGGUAUAAUAUAUUGUUGAUUUCUCAAAAUAGUUGAGAACGAUAGUUUUAGUUCUUAUUAAAAUUUAAUAUGUUUUUAUUCUUUAUAUUUAUUAAAAGUGACAUGAUUUUAAUUCUUUCAUCAUGAACUAAAAACACAUACAUCUGAAUAAAUAUAAGAACUAAUAACACACACACACACACACACACACACACACACAUAUAUAUAUAUAUAUAUAUAUAUAUAUAUAUAUAUAUAUAUAUAUAAUUCUAUUUGUAUUUUAUCUCUUGCUUGGUUGUCGUGGUAAAGGCGUAAGGCAUAGCCGCAUGGAUAUGAACUUAUCAUAGGGCUCCAUUGAAUCAGAUCAGUUUAAACUUAAAGCUUUUGAAAAUUAUUAUUAAAAAAAUGAAGUUUUGAGGACAUCAAAAUUACGUCACUGAAAGAGAAUAAUGACUUCUUUUAACUUUUUUUUUUCCCUGUUGUAAACUUAGGAUUUUCAAAACCCGAGUUCCAAAUUUGCAAUGGUUUCUUGUUUUUGAUUCGUAAGUGGAUUACACAAAUUUCAUUUUGACGCAAACUGUUGGAUUAUUUUAAUAUUAUGUUCUAGUUGUAAUUAAAAGCCAUUAGGAUUAAUUUAGAAAACUAAGAAUAAAUCUAUAAUAAAUUUCUCUUAUCUUUUCAAAAUACUCAUUAGUCUUUUUAAAAAAAACCCACACCGAAUAGUAUUUUUUAGCCAUAAAAAAAAUAAGGGAACGAAAGACUGAGGGAGGAAAGCCAUUUUAAUUAAAAAAAUAGAAAAUGAAAAAAAUAAAUUGAAAACACAAGAAAAAUAUCGGGCCAGAAAAUAAAUAUGAAUUAUAAUAAUCAAGAGCUUCAUGCAUGCUUAGUAGUUUUCUGUGCAUUAAAGAACUCUAGAGAAAUUAUGUGUUAUGAUCUAUUCUUACAAAAACAUAUGCCAUAGCCUGUGAACGGGAUCCGUGUUCAUGGUCUCUUGUAUAUGCUUUUGUUCUUUAAUUGUUAAUAAUUAAGAACACAUGCCGUAGUGCAAGUUUAAAUCAUAAAGAGUUAUGGAUACCCAUAAUAUUCUAAGAGAUAUAAAAUAAAGAAAUAAUUAAGUUUUUCAUAUUUGAAAUAUAGUUUAUUUUUAAAAAAUUACUUAACAUUCUUUUUUUUCUCUCUAAUACCUAAAAAAAUUUUGCAUUUCAUUUUAGUACUUGUCGUUAGUCCACAUCCAUUAAAUAAUGAUAUAGCAAACGGAGUAUCACGUCAUCACACCUAAUUACUAAACACAUAUGCACAAACAUUCACAUCAUUAAUUUUUGUUUUUGUUUUUUUAAUAUUAAAAAAUGAAAGCCAAAAAGGAGAGGGGGAGUCGUCCGUGGUGGUGUGGGAGGCGCGGCCACCACCGUCUUGGACACUCUUUGGAACUUCACCUUCGUCGCCGCCAUCGUCACCAUCUUCUUGAGCUAUCCACUGGAUAGGGUCCAUCGUCAAGCGAUGAUUUCCCACAGAACAAAAAAUCUGCUAUGCUUCACUUUCUUGCUUUUGCAUUUUCUUGUGGAAAAAAAAUCCUCACAACAAAAAUAGGUUGUCCUUUUCUUUGAUCUACCAAAGCUUUAAAUUUUCCUUAGGUGCGUACUUCAAAUUCUUCUUCUCCUACUCCUAACUGCUCCUUUUUUUUUUUUUUCAAAUUCUCUGUGCGUUUCUAAGGAUUUUGCAUGUUUUGUUCUUCUCUUUGCUGUGUGUUUUGACUUUUAUUGUUUGCGUGUGUGGCAGUUUGGUUUGUUUGUGAGUUUGGAGUGUGAUGCCACCAUCGGCGGUGAUCACGGAGGAGGAGGGGCAGAGCAAAGAUGUCUUCACUGAUAUUGAACUCGCGGAAGUUGAAUUGCCAGAUUUAGGGGCUCUCUGUGCCCCAGGUAAGGAGGUUCCUGUAGUUAUACUCGUCCACGAUUUCACAUAUCAACGCGAACUCCUCCUUGAGGUUAUCAUUCCAAACUUCCUUGAUUUGAACCGAAUCGCCUUUUGGUAAAAUCAACAUAUCAAACGAACAAAUCUGAGUAGCAAAGUGAGAAUCACAAUCAAACCCCCCAUAUCUGUAACAAAAACAUGCGGAAACAAUUCAGAUCUCAAAACCUAACAAAUCCAAAACAAAAAUCGAUGAUAUUUCAUUGAACGAGGAAACAAAUAUAAACAAAAUCAACAAGCCGCGAUACAUAAAGAGGAUUUGAGUGAGUAGAGCUUCGAAUCGGGGGCAUGCAAUCAAGCUUCGUAUCGACGACGACGACAACAACGAAGGCAGAGUUCCAGAGAGUGUCCAAGACAGUGGUGGUCGCCGCCUCCCGCACUAUAACAUCCCAAUUUCGUGAAUUAAAUUAAAAAGGUUUUUCAUUUAAAAUAGAGUUUUAGAAAAAAAAAUGAUGAGGUUUUUGUAAUUAAAUAAAUAAGGAGAAAUAACUUUAUUAAAAUAAUGGUUUGAAGGAAAAUAAAAAGGAUAUUUGAUUUAUUCAUUUGAUAGGAAAUAACAUAGAGUAUUUGUUAAUAAAAUAAUAAAAAUAAAAAAUAGAGUAAAUAAUAAGCUAAGAGUACCUAGCUAUAAAUAAAGACAUGCUAGGUUAUUUUUCAGACUGACGGUAGUCUCUGUGGUUUCUCUUCCUUUCAGUUUCUUUUUUCUUUCUCCUCCUCCCAAAACUAUUUUUCCCGCAUACACUCAAGCCUAUCUCAAUAAAAUUAUGAUCUCGGACUCGUUAAACGUUGGAUCAUUGUGAAAUUUGAGUACUAGGUUUAGAACUUAAUUCCAAAUAUUCUCACCGUUGGAAUUUGCGAAACUAUAUUGGAGCUGAGAGAAACUCCCUUCGUAUUUUAGCUUUCUCUUUUCCCGCAGAGACCCGAAACCUAUCCCGGUAAAACUAUUAUCCUGGACUAGUUAACCGUUGGAUCAUUGUGAAAUUUGAACACCAAGUUUGAAAUACAUUUCCGCAUAUCUUCACCAUCGGGAUUUGCAAAAUGAUUUCUGGGGAGGGAGAAACACUCAUUGCACGUAGACAGUGGAAUGAAGGAUUCAAAUUCUUUUCCUUCUCUCUAAUAUUUGGAAACCUUAUCAGAACAACCAGAGAAAAAGCUUGAGGAAUCUCAGGAAAUUGUUAGAGAUUCCACUAUUGCUGUCAGAAUACACACGUGAGCCCGCUUAGAGGUAAGGGAUGAGUUAUUCAUAAUUGGAGAGUAGUGAGAACAUGUGUAGGGAUCCUUAGAGUAUCAAUUGGAAUGAGUUUUUAGGUUGUUUUUGCAAAUUUUGAUUCUAUCUUUACAAUUGUAACUGUGAAUUAUAUAUUUUUUUACGAACCAAUUGAUGUUCCAAUUAGAAAUUGCUGUGAAAUUCAUGUGUUCUUGUGUUGAGUGUGAACCUUAAAAAUUGAGUUCUUUUUAUUAACGUAAAUUAUACUCUAAAUAAUAUUCUUUUAACGGCUUAUUUUAUACAAAUUAUUAUCUUGUUCUGUAUUUUUCCACAACGAUAAUCAACAUGUUAUGUGUUUAUAUAUAUAUAUAUUGUAAUACAAAAAUAAUAAAUUAAAGAAAGUUGUAAAGGUUAAUGUCUAGUAGUAAUUUCUUUUGAUGUAAUCUUAAAUUAAUUGUUAUAGAAAUUCUUUUUGAUUGAAAAUAAUAUAGUUUGAUUUAAUAUAUAUAUAUAUAUAUAUAUAUAUAUAUAUAUAUAUAUAUAUAUAUAUAUGUUUUGUGUCAUGCAAAUAUUAUUAUUGUGUGAAUAUAUAUAUAUAUAUAUAUAUAUAUAUAUAUAUAUAUAUAUAUAUAUAUAUGUUUUGUGUCAUGCAAAUAUUAUUAUUGUGUGAUGUGUAUAUGAGUUAUGAGACGUGAUAAAUUAUUAUAAUAAUAUUAUAAUAUUAUUGUUGAGAUCAAGUAUAAGUGUAAAGUUAGACAUGUGUUACUUUGUGAAAUACACAUGAACAUGUGAUGGUGGAUUAUGAUAUUAUGAGAUGUUAAGUUGUGGUCAUGAGAUUUGGUUGUGAAUAAGUGUGUGUUUAACACUUGAUGUGAUAGUAUUUGUGUUGUGAGCUAUGAAUUAUACAAUAACCCAAUCAGUGUUUACCUUGAGAAAAAGUGUUUAUGCGUAGUGUUAAAGGAAAAGUGUAGGUUUCCUAGUUAGGAACCAAUGUUAAAUUGUAGCGCAAUGUGUUAAACGUGUUUGAAACAUGAGCGUGAGGUCAUGAAUAUUGUAUAAUUCAUGAGCAAUGUCUGCAUGCAAAAAUUGUUUUAGGGGUUGAAACUGAAUCAGGAAGGUGAGGCCCUAACGGAUUCUUCGUAGUCUAGGCCUUGAGGGUAAAGACACUCAGUUUGAGUGCUCCUUUAAGCCUAUAUUGAUCUCAUAUGGUUGGAGCAUUCUCACAAAACAGAGUUAUCCUGACUGGUCACCUUAUGAUUUUACUUAGUGAGAGUGACCUGACAUACCCAUUGUAUGGUGUGACUUGUUUGUACUCCUAAGUGCCCCGGGGUGGUUUUUCACUGACAUGGUACCACAUUGCAUAUAGACUUGAGUCUUAGCAUAACUAUUGCAUAACGCUUGCUAAUUGUUUACUAUGAAAUUGAUGAGUGUUAUUAUGUCUUGAUCAGAGUAUGUGAUUCAUGUGUAAUGUGAUUGAUGAUUGAAAAGUGAAUUUUAAAUGACAAAGUGGUGGAAUUACGUGAGUUAUGUUUAAAUAAGUUAUAUCUCAUUUAUAUGAUAUGUAUAUCUAGUUGUCUUGUUUCUCUAUUAGUUAGAAAUGUGAUAACUCACUCCUCGUGUGUUGUUUGUGUUUGAAUCUUGUGAUGAUCUCGAACUUUGUGUUCGGGGGAACAUAUGACUAGGUGGAUUGCUUUAAGGAACCUUAUGCUGAAGGAUGUCGGGACACAAUACUCUGAUAGGACGUGACAUCACGGCAUAAGUUUCUAUAUUAAUUGCAUGAAGUCUUGAACGACCUUGUUUUAAGUCGAGAUAUUUUCGUAUUUAUUGGACAAGUCAUUUUAUGAUGUUAGAAAAGUAAAUGUGAGCCUUUUACAAUUUUGAAAUGCUUUUAUUUAAAUGUGCUUUAAAAACUUUUAAUUAAUUCUAAAUUCUUAUUUCUUUUAUUAUUAGUACAUAUAUGUAUGGGGUAGAGGGUGUCACACGUACCGCCACGAACGACUCUCCCUCUCUUUUUUGGCUUUCAUUUUUUUAAAAUAAAAUAAAAAAAAAUUAAUGAUGUGGAUGUCCGUGCCUACAUGUUUAGUGACUAGGCGUGAUGACGUGACACUCUAUCUGCCACUUCAUCACUCAAUAGAUGUGGACUAACAACUGGUACGAAAAUGAAACGCAAAAAUUUUCCUAGUAAAAAUGAUAAUAUUAGGUAGUUUUUUUAAAAAUGGAUUAUAUUCAAGGUAUGAAAAACUUAAUUAAGUCUAAAAUAAACUAUCCUUUUUGUUAUUGUAAAAUAAAAAUUUGAAGACCAUCUAAUUCACCUCAUAAUCAGUUUCAAGUCCAACCAAUUCUAUUCAUCCAUGCUUCACUCAGGUUCUUUUGAGACCUUUUAAGAAAAAGAAAAAGGAAAUGACGAGGCCCUUAUUUAGAUGUAAUAGAGGUGUUUAAAAUUAAAAAAAAAGAUCGUCAGCAAAAAAUUGAAAUGAAUGUGCAUGCAAAGUUAAAACCUAAAAGAUUAAUCGAUCAAUGAUGGAACACCCAAAUAGUCGUAUUUUAGUUUCUGCCAAGCUCCAAAGGGAAAAAGCAUUUUGUAAAAUCAGUCAAUAAGUUAGUAGAUAAAUAUAAAUUGACACAAAAAAAUAUAUGUAGGUAUUUGAGGUAAAAAGUGAUUAAAAAAACGAGUGAGAAUAAAAGAAAGCUACUAACUUAUAAACUAGAGCUUAUUUUCGUAAGUUAAUUGAUACAGUUUAUGAAAAUAAACUACAAGUUAAUAAAAUAAACUUAAACUUGUGUACUAAACAAACUUAUAAGUUGAUUAAAGUAAUUUGUAAGCUAUUAGAGUAUCAUACGAAAACAUUUAGUAUUCAUUCAGAGUCGCAAGUUGCUAGUUUUGGAACUUGUAUUUAGAAGUUUCUCUCGGUGCUUUAAAAAUUUGGAGGUAUUUAUGGUCUCAGAUUAAGACUUGUCACUUCAUAUUAAUUUUUGCUUAAUAAUUGCAUGUUGUUCCUUUCCUUUAUUUCAUUUUUGUCAUAUAACUAGUUACACUAUUAGAAAAUACACCUUCUACAUCAGUUAUUUAAGACCUUUUACAUUGGUUUUUAACCGAUGUUGAAAGUAUUAUCGUUAACAUUGGUUUUACAAAACCGAUGUUAACGUAAAAUUGACAACAUUGGUUAUCUAAAUAACCAAUGUUAUAUAAUAAGAAUUACACCAAAAAAGUGUAUGAAUGUUGAUAGGUGACAUUGAUUUUUCCACAAAACCGAUGUUAACUUAUAUAUUAACAUUAAGACCUUUUACAUUGGUUUUUAACCGAUGUUGAAAGUAUUAUCGUUAACAUUGGUUUUACAAAACCGAUGUUAACGUAAAAUUGACAACAUUGGUUAUCUAAAUAAUCUAUAAGUUAACAUCGGUUUUUACAAAAACCCGAUGUUAACGUGUAGAUUAACAUUGAUUUUUCCACAAAACCGAUGUUAAGUUACACAAACAACAUCAGUUUAUAGAAUCCACAACUGUAUAACAAAUAUGCUGAGACAUUGACCACCAUGUGCAAUUUUGGAGAGAUCUUCGUGCUUGAUGUACAAUGGGAAGUCUGGAUUAAACACCCCGAACACGGUAGCAUCCCACAUAACCUAGAGAGGCUUCAAGAAAAGCUGUGGGAUGGUCAAUGUCAUCAAAUACAGGGGAUCAUUGACCUCAGGAUCCGGCCUAUCUGGAGGCUUUGAUGGAGACACAGUUGCCUGUUUAUCAAACAUAGUGAAAUAACAUAAUUUAAUUACAGUGAACAAAUCAACUGAAAAAAGCAUAUAAUCAUAGUAAAAUACUUGUUCUAAUACACGCUUCACGAGAUAUGUCGGCCAAGCAAGGAAAGUGUUCAGUGCCUGCCCCACUAGUUGAACCUCGUCAAUGGGUACAGGAACGGGAGCCUCUGCAUCUUUAACCUUCUCAACACCAACCUUCACGUGGCCAUGCAACAAAGGGAUGUUGUGAACAACUGUGGAUCCCUCAUAAACUUUUCCUAGGACAACCAGGCGGGAAGGAUUUUCUUCGAUGUACAGCCCGCAUUUGUCUGAGUCACCCGUCUUUGGAUCGGUCGGUGAGGGAUCAACGCAACUCCCUUUUGUGCUAACACAGGCAGCUAGGGGACCAACCUCAGGCUCCAGAGGCAGUGCAAGUCCCUGUGAUUGCAUCUGUGACUGAAGCUAGGACUACAUCUAGUUGAAGGAUGCCAUGAGCUGCCAAGUCACUUUUUCUGUGAUUGACUCCUCCAACUGGUCCCUGAUUUGUUGAGUGAGCUGCUCAAGUUCUUUGGGAGGGAUGAAGGAGGAAUUGCGGGAGCUUUGUAGAGUGGAGCCGAAGUAUUGCUUAAUGGUGACACCGGCUCUAGCAGCAUGCACACGGCCAGGGUGUUCUGGUCACCCAAUGGUAGCAAUCAAGACAUCCUGACGACCAUGGGGGACAAACGAACCCUGUGACGCCUGCUCCUCCAAAGAAUCUUGUACGUAACACAUAUAUUUGUCCAAGGCAUUCACAUAAUAAACAAACAUAAUUACAAUUCUUAAUUUACAUUUGACUUACAAUCUUCUCAGCGAUUUCCUUUGCGGCCUCAGAUGUCAUCUACCCAGUUUUCUUGGUGUGAGCCAUCUUCUACUUCACGUGUCGUCUGAUGGGAGAUGGAGGGUUAAUGACGCCCUUAGUGCUUCCGGACUGAGCAGCUUCCUCUAGUUUUUUCUUUGUCUUCUCAACCAUUAGCUUCUAUUCUAAAUAAUCAUAACCCCCACAAGACAACACGUGGGGGGUGGUGUUUUGCUUCUAGAUGGCCCGUGCUUUUUUCCGCACAUCCAGCAAAAUUCAAACAUUAAUCAAAAUGAUUUCUACAAUCUAUUAUAAGAACUGAAUUUUUAGUGGAAACAAUUCAAAUUACAAAGUACAUACCUCCCAUGAGGGAUCUCGGCGGGUCUGACAAAACCGGACCCAUUUCUCCUUGCUAAUGUCGUACUUUCACAAAUAGUGUCGUCCACACCGUCCUUGUUGGCUGCAAGUGCCCAUUUCCUGGUCAAAUCGGAUUUAAACUGCCUCCACUGCUUGCCCACCGUCUGAAGACUUUCUUCUUUGUCCUACUGUCAGAAGAUUCAGGGAUUUCAAAUUCCACUUGACAAACAAUAAAUUAGGUUUUAUUGUUAGUAAAUUAUAAAUUUUGGCUACUAAACAAAAUCAAAGAAGAAAACAAACAUACCUGAAUAUCCUCCCAUAUCAAAUCCUUCUGAGCCGCAGGGACUUCCUUCCAGGUCUCGUAUGUCACGUCGACCUUAUCACGAGCGACAAUCCCCAAAUAUGUUCUUAAUUUCUACUUUUAGGGACCGUCGGCCUUGCCAGUCGCAGGAUCAACGUGGACCACUGGUCUGCACACCGGUGUUGCUGUCAACCCAUUUACAUUUGAAAACACACACAGUAAAUUUGACAUAGUUAAGCUCCCAAAUUUCAUUAAUGAACCCAAAGUAAGGGAUGGAAGCUACACAGGGAUUGUCAUCAUGCACACUUGCGAAGUGCUGACAUUCAGCCCUUAGGGUGACCUCGCUGUUUUGCAUUGUACUUUUGUCGUCUUGUGCUUUUGUGAAAAAGGAAUACUUGUUUAUGUUGUAUCCUUGCCAAGUUAUAACAUUUCUUUUAGGCCCAUCUGCUAGCUUUCUAAAUGUUUAUGAAGCAUUUUCAUCAACAAAGAUUGUAUCUUUAAACCAAUCAGAGAAAGUCUUGUUAUGCUUUUUCAAAACCCAAUUCUUUGACAUUUUUGGAUUAUUUUGUUUGACUAAAGCUUCAUGCUGAAGUGUGUAUGACAAAACUUCAUUACUGUUGUUCAACACAUACAAGUGAGCUUGUAAUAAAUCUUCUACACUUGGAGUGAUAACAUGCAGUCCUCUUGAACCCUUACCACCCACUCUGUCGUUAUGACGAGACUUAGAAAGGCCAAUAGGUUUAGCCUUUUCAAUGUACUCUGAACAAAAUUCAAUGGCUUCUUCUGCAAUGUACCUUUCAACAAUAGAUGCUUCUGGAUGAUGUAGAUUCUUGGUAUACCCUUUUAAGAUCUUCAUGUAUCGCUCAACCAGGUACAUCCACCGCAACUAAACAGGACCACAACAUUUGAUUUCUCUGACCAGAUGAACAAUUAAGUGAAUUAUGAUGUCAAAGAAAGCAGGAGGAAAAUACAUCUCCAACUGGCACAGUAUAAUUGCAGCCUCAUUUUCCAAGUCAUCAAACUUGACAGGAUCAAGGACUUUGCUACAUAUGGCAUUGAAGAAAAAGAACAGGCGAGUUAUGACUAACCUGACUUUGUUAGGCAAAAUGUCUCGUAGGGUCACGACUAACAAUUGUUGCAUCAACAUGUGACAAUCAUGAGACUUUAACCCUACUAGCUUAAGCUCCUUCAACUGCACAAGGCUCUUAAUAUUUGAAGAGUAUCCUUAUGGGACUUUCACCCGACGCAGACAUUGACAAAAACUUAUCUUCUCCUUUCUGGACAAAGUAUGACAAGCUGGAGGCAAAUAUAUUUUUUUCCAUCAGACCUUGGAUGCAACUGCAAUCGUAUACCCAUGUCAGCUAGAUCAUUAUGGGUAUUCAAACCAUCUUUCCUCUAGCCUUGAAUGUUAAGGAGCGUCCCAAUGACAUUGUCACAUACAUUUUUCUACACAUGCAUAACAUCAAUACAAUGUCUAAUAUCUAGAUUAGACCAGUACGGAAGAUCAAAGAAAAUGGACCUCUUCUUCCAUAUGCAAGUCUUACUUUUAUCCUUCUUUUUCGUGCUCUUGACUUCUAUUAAAUGCUUUUUUCAAUCGCCUGUAAGGGUGAUGAGGUUUUAGAAAACGUCGAUGCCUAGUGUAAACUGUUUUUCUACCAUGUUUUAGUUGUAUGUAGCUUGUGUCUUCUUCACAGAUGGGGCAUGCAUAAUGACCCUUAACAUUGUAACCGCUCAGAUUCCCAUAUGCUGGAAAGUCAUUAAUGCUACAAAAAAACAUUGCACGCAUUUCAAAAGUCUCAUUGCGAAACCCAUCAAACACUAAAACCCCCUCCUCCCAAACCUUUCUCAGGUCUUCAAUCAACGGACUUAGAUAAACAUCAAUGUCAUUUCCUGGCUGUCUUGGGCCCGAUAUUAUCAUAGACAACAUCAUGUAUUUUCGCUUCAUGCACAACCAAGGAGACAAAUUGUAAAUUACCAGUAGAACUGGCCAUGAACUGUGUUGAGUGCUUAAAUUGCCAUAUGGAUUCAUUCCAUCACUGGCUAAUCCUAGCCUAAGAUUUCUUGCCUCUUUGCCAAAAUCCGGAUACAAACCAUCAAUCUUCUUCCACUGGGAGCAAUCAGCUGGAUGAUAGACCAUUCCAUCAGAGUUUCUCCCAUUUGCAUGCCAGGUCAGGUCUUUUGCGUCGUCUCCAUUUGCAAAAAGACGCUUAAACCUUGGAAUGAUGGGAAGAUACCACAACACCUUUGCUAGAGGGCCCUUCUUUGAGUUUUCAUCAGAACUACAGUCCUCAUCAUCCUUCACCUUGUGCCGUGACGCCCCACACGUAGGGCAUUUGGACAUUUCUUCGAAUUCAUGCCUGUACAGUAUUUAAUCAUUCAGGCAAGCAUAAAUCUUCUGAUACUCCAUACCCAUCAGACACAAUAUCUUCUUGGCCUGAUAGUAACUUUUAGGCAACGUGUUUUCCUCUGGAAGCAGCUCAUGAACUACUUGAAGCAGUGAAGUAAAGCUUUUGUCCCUCCACCUAUAUCUGGCCUUGACAUUAACCAAACUUAACACCACCGACAACAACGUCAAGGAAUUCUUGCACCCCGUAUAUAGAGGCUUCUGUGAAGCAUUUUGCAAUCCUUCAUACAUAGGGGCAUGUGCUUGCUAAAAAGACUCUUGCCCAAGGUCACGAAUCAUAUCCUCCAAACGAUCUCCCAUUUCUACAUCAAACGGUUUAGAUUGGGACCCACUCUACAUGUCUAUCAAUUCACCAUGCCAUAUCCAUGUUGUGUAAUUCUUCUUAAUCCCAUUACACAAUAGAUGCUCUCGUAUGUCGUCCAGUAGUUGUCGUCUUCCGUUCAAACAAUUGAUGCAAGGACAAUAAUAUUUUCCAUCUUCAUCCGGUCAACCUCUUUCUGAAGAAAAUUGCAAGAACUGCUCGACGCCUUCCUCAUAUUCUAGGCUGAUGCGACUUUCAUUCAUCCAACUUUGAUCCAUCUAAGUAAUAACUCCGUGAUGCUCACAAAGUUAUUCAAUGCAUGAAAAUCUCACUUUUUUAUUAUAGGUGUGGCCCUAUCCGAUUCAGGAGGACAGUCUUUUAUGGUAGCUUCAUACGUCAGGGGUAAUUCUAUUUUGUUAAAUUUGACAAAAUUUUGGCAGCAUUUCGCAUUGGUCUCCAAGUACACGAUAUGAAAUUAAUUUCUUGAUAAUCAAGUAUGGACUCAGAGAACAACUCGAAAUGCAUUGUACAGAAAUUUCAUCAAAUUAAACAAAAUAAUGUUAACCUUAACGCAUGAAUCUACCAUAAAAAUAUCAGUCUCUCCAAACUGUCCAAACAAACAAUUCAAGAUUGAAUACAAUGAUUAAUGCAAACUGUCCGCAAGAAUCAUUGCAUUCAGUCUCAAACGGGAAUCUAAGGUUCACUCAUCAUGAACACAAUUUGUAUAGCAUAUAUCAAUUGUCAUUAAUGACAAUGAACAAGUAAUAAAAAUAUUAAUUGGUAACAAACAUUUGUACCUGUGAUGAUGAACAACACGGUCCUAAAUGAAAGCAAGAAUCAAAGAUAUAACUCAAUGACCACCUACGUCAAUCAGCAAACUGAUAUAAAUAUGUGACAAUGAGUAGGCUUAAAGUUUAAAUUUGCUUUAAGUGCUUCAUCAAAUGAGUAGGUUGUGUGUGUGUGUGUGUGUGUGUGUGUGUGUGUAAAUAUGUGACAAUGAGUAGGCUUAAAGUUUAAAUUUGCUUUAAGUGCUUCAUCAAAUGAAUAGGUUGUGUGUGUGUGUGUAAAUAUGUGACAAUGAGUAGGCUUAAAGUUUAAAUUUGCUUUAAGUGCUUCAUCAAAUGAGUAGGUUGUGUGUGUGUGUGUAAAUAUAUGACAAUGAGUAGGCUUAAAGUUUAAAUUUGCUUUAAGUGCUUCAUCAAAUGAGUAGGUUGUGUGUGUGUGUGUGUGUGUGUGUGUGAAAGUUGCAAUCUUAGAUUUAUAAUGCUCUAAAAUCUGAUAGGAAUAUAGAUAAAGCUGUAUUGUUGACAGCUGUGUAACUUACUUAACAGCUUGCUGCUAAUUAAUAGUAAAUAUUAUAGAGAUUCAAACCUAGCUUCAGCUUUCACAAUGGUGACAAGGGCUUCCCAAAAGCAAGCAGUAGAGGUACUCCCUAUGCCUUGCAGCUAAAGCAGUUGCAGAGAAGCAAGCAAAAGCCAAAAUAGUUGCCACAAAUGCACUAAUGAUAAGGCUGCAGAAUGAAGAAAAAUGACAAAACAUCAUUCAAAACUCAACACUAGUCACAGAAGCAACUGGCCAUUAAUCACAAAGCAAUUAACUCAACAAAUACCCCAAUCACAAAUCAAUCAUUUUCCCCUUUCCUAACAACAACUACUUUCUGGUUUCCUCAUUAAGUCCUUCUUUCCUUAUAAUUGACAAACUUGAUUCACUAAAUGCAUGCAAUCUACUCUUUAAAGGUUUAGUUUGAUUUCUCACAUUCAAUUAGUUUUUUGUGAUCUACUCACAAAACCUUAGAAUAUGCUUUCCCUGGUCACAAAGAGUUUGAAACAAUGUCCAUUUAUGUUAAUGAUGUUAUCCUAGUUAUAGGUCCAUCUUAUCUAAACCACAGGAUUGGUAAUUUGAGUAAAUUACGCAGUAAAACUACAAAACUGGAUCAAUCAAUAGAGAGAACCAUGCUCAAGUUGCAAUGAAUGAAGAUAAUACGAAGACAAUGCUAAUGGUACAUAGACUUCUUGCUUAUGAGUAAAUGGCUAAUGGUUCAUUGGAUAAAUGGAUAUUCAACAAGAACAAAGAGGAGUUUAUGUUGGAUUGGGAUACAAGGUAUAACAUAGCACUUGGAACAGCAAAAGGACUUGCUUAUCUACAUGAAGAUUGUGAGUCAAACAUUAUUCAUUGUGACAUCAAACCAGAAAACGUGCUCCUAGAUGAUAAUUUCAGGGUCAAGGUUUUUGAUUUUGGUUUGGCUAAGCUCAUGACACGUGAACAAAGGCAUGUGUUCGCAACACUUAGAGGCACUACAGUGUAUCUUGCACCUGAGUGGAUCACAAACUGUGCCAUAUCAGAGAAAAGUGAUGUUUAUAGCUAUGGUAUGGUGUUGGUAGAGAUCAUUAAGGGGAGGAAAAACUAUGAUCCCAGUGAAACUUCAGAGAAAUCCUAUUUCCCAUCUUUUGCUUUUAAGAUGGUGGAAGAAGGGAAUGUGACAGAGAUUCUUGACUCAAAGGUGGAAACUUAUGAAAAUGAUCAAAGGGUUCACAUUUCUGUGAAUGUUUCAUUGUGGUCCUAAUCAUAAAUAUUGCUCUAAUUAUAAAUAUUGCUUUAAGUAGAGACAUGGUCCUAAUCUCUUACAUAGACUAUGACAUCCUAAGCCUAGGAGUACCACCAAAGACAAACUUUAAGGCAAUCCUUACUUCUCAUAUAGUUUUUAUUUCAUUUUUAGUGAAUUCAAUUUAUAGUAACAGCUAACAAGGUUUUAGGCUAAGCAAUCCAAAACAAAAUGGGAUAAAUACCUUGGUCUUCAGAUUUCACCUCAAUAAACACAGCUGAUGCUUCACGUGGUUGCAACUUUUGAACCAUCUCUGCAGCUACUUCCUACAAGAAACAACACAGAUUAUAGACAAUUGUUAAAUAUAUAUUGUAGACAACUAUAUUGUGUACACAACUGUGUAGGUAAAAGGCUAUUUUGAGUGUGUGUGUGUGUGUGUGUUAGGUUGAGUGUGUAUACAACUUUAUGUGUUGUCAUGUUGAGUGUGUGGGAAGCUGAGUAUCUAAUCCUUAUCCAAAGGUAGCCUUCCCCUCUCUCUCUCUCUCUCUCUCUCUUUCUCUGUACUAUAUGUGUGUGUGUGUGUGUGUGUGUUAAUAAAAAGCUAAUGUAUGCUGAGUGUGACAAUUAUCUCCACUCAUUCAAAUUCAAGUUCUGGAGUAUCUCAAAUCCUUAAGCAAUGUAGUCCUAAAUUUUCAACAACAAUGAUGGGUAAAUAUUAGGAACUAGAAUUAAGUUAGGGCUGAAAUUAACAAUGGGGGGACAGCACAGAUGAUGAUAGCGUAAGUAUAGGAGCAGUAGAAAAAGCAAGGGAUUAUUUUGCACUGAUGAUGGAUAAGUAUGAGAUCGAGCCAUCGUGCAUAAGUAGAAGCACAAGUUUUUGGCAAUUGAACCAAAUGAAGGAAGAAAUCCAAGAAAAAGAAGCAAAGGAAGAAUCUCAGCAAAAGGAAGAAAAGAUGCUGCCAAACCCUACCUGGAAAACUCAAUCAGGUUGCUGCAAAAUCAAUUUGCAAAUCUGGACCUAUAGUUUUUAAGCCACAAACUGCAAAUAUCAUAAGAAAUUAUGCAACCUACAAGCAAAGGAGAAAUGGUAAGACUUUCAUUUUUAGUUGUUCAUGACUCAACUAAAGAAUCAGGAUGCAAAUUUGAUUACACAAAUUGAAUAUAUUUCAGAUUUAGAUCUAGACAGCUAUUCUCCUAUCCUCUAACAUCAAAGAUGUUUAUUCUUUAAGAAAAAGAACAGAAAAAAAGGAAGCGACAACGCCCAAUGCUCUCCCUUAUGUUGUUGGAGAGGCUUGUCUCUACCCAUGUUUACAGCAUGUAAAUUCACAUACCCCUCUUCAGUGACUAGGAAGUUUCUUUAACAACACAGAGAAACAGGUUGAGGAGAAAAGGGCCAAUUGCACCUGAGCAAAUGUUCUAUUCUGUUUGUUACUAUUAUACUUUUCUGAUGUGUAUUCGGUUUAGUAAUAUGUGUAUGAUAUCACAACAUGUCUAUAUUUAUCAAUGUUUCUUGUUGAGUUUGGAGGGAGUUAGGAGGGAAUAGCUUGAUUGAUAUUGCUUGUGGUGUACUGCUUUUUCAGAGCAUUUGGUUAUAAGUAUUUGAAACUAAAAAGGAAGCAUUUGGUUAUAAAGAAGAUAAAAAAAAUUGAAAAUAAAAAGGAAGAGUGCCAUUUAAGUGUUGAAAGCUUCCACAGUGUUGGGUUGUUUUUGGCAGGUAGGAAGAGAAGCAAGUUGCAACAAAUGAUAAUUGGGAGUAAAAAAUUCAAAAAGCAAACUCAAGAAACAUGUUCUAAAUCCUAUGUUAAACCGGAUAGCUCAUUCAUGAACUUGAUUUCAAACAUGAUCAAAGGAUGCUCACAAUCAACUCAAGAUGAGGAAAAGUCUUUGGCUCUUAACCUUGAAAAUCCUAAUCAUCAUCUUCAACAGCCAGAUCAGAAACUUCUCAAGUGCAACAAGAAUAAAUAUUUAGAGCUAAAAAAUGCAGGGUUCAGAUCAAAUUUUUAGUCUAUGGUUGGUGCAAAAUUUAAGAAUGUUGGAACAAGAAUGUCUCAAGUCGGAAAGGCUUCUAAAGAUUUUGAGCCAGGUACCAAGGUACAUGGAAUUGAUGCCACUCCAAUAACCUUCUAUACAAAGAACAAUAGCCUUUACAGACAGUAUUUUCAAUCAAAUAAGUUUGAAAUAUCUGAAGGGAGAUUUGAUGCCUGUCCCCCAUUACAGUCGCAGAUAAGACCUAUAAAUUCUCUCAACAGUCAUCAACACUGGAAAAAUAACUCAACAGAGAAUGAAAAAUUGUUACAACUUGGAGCUAACUAAGGAGAAAGAAGGAAUGGCAUUACUAUCAUUACAUUCACCUUCAACUAAACAAAACAGAAAUGAUAAUGAGAAUGUCAAGUCUUGUGCAAUGUAUGAGAGUAAGGAAAUGUGUCAUAGAAGUGAUAAUGUGGAAGGUCUUUGGAUAAAUCGUUUUUUUUUUACCAAAGUCAACUUCCCCCUUGGUAGUUUUUGAUCACCUUAAUGAGAGAGGUGGUUCUGAAGUUCAUUCUGCGUCAAUAUAGAGGAUUCCACUAUCCUUAAGGAUGAUAAGGGAAAUCAAUAUCACACAGCAAAGAUGAAUAAGUUCAAAUCCUUUACAUAUUUCCCUGGAUUGAGAGCUGCAGGGCCAAUGGUGUCCAUGUUUGCAAGGAGAUUAGGUUCCAUAAAAAAGGAAGCAUUUGGUUAUAAGUAUAAACUGGAUAAUAAUUUAUUAGAGAUAAACUAACUAUAUCUUAAUUAACAAGUAUGAUAACAUAAAGUAUUAGCAAAGCUACAUACGAAUCAAGUGUUGCAGCCAAGGCACAACUUGAGGUAGCCAAAGCUAGAUAUACAACAGUUGUUUCAGAUUUAAUAGGUGUGAAAGAGGAGCUGUAAGCAUUGCACAAAGAACCUAUUUCCUUAGUGACUGAUAGAGAUGUAGCUAUUAAGAAAGCUGGAAAGUAGAUUACUUGCAGCUCAAAAGGUGAAUAUCAAACCAACCAUCAACUUCCAGCUAACAUGUGCUUAUUUAAAACUGUCAACGAAGUAUUGCAGCAUUAAUUUGAUAGAAAUUGAUCAAGAACAAUGAUUACACAGAUAACUUGGCAGUUUUGGCUUACACCAUAGCCAACAUUUUUUUUUCUUUUUUGGGACUUGGGUACAUGAAAAUUUAUGGGGAGGAAAAGUUGUUGCAUUCCAAGUUCAUGACAUAGCACAAGCCAUUUGAAAUGGUACUUAAAGUUACACAUGACAUGCCAAUGGGCCUCAUUUAGAUAAAUUUCUCAACAAACACUUAUAGGAAAAAAAAUAGGAGGUAAAAUGAAUGAAAUUUCUCCCUUAAGUGAAAAUCAACUUGUGCACCUAGCUUAUGGACAAAUUAGAUUAGGGAGCUUCUAAAAAAUUAAUGGGAGAAGUUUAAUUCAAUAAACCUCUUUAUUUUCUUAUCUUAUAAAUGCUUGUUAAAAAGUUUAUUCAAACUGGGCUUAAGUAGAUAAAAUUUGAUCCUACUAGUUGAAGUUAACCCUCAUUAACAGAGUCUACAAUUUUUGCUAAAUAAAGCUACAACUGAAACUACCAAGACAUGUUAAUUGUACCUCAGAGAAAGGAGAUUACUUGCAGUUCAAAAGGAGAUAGAGGCUGCAAAGCCUUCUGAAAAUUUGGCAAUAGCAGCAAUUAAAGCAUUGCAAGAAAAAAAGGGUUCAAAUAAAUAAUAAAAUUACAAACAUUGCUUUCAUUAGUUUCAAUCUGAAUCAUUCAUUCACAAAAUUCAGUUAAGAUUCGCUUUUCUUAAAAUCUCAUUUCUCCCUAGAUAUGCUUUGAUAUACAAGUGUGACUUCAAAGUAGGUUUAAGGGCAUGCAAAUACAUAUCCAAACCCACUCUCACUUCUGCAAAUUGGUAAAACCCAAACUCACUCAGCCAAAGCAUACUUCUCCAUCAAAAUCAGGGCAUUGGAUAUGAGUAGCCAUGGUUUAAAGAUUUAAUAGCCAUACCUAGAUAAAACACUCUGAUUGUAAACUUCUGGUGACUCAGAAAGAGUAUCACUAAUUCCUAUGGAUAACGAGUGUUGUCAACUUUCUGGUACCAUCUUCAAUUCCUAUGGAUAAAAAUAAAAUGCAUAUGCUUGUGAUAUUCUUUUUAGAGAAGAAUGUAUUAGGGCACAUUAACAUUAGGUAUGCAGUUUGUUGCUCAUACAGUUAUUCACAAAUCCAAGUCUCAUGCACAAAAAUCUGGAAUUCUCAUACAGUUUGCUGCUCGUAGAAGUUGAUUUAAACUCAAUUAGAUACAUACCUGGCAGCCACUUGUACCUUUUUGUGAAGAAACUAAUAUGGACUAGUAGGUCCAUACUAGAUCUUAGCCUAAUCGCACCCGCACGAUCAACUAUCCAAUGCCCUACGGGGUGCACCUUUUAUACAAGAACACAGUAAGGGUAAGGGAUAUUGCGUUAAAUAUAAAAUACCCUAGCCAUGUUUACUUCACUAAGUGUGCGAUAGAUGAAUGCAAUCAAAUAUUUAUACAGGAUUAGACGAAACAUACCUAGGUAAGGUGGCGAAGGAGAAGAAGCAGAGAGUUGUGACGAUGCUCAAGCUUAGAUGAAACGAUGCUUAGAUGGAGAACAAAGAGCUUCAAGGUAGAUGGAGAACAAAGAGCUUCAAGGUAGACGAAGAACAGAGACCUUAGAUGGAGAAGAAAAGAGAGCGAAAGCUUAGAUGGAGAAGAUGAGAGCGUGAGCCAUAUCUUAACUUAUCAAACGUUAACAUCGGUUUUGUGAAAACCUGAUGUUAACAAACUUAUGUUAACAAACCGAUGUUAACUAAUUAAUGUUAACAUCAGUUUUCCAAUAACUGAUGUUAAUGUCACUUCAUUAACAUCGGAUUUUCACAAAACCGAUGUUAACGGAUACACAGUAUUUACAAUUAUGCCACCGCGUUUACGUUAACAUCGGUUUUGUUAACAACCAAUGUUAAGCCGCCGAUGUUAAAUAUGCCUUUUGUAGUAGUGUUAAACUAGCUUAACUAUAAGCUACUAUUGAGGGUUUUCUCCUAGCUGCAUCAUUAGGGUUUUUUAGAUCCUAAGGCUUCCAUGUUUGUUUUUCCCAUGUGGUUGUGGCUCUACCUAAGCUGAUUUGCUGCCUUAAUUUGACACCUUCUACCCCGAUAUACAUAUUUAUAUAGUAGAAUACAUGAAAAUGCAAAAUUACAUAAAAUGAUUUUAUUCAAUAAACAUAAAAAAGCUCACGUGGGUAAAAUGUUAACAUUCCCGUUAAUCACAAAAUUAAAAACUUAUCAAUUGAGGGUAUGAAAACAUUUCCAACUCAAAACAAGGUUGUUCAAGUUUACCAAAGAACUCAAGUUAAGUAACAAAAUAAAAAAAGUAAAAUGACAUGUUUGGAACAUCAUGCAAUUAAAACAGAAACCCAUGCCCCAAUGUCACAUCCUAUCAUAGUAUUGUGUCCUAACAUCUUCCAGCACGAGGUUCCUUAAAGCAAUCCGCCUAGCCAUCUACUCUUAUGAACACAAGGUUAGAGAUCAUCACAUGAUCCAAACACAUACGGAGUGAGUUAUCACAUUCCUAAACAGGUAAAGAUAGCCAAAGGCUUAUAUAUAUAUAUAUAUAGUAUGAGUAUAACAAGUUCAAAUUAGAACAAUUCAUAUCACUUUAUCACUCUUUGCAUAACAUCACUUGUCCCAAGGAUUUAAUCAUAUUCCACACCUUCACAUUAAUCACGUGUUCAAAACAACAAAUCUCAAGUACAACAUAACAUCUCACACUCACACAAUUCAUUAUCCACCAUCACGUAGCAAGCCACAUGGAUCAUUACACAGGUGUUAUGCAACAGAUACACUAAGACUCACUUCUAUAUGCAAUAUGGUACUAUGUCAGUGAAAAACCUCAUCGGACGCUUAGGAGUACAUGACAAGACAGACCACAUACUGGUAAGUCAGGUCACUCUCACUAGGUAAAAUCAUAGGGAGACCAGUUAGGGUCACCCUGUUUUGCGAGAAUGCUCCAACCAUGUGGGAUCGACACAUGCUUAAAGGAGUACUCAAACUGGAUGUAUUUACCCCUAAGGCCAAGACUCCGAAGAGUCCGUCAGGACUUCUCCCUCCUGAUUCAGGUCUAACCCAUAAAACAUUUUAGCACGCAAACUCUAUCUAUAAACUAUACAAAACACACGACUCCUCAAUUGUUCUCAAAAUAAUUUGAACUCAUUGUGCUUCAAAGUGAUUCAACUCGUCGAGUUCCCACAGUGGACCCCAUCACAAUACUCGUCGCACAUUUACUCGUCGCCCUUAAAGGGUCUUAAAAUCGUGUGAUUUUACAGUUCAUAGCUCAGACCUCAAUGCACACAACAUCUCAAUACAUGUGUGAUCUCUCAAUUUAACACAUACUCAACUUAUCACAUACACUCAAUCUCAAUCACAAUGUUAUAAUCUCAAAGCAACAUGUUAUCACACCUUACAAAUCAUAUACAUAUCACAUAAUAUUAAUAUAUACAUGGCACAAACACAUACUUUACCUAUAAACUAUGCAAUACACACAACUACUCAAUUUUUUUUAAAAUCAUUUUAACUCGUCGCACCUCAAAGUGAUUCAACUCAUCGGAUUCCUACAGUGGAUCCCAUCACAAUACUCGUCUCACAAAAACUCGUCGCCAUUAAAGGGUCUUACAAUUGUGUGAUUGCACAAUUCAUAGCUUACAACUCGAUACAUACAAUAUCUCAAUAAACAUGUAUCUUGCAAUUCAUCACAUAUUCAAUUUAUCACUUACACAAUAUUUCAAUCACAAAUUCACGAUCCUAAUAUAACAAUUUAUCACACUAAUCUAGUAAAUCUUGUUCAAAACACAAACAAAUUAUACAAAAAUGUUUCUCGCAACAUGGGAGAAAAACCCCUCGAACAAUUUCACAUACUCAUAUAAAAAUAAAAGGAAUCAAAAUCAUAGGUCAAAAACAUAAAAACACCAACAACACUCAAUUUUAUCAACCAAUUCACAUCAGGGCAUCAAUUGGUCCAUCAAACAAAAUAAUAUCAUAAUUAUAAUUGUAAAGGAAGAUAUACAAUACAGUAAACAUCCCAAAAUAAACUCUAAUUUGAUCCUCUAAGAUCCCUACACAUGUUCAUUCUAACCCAAUUGCGAUAAACCCAUCAUUUACCUCUAAGCGGGCUCACUGCAUAGUCCGACAGUGAUAACAGGGUCUCUAGUGAUUCUGUAAGAUUCCUGAAGCUUUUCUUUUGGUUUCUCUGCUAGGUUUUCCAAGCAUUAGAGAGAAGGAAAAGGGAUUGGAGUCUCAAUUUCACUGUCUCUGUGAGAGCGGUAUGUCUCUCUAAAAACAUUAUAUCCCAAAUACCAACGGUGGAAAUGUGUGGAAAUGAGUUUCGGAGGGGGUGUCCAAAUUUCUUAAUGAUCCAACGGUUAAAGAGUCUGAGAUCAUAGUUUUACUGAGACAUGUUUGAGUGUAUACGAGAAAAAGAAAGAGUUUUGAGAGAGGAAGAAGGGAAAACGAAUUUGAGAGGAAGAAAGAGCGUAAGGACAUAUCAUAAAUGUAAAAACUGACCUAAUAUAUCUCUAUGUAUAAUUAGGGUACUUUCAGCCUAUUAUUUACUCUAUUUUUCUUUAUUUUAUUAUUUUAUAAAAAUGAACUUUAUUUUACUUUCAUUGAAUAAAAUAACCAGUUAAAACAUUCCUUUAUUUUCUAAAACAUCAUUUAACUCUAUUUAUUUUCUAAUACUAUGAAACUCUUAUUUUAAUUAACAAAAACCCUUUUUCUCUCAUUUAUUUAAUUUCUAAAAACUCUAUUAAUUUUUAAAUAAAUUUCUUUUUAUUUAUUUGACAAAAAAAUGGGGUGUUACACCUAAUAUCAUAUUUAUGCCUAUUUGGUACUUAUGAAAACGACAUCAAAUGGAUCAUGGAAAGAACCUUGACCUCAUUGAUGAGGAAAAGGACAUAUUAGAGUUGUCAGAACAGGAGGAAACAAGUCAACUGGAUAAAAAGGAUGUGGAAGGCUAUUAGCUCGUUGGCAAAUUCUUGAAGCAUGGAUCGAUGAACGUAAGGGUUUUCAAAGCCACAAUGGCCCAAGCAUGGAAAAUGAAGGGAGGACUAGAGGUGAGAGUUGUGGAGAAGAAUCUUUUCACCUAUUGUUUUUCCAGAAGAAAGCAGAGACAUGGUUAUGAGGCUGGCUACAUGGAAUUUUGAUAGGAAGCUAGUGGUUCUAAGUGAUCUUGAUCAAGACAAAAGCCCUAGCAUGGUUUAUCUAAAUUGUUGCCCAUUCUGGGUAAGGAUUUAUGAUUUGCCCCUUAACCUGAGGGUCAAAAGAGUGGCUCAAACAAUUGCAAACACCAUACCCCAAUUUAUGGAGUGGAAUAAGAAUGAGCAGAAUCGGUUGGGUCGCUUUGUAAGAGUGUGAAACCUCAUGGAUGUUAUAAAAUCUCUACGGAGGGGAACACAAUUGAAACAAUGGACGUUGCUACGCAACCUCACCGAGAGACAUAAAUUCCUUAGCUGAAAUUGAUGUGGGCUUGGGAGCCCAUGAGCAAUUUGAUCUUUGUGGAGACUUCUUUCUGAUGAAGGUCUUGACUUGGUGUUCUUUAUGGAAACCAAGAAAAAGGUUACUGAACUGAAUGGUUUGAGAUAAGGGGUUAAAAAUAUGAUAAGGGGGGUUGGUUUUGUUGUGGGGUGACUACAUUGAGGUUGAUAUCAUCUUUUCUCCCAAAACCAUAUUGACGUGUGAAUUUUUGUCCAUUCUCAACAAAAAAAAAAAGAUUCCAAUUCUCAAGUGUGUAUGGCUUUCCUGAGGGGUCUCACAAACACUUCACCUAAAAUUUUAUCUGAGAUUUACAACAUGAGAAUGAAUCCCCUGGGUUAUGUCUAGGGGAUUUUAACAAAGUUCAAAGCCCAAAUGAAAAGAUUGGGGAAAUCCAGUGUGUAUGAGUCAGGUAAAAAAUUUCAAUGACACUCUUAAUGAUGUUAGCCUAAGUGACUUGGGGUAUUUGAGCUAUAAAUUUAUUUGGACAAAUAGAUGGAAAAAAGCCCAACAACAUACAAGAAUGCUUAGAUAGAGUAGUUGAUGAUGCUUAGUGGAGGAGUUGGAGGAAAGAAAUGUUAGGUGUACCAUCUGUCUAGAUUCGAGUCGGACCAUUGCUUGAUCUUUGUUUAAUUCUUGGUGCAAAAAAGGAGGAGGAAAAGAAGGGCAAACAUCUAUCAUUUUGAGCAAAUAUGGUUAAAGGAUAUGAUUUAUGGUAUCUUAGAAAUAGAGGCAAAGCAAAAUGAUCUCCUCCUCAAAGAAGAGUUUUACUGGUCCAAAAGGUCCAGAGCAACAUGGUUGGUCCAAAAGAAACAAAACCAAUACCAUUGAGAAGGUUAAGGAUGGCAAUGGUGACUUCAAAGAUGAUGAGAAAAGAAUUGCAGGUAUUCUAAAUAAUUAUUUCUCCACUAUAUUUUCUUUAUUAGUAACAACUGGGUGCAUGAGGUAUCCUACAUGGUUGGAAUACGAUUAUAUGAUUAAAUGAUAAAUAUUUUAAAUGGAAAGUUUAGUGGGGAGGAAGUGGAGUAAGCAUUCUUUCAAAUGCACCCAACAAAUGCUCUAGGCCUUGAUGGCACCCCUACAUUAUUCUAUCAACAAUUUUGGGACCUUGUUGGUCUAGAUGUCAAGAGGUUGGUGUUAAAUAACUUUAAUGAUGAAGGAGACCCAACCACAAUAAACAAAACAUUGAUUGCACUCAUCCAAAAAGUUAAAAGACCCACAAAUGCAAUUAGAUUUAGACUAAUUAGUCUUUGUAUUAAUGUCAUCUUCAAAAUUGUUAAAGACUAUGGCUAACAGUUGAUGAUGGUUCUUCCUUCCAUGCUCUUAUUGCUUUUGAAUGCUUCCACUAUACGAAGAAUAAGAGAAGUGGAGAUGGAUUUAUUUGAUCAAGGCCAUUUGCAUGGUCUAAAGAUAUGUAUUUCUGCUCCUAUUAUUUCACACUUGUUCUUUGCAAAUGACAACAUUAUUUUUACAAGGCAACACUAGAGGAGGCAAUGUGUCUAGUAAGUAUUCUAAAGACUUAUGAGGGUGCUUCUAGACAGAAAAUUAACCUAGAUAAAUUAGAGCUCUCGUGUAGUUGAAAUGCACCUAGUACUAGAAUUGAUGAACUAACAAUGCUUCUUGGAGAAAAGGCGGUGGAGACCUAUGUGAAAUAUUUGGGUCUUCCUACGUUGAUAGCAAAAUCCGAAACCUAAGUUUUCAAAUUUGUCCGAGAUUGGGUCUGGAAAAAACUCAAAGGUUGGAAGGAGAAGGUUUUGUCAAAGGCGGGGAGAAAAGUGUUGAUAAAAUCUAUGGUUCAAUCUAUACAACCUAUGCCAUGGGUUAUUUCUUCUUGCCACUUUCCACUUGUAGAAAGAUAGAAAGUCUCACAACCCAUUUCUAUCGAGGGAGGGGAUGUUGAUGGGAAGAAGAUCCAUUGGAUGAGCUGGAAAAAUUGACUAGAAAUAGGAACCAUGGAGGGCUUAGAUUCAGAUUUGUUAAAUCCUUCAAUCUAGCCUUACUAGCGAAACAAUAGUGGAUACUCAUUUUCCACCCAGACUCCUUAGUGGACUUUUUUUUUACCAAACAAAGUGAUUUUGUAAAAUUAUAUAGCAAAUUUGGUAUUUUCAAAAACUAUUUAUCAAAUAUGAGUAAUUUUGACUUUUGACAUCAGUUAUAAUUAAUCACCUAUUUCUGGUAAAUAGUUUUCAAAAUCACCUAGUUUGGUAUAUAGUUUUACAAGAGCUAGUUUGUUAAAAAAAAAAGUCUUCCUUAAUAUGGCUAGGGUUUAUAAGGCAUGUUACUUUCCUUCCAAGUGCAUCCUUGAGGCCACGAAAGGUUCUGAUAGUAGCUAUAUGUGGAGUAGCUUACAAAAAGCAAAGGGGAUAAUUGAAUAUAAGGUUGCAUCUGGAGUUUUCGAGAUGGUUUGAUGACCUCAAUAAAAAAUGACACAUGGAUGCCGUGUGUGCCCGGAGGAAAGAUUCCACUUUUUGAAUAUGUGGAUAUUCCUGAUGAAAUGAAAGUUUCGGAGUUCAUUAAUGUUGAGUCGGAUUGCUAGAAUACUUAAACUUUAAAAUUAACAAAAUUAAGACUAUAAUAUUAUUAUUUACUUUUUAAUAUCGACAUUGUUUAACAAUUGUCUAAAAAUUUUACCUAAUUUUUUAUAAUAUAAAGUAGGAAACUUUUGACGUGCUUUUUUCCUCUUGAAAUAAGGGUAUUUUCAACAAUUUUUUUAUAGUUAUUUCAUUAUUUCAUUUAUUUUUUUUGGUGAAUCUUUUAUAUAAUACAAAAUAAGAAAGUUUUGGUGCACUUUUUUCCACCCAAAAUAAGAAUAUUUUUGACAAUUUUUUUGGUUACUUAUUUUUUAGUUAUAUUUUUGGUGGAUGAAUAAAACUGAAACAUUUAAUAGAAAAUGAGUUUUAAAUGCAUAUUUAUUUAUUAGGUAUUGAAAGAAAGAUAAUAGGUUCUAAAUGAGUUUUAAAGCGUAUUAAUAAGUAUUUAAAUUCAUUCAUUGGUUUAUUAUAUUUAUAGAGAUUUAUAAUAUCUAUGAAAAUAACGGCUAGGUGCAUUGGGUCCAUGUUUUGUUAGAGGCUAAACAUGCUUUAGUUAAGUAUCUCUUUGGAACUUCAAAAUUUUACAUGUCUUUGAUGUUGUUCUUGAUUGUAUUUAUCACGUCAUAAGGGUGAAUUUAACUUCUUCAAAAGCUUUUAGACUUUAAUAAUAUUUUCAUUAAUGAAAAAACUAUUAUAUUUUUUUAAAUUGGAAUUUAAAAAUAAGAAUAUCAUAUAUUUUAAAAAUAUUAUUUAAAAUUAAUAAGAAAGUUUUGACACACUUUUUUUCACCUAAAAUAGGUAUACUUUAGACAAUUUUUUUGGUUAUUUCAUUUUUCUUUUAUUUUUUGAUAAAUAAAAAGAGAGACAUUUAAUAGAAAAUGAGUUUUAAAUGGAUGUUUAUUUAUUAGGUAUUGAAAGAAAGAUAAUAGAUAUUAUUGAUGUCAUUAAUGAAUAUUUAAUUUGAAUUCAUCCAUCAAAAUAAUAUGAAGUGCAUUGGAUUCAUGUUUUGCGGGAGUCUAAACAAGUUGUUGAUGUUUUAACUAAGUAUGAGCUGGAUCUUUAGAAUGCUAAGCAAGUCUUUCAUGUUGUUCUUUUACUGUAUUUAUCAUGUCAUAAGGGUGAAUUUAGGUUGCAUUAGUUUUUUUAUAGGCUUAUAACCUUUAAUAAUAUCUAUCAUUAAAAAAAUAUCAUGUUUAUAAAUUUGCAUUUGAAAAUUAAUAAUAUCAAAUUUAAAAGAUAAAAAAGAACUAAAGGUAUUAAUCUGUCAUUAUAGAAUCAUUUAUCAAUUGUAAUUAUAUAUUACCCUAGCUUGAUGGAAGAGAGCUAUGAAGGAAAAUGAAAAUAGUGGUAGCUUGAUCACCCAUUUACAUUACCCUUAUGUUUUAUUGUCAUUGGAGAAUACUUUAAAAAUUAAUAUUUGAGAAUAAUGUCUAUUGAAUGUCUCAUAUAGGAAUAGAGUGAUGUUUAUUAGUGUCCUGUAAUUCUUUUUCUUAAACAAAUCAUUUUGCUUAACUUGCUAAGUAGCUUUAAAUGAUUUAGCUUUUUCCACUUGAAGAAUUAUUCAAGAUUAGAAGAUUUAAGAGGAUUGAAAUAAUACUAAGAUUCUAGCUCAUUGAAUGGAGAAAAAUAAUUUUUGUUGCCAAGAUGUUGCCAAGUAUCACCAAAAAAACCCAACUAGCUUGUUUUUAUUGUUGUUUCCAAACCCUGCACAUCAACUGCUUAUGUUUUUGUCCUUAUGAACUAUGUUUUGUUUAGCCAUCUAAAUUUAGAAAUGAACUUUCUUUUUUGCAACCUUUUCUUAAUAACAAAAGCACCCUUGCCUAGUUGUUAAAUUUACACAAAAGUCUAGUACAAACAAAUCGUUGAGGAUACGAUCUUUGUACUUUGAAAAUACUACAUAGAUUGGUAUGCUUAUCGAUGAUGUAACAAAGCCCCACCCCCAUGGUGGCUCCUCUCCUUGUGCCGCCUACAUCAAGCCCUCCCUUGCCUCUGGAAGCCACCACCACCUUGUCAUGUGCAAAGGCUACGAGUACGACUUCCACCCAGCCACCACCAAUUAAUUAAUGAUAUUUGAUUAUAGAAGUCAUUUUAAAAAUAUUUGCAAAAUAUAUACAUUAAAAUUUAAAUACGGUUAUAAUUUAUCCAAUAUAAAAAUUUUGGGCAUCACACAGGUACAAGAACUAGAACAAUAAUAAAAGUCAGUAGUUGACAACAUCAAUCCACUAAUUUAAGAUGAGAGAGAUGAUACCUACAAAUAUACUUUUAAAAAUUGAAUUUAUAUUUAUAAAAUUAAGAAAAAAAGACAUGCAUAUUUAAUUGGGUUAAAAAGUAAAGAGAAAAAAGAUAUUUCAUUAGGACAUACUAUUGGGUGGAUUUUACAAUAAACCCACUCAACAAAUUGUUCACCAGUAAACUAAUAAUUACAACCAUUAAAUAUAUUUUAAAAAAAAUAAAUUAUUCAAAUUCAGAAUUAUAGUUAAUUUAUCUAGUUAGUUAAAUUUAAUUAUUCUUAUAAUCCAAUUAGAACACCACCAUUUCUCUGAAGAGAAGACCACACCACCGUGAACACUAUCAUACUCUCACUUACUGAAAUCAAAACAAAACACCACUAUCUUCUUUGUCUCAACAAAAAUCAAAACCAAACAAAAUUUGAUUUAGGAAUUUCUUGUUUAUUCAACAAGCACAAUCAAAAUCAAAAUCAAAUCAUCAGCAAAUACAAUCUUAUAAUCAAAAUCAAAUCAUCUACAUAUGUUGUGGGGUGUGUGUGGGGUGAUGUGAGGUAUUUACGGUAUGGUUUGGCUUCAUUUUUGAUUGAAAAGUCAUUUGAGUCAAACAUAAAAAUUUAAUGUUUUCAGUUUGGUUUGGUUUGAAUAUAAUAUCAAAUUCAAAUCAAAUCAAACCAAUCUUUUGUUGUCUGAUUUGGAUUGAUUUUUGUGAUUUUUAAUAUUUUUAAUUUUAUCUUUAUAUGACCUUUAAAAAUAUUUAAUUUAACUAACAAAAAAAAAUUGACACUAAAACUAUCAAACAUUCAAAACCUUAUUUAGACACUAUAGCCCAAUAGUAGCUAAUAGCUUGGUAUACAUUUAAAAAUUUGAUGUAUUUUGACUUCUUGUAGAUAAAUUAUAUGAAGUAUAAACUAAUGCUCUAGUCAAAACAGUAGUUAAGCUCAAAUUACACUUAAAAAUAUUUGUUUUUAUUUUUUAAGUGAUUUUUAGUUUUUAUUUUAGAUCGGAUUGGAUUUGAGCACCCUUAAAAAUGACAUUACUUUACAAAAAAAUGGCGACAAAACGUCACUUUUUAGAAACACAUCAACACUUGGUUAUGCAUUUAAAGGAUUGGUAAAAUGCACAAAAAUUAGGAAAAACAUAAUAGUAUAAUUUGUGGGAAAAAAACUUGAGUUAUAAAAUUCCCAAAAUAAUAAUAGCUAAGUGGUAAAAUGUACACUCAAGCCAUAAAAAUAUAAUAUAAAACUUACCUAGAAAAGUGAUACAAAGAUGUAAAAAUGAUUAAUCCUUUAAUUUAUUCAAAUAAAGAACUUUAUUUCAAAACCAACAUAUUAUGGGAAGAUAUCAGUUGGAGUUGCUACUUUCCUCCUUUCCUUAUUAAUGCAUAUCUCUGGGUGCUUUUGCAUGACCAGGUGGUGCUCAACUCUAGGUCCAUUGUGCCAAAUGUCACCCAACAGGUCCUUGUUAUUACUUGUUCAAGUGCCUUUCUAAGUGCCCUUGUCAGGACCGGGUACUACACAUGCCCCUAAGCUCUAAGGCAUGUGAUAACGACUGUUGAAUCGCUUCAAAACAAAUAAAACUAAGAAAUUUUGUAAUACAUGAGUAACCUAGGCCAACUCAGAAAUACGAUUCAAUUUGGUUUCUACUUCAAUUCACUAAUAAAGAGUAGGGAGAAUUUCAACAAAUAGUUUGAAGGCAAGGUAAAGGAUUGCGAAAACUCAAAAACAAAAUUGUAGAAACAAAACAAAUUUUUUGGAAACAAAAUAACAUAAUAUGAAUCAAGUUUAAUAGCAUCAAUCUAAUUCACCAAACCAAUGCAAAUCGAAUCAUCAUAGUUUUGCAGAGAAUGAUCAUGUUGUGAAAGUUCAAUCAAUGUCAUUAGAGUUAGUUCAAUCAAAUUAAUUUCUAAAUUCAUUGAGAUCGCAAAUUAGGGUGGAGUAUCAUCCAAACAAUUUUUUAUUAAAUUUCAAAAUUAGGAAAUGAAUACAUUACCUAAUUCGUUUUCAAUCCUAAUCAUAUUCAUAAUCAUGAAAAUUUAAAAUAGGAUUGAAGAAACAUAUGAACAUUCACACAAAAUAGAAGUACUAAACCAGAAUUCAAAUUUAGCCUUGCUUGGAGUGGAUCCUAGGAUUGAUUGAGUGUUUUACCUUUCAUGAUCAUCGCCAAUGGAAGAUUCAUGAAAUUUUUGCAAGAAAAAGGAAGAAUAAAAGUGAAAAGAGGAAGAAGAAUGAACAACAAUUGAGAGAAAGAGAUAAAAGAGUUUGAUCUUAAAGCUUGCACAACAAGUAACUAAAUUUGUUUUUGUACAAAAUGAAGUAACUAACUCACUAACUAAAUAAAUUCUACUAAUAUAUAUAGUUACUACUCAGAAGGAAGGGAUGGGUUUUGAUUAGGCUCAUCUAAUCUACCUAAUUAAACUAAUUACACAAAGCACAGUCCAAAUUCGCAACCUAAUUAUUCAAGUGUAGAGGUUCUGACUUCCAAACUUAAUUUGACCCUCGAAAUAGUAGAAUUGGCCCAAGCUUAUUUCUGACAAAAUUGAAUCUCUCUUUCUUAGCUUUCUAGGGACUACUCACAUGCUCCAUUUGGAGUUAUGUAGUGCCUGAUAGACCUUGCACAAGAUAGAUAGGUCAAGUAAGUAAAAAAAAUCCAAAAAUAAGCCACAAUUAUCAAUUAAGCUCAAUCAUUUGCCUAAGACCAAAACUGAGUUAAGAUAGGAAAAUAGGAGUCAAAGAGAGAGGUAAUGUCAUAUGAGUAGAAGUAUUUGGUCCUAGGUCCUUUAAGCUAAGUGCUAUCGGUAGGUCUUGAUUUUGAACUUUUGGAAGUUGCAUUUCUCUAAUAUACCCUUUUUGCAUUCAAAAUCAAUUUUGAUUGAAAGUAUUAAACAAAAUUGAUGAAAAAUCACUUUAAUUGUAGUUACUCCAAGGCUGGAAAGAGUUACCUACAUACGGACUAACCCUUAAAGCUAAGUUAAGCAUUGUAGAGUGAAACAACCAAGAUGUGGCUCUUAAGCAGUUGUGAUCUUGCAUUGACUAGCGAUGCGGCCUAAGUUGUGGUUAUAAAGCUUAGACAAUCUUCAUCUUACAAGAGACUUUAUGGUGUUGAAUUAGGUUAAAAAGCCCAAAUUCUAAAAAUAAUUUCCAUAAAAAUCAUGUUUUCGAUAUCGGAUAUUGUAAAAAAAAAAAAGUUAAAACUAUUGUGCAUUUUGUUCUCUUCUGAACAUACAUAAACAACAUUCUUCCAAUUUAAAAAUAAGAUGUUGUCACGUGAUAUGUGAGGAAGGAAAUAUUACAAUUAGUUGAAACAACUGUGCAUUUUGUUCUUUUCUGAAUACACUUAAACGCCAUGAUUUUAAAUUGUGAUCACGGUUGUGGUUGCAAUUGUGGUGUGUCAGAAAAUCUUUACCCUCAAGGCCUAGACUUUGAUGAAUCCGUUAGGACCUCACCUUUGUUAUUCAGGUCCAAACCCUAAAACAAUUUUUGCAUGCAAACACUGCUCAUGAAUUAUACAAUACCCAUGACCUCACGCUUGUUCUCAAACACGUUUCACAUAUUGUGCUACAAUUUAACACUUCGAGUUCCUAACUUGGAACCCUACACUUUCCUUUUAACACUUUGUGCAUAAACAUUUUUCUCAAAGUAAACACCAAUCAGGUUAUUGUAUAAUUCACAACUCACAACACAAGUAUUGUCACAUCAAGUAUUAAUCACACACUUAUUCAUGACCAUAUCUCAUGUCCACAAUUUAACAUCUCACAAUGUCACAAUCCACCAUCACAUGUUUAUGUGUAUCUCACAAAUUAAUGCAUGUUUAACUUUGCACUUAUACUCAAUCUCAAUAACAAUGUUAUAAUCUCAAAUCAACAUGUUAUCUCACAAUUCAUCAUAUAUUCAAUUUAUCACUUAUACACAAUUUCAAUCACAAUUUCAUAAUCUCAAUAUAAUAAUUUAUCACGCUAAUCUAGUAAAUCUUGUCCAAAAUACAAACAAAUUAUACAAAAAUACUUUUCCCAACAUGGGGAGUAAAACCCCUCAAACAAUUUCACAUAACCAUAUCAAAAUCAAAGUAAUCAAAAUCAUAAGUCAAAAACACAAAAACACCAAGAGCACUCAAUUUUAUCAAUCACUUCCCAUCAGGACAUCAAUUGGUGUGUCAAACACAACAAUAUCGUAAUUAUAAUUGUAAAGGAAGAAUUAUAAUUCAAUAAACAUCCCAAAAUAAACCAUAAUUUAAUCCUCUAAAGAUCCAUACACAUGUUUAUUCUAAUCUCAAUUGCGAUAAACACAUCUCUUACCUCUAAGUGGGCUCACGUGUGUAGCCUGGCAGUGAUAGUCUAGUAGUUUCCUAAUUGCCAUAAACUCAUCACUUACACAAAUUUUGUCCGAGACAUUUGUACAAAAAUUAAAAAAAAUGGUGGUGAUGCAUGUUAAAAUACUAAAUGAGUUAACAUAUUGAAUGAAUAGUAUCACGCUAAAAUUUUAGAAGCAUUGAAAUGAGAAGGAAAAAUAUUUUGGGGUGGCCAAUUUCAUAUUUCAAAUAUUUUAGAAGGAUAAAAAAUAUAUUUUAUCCAAUAAUUAAGUUAUAUAUUUUUUAUUUAAUAAAAUAUUUUUUUAAUUUGUUAGAUAACUCUAGAAUUAGAUUUCUUCAAAAAAAAAACUUUAGAAUCAAAAGAUUUAAUGCAUAUAUGCAUAUAACACAAAUAUACCUUACCAAUGAAUAAGAAAAUUGAGCAUUGAUUUGGCCAAAUAAAAAGUAAUACAGAUUUGUUUUAACUGAAUUAGAUAUAAUAAACAACAAAAUUUAAAAAAGAAAUUUUUAUUCCAAAAAUAAGUCAAGCAUUAUCCAAAAUACUUGCAAGGGAAAAUUAAAUAUGAGAAAUAAUCAGUAAGAUUCUAUAUACAAUUAACAACAUGUAAUAAAUUAAUUUUUUUAGCUUUGGACAAAUGAUCUAUUUAAUUUUUUAUCUUCAUUUUUUGGUUUAUUUUGAUCUUAUCUUUUAGAAAUUUUAUUAUGAUCUUUUAUGUUCUGAAAAAGAAUCAAAAUGGUCCUUUCGUCAAUGCAAAGAUAACGUCGUUAAUGAAGUAAAGAUAUUAAUGGCUAAAAAUUAUCACAAAAUAUAAUUUCUUAUUUUCUUUAGCUUUCUCCUUCCCUUAUUCCCUUGAACCAAAAAAAUAAAAUAAAGAAUCAAAUAGGCCAUUUGAUCUUUUGUUUAAUAUACCUAAACAUGAAUCCAUUAAUUAAAUGAUUUGCAUAUCUGUUUGUCAAAUUUUGAACUUGCAUAAUAUUUUUUAAAUUAAAAAUAAAAACAAUAAGUGUUCCAAAAAUUUGUACUCAAUUUUUUUUAAUAUUUUCAUUGAACAUAAAAUAAAAGACAUAAAGAUUUUUUUCAAUGACUUACAUCAUUUAUCAAAAAAUGUUACCAUCUUCGCUCUAUCCAUUCUUUUAAGUAACCCCCUAUAAGAUAAAGAAAUUUAUCAUAAGCCUUUUUGCAUUUUAUUAUAAGCAUUAUAUAAUAGAUUGGAAAGAAAAUUCAUAAACAGAAUGAAAACCUAUAAUUAUUCUCAAUAUAAAGUAUAUUAGACAAGAUAAAUUUAAGUAUUGAAUUACCUUUCCUUAUAUAUUGUGAUAUACUUGUCUAUCAACCAUAUUAGAAGUAAUAUGAUCGAGUAUCUUGAUCUUCACCAUCUUUUACCAAAAUAUUUAACCCUUUUUUUAUGUAACUCUUGAUAUAGUAACAUAUAAUUGUCCAUGAAAAAAAUUGAGGCAAAAAUAAUCCAACAUGUUUUAAAGAUUGUUCUUGAAUCUUGUUGAUAGUCCUUGCAAAAGAAGUAGCCAAAUGAAAUUGCCUCGGUUGGAACUUGAAAAGGAUCCUUGCAUUAGAAGGAGUUAAUGAAAGUCUUGGAAUAAACACUUUGAGACCAAUGUUGCUUCCAAAUUUAACAUUUCCUUCUAGAACAUAUUCCCCAUUCGUGUGACAAUUAUUAGUCUAGUACCAUUACAUAAUCCUAAUGAUUGAUCAAUGUCAUUUGGAAGACCCGAAGCACUAAUAAUGUUUAAGAACUUUGGAGUAUGCACAUCAUCUGGCCUAUUAAUCUCUUCAUUUUCUGAUGAAGGAGUAUCUAAACUUAGAUUUUUCUUUCCUCCCCAAACAUCAAUGACAACAUGUAACAAUUUCAUUUUUUUGCUAAAACAACCUUGACUCUAAAAAAGGAUGAAUCAUGAAUAUUUUCUAAGAAAGAUGGAUAUAUAAGUAUUACUAACAAUGGAUUCAAGAGAGUUGGUGUCACUUCUAAGCAAAUCAUGGUAUGUGUGGUUUCCUAUAUUAUAUGUUUAAAAGGGACCAGUUUGGGGAUUGUAUUUUGUAUGUUUCUUCCUAAUACUGGUACCAAACAUAGUAAUUCAAAUUAAUUUUAGUGCACCCCUAAAUACCAUUUGGACAUUUACUUAAGUAGAAGAAGCUACCUAAGGAACAUAAUUUUUUUAAAAUUAGUUUAUUUUCUAUAGAUGAUAGUGGUAAAUAUUAUCAUGAGUUGUUUGAUGAUUGUCCAAAUGGAAAUCAAAAAGCUAUCUAGGAUGGAGGUGUUGGAAUUGUGUAAUUUUGUCACAUUGCAUUUUGGCAUAAUUACCAAUAGGUCUAUAGAUCUGAUAAUAACUUUUUUACUCAUUACUUGGUCAUUUUAGGUUCUCAAACACUUGGUUAGAUUCAUUGUUUUGGUUAAACUAAAAGAUAUUACUUUCAUUCUAAAAUGUUUGCUUUUUUGUCAUUUUAGGGACAUGUUUGACUGAAAUCUCCUAUCACUAGUGCAAAAUACACAUUUUAUAACAACUUUUUAAAUAAAAAUUGUUUUAAAAAAUAAUACGGUGGUACUUUCAUAAUUAAAAACAGUUUUUAGAUUGGUUAUAAGAGAACAGAUAUAAACCUAGAUUUUAAAUCGGUUAAAAAUGAAACCGAUAUGAAAGGUUAUCUUUUUAAACCAAUUCAAUUUAUAACUAAUGUAAUUAAAGGGUGUUUUUAGAUUAGUUAAUAAAGUAACUGAUGCUAUAAGACAAAAUUGAUUUUAAAAAGGAUGUUUUUAAAAUAAUCUAGGCAUUAAUUUCAUAUUAUUUUUUAGAUUAGUUAUAUAGGGAUCUAUCUUAAAAACUAAUCUAAUUUAAAAGAUAGUUACCAUUGAAGACCGGUUGAAAUCUAAUGUUAAAUGUCAAAGUUUUUAUAUUUCCUGCAUAGGCAUCGGUCGUACAACCAAUAUAAAAAGUCAUUUUUUAACCUAUGUAAAAAAGUGUUUCUUGUAAUAGUGUACCCUUUUUGUGCUCCUAUCAUGUAUAGAGAUUUUAAUAUCACUUACACGCAAUGAUGAAUCCAGAAAUUAAGUCGUGGGGGCAAUACACAUACAAAAUUUUGUUGCAUUAAAAAUAUUACAUGUUUUAUUUUUAAAAGUAUAAAUAUUCAUCGUAAUUGUUCUUUAUGAGUUUUUGUAUUCCAAAAAUAAUUGAUAAUUUUCUCAUUUUUCAUAUCAAAAUUUUUAUGAUAGUCAAGAUCUAUCAGUUGAUGAAGAAAAAAACCAUAAUAUAGCAUACUAACUACAACAAUAUACAUAUUUUGCACAAUUAGUUUUCAAAUUUGAGUGCAAUAAGCUUUUAGAUGGACAAAUAUCCUUAGAAUAUGAGUCUUAGACAACAAGGGAAAUUAGGAUUAAAAAAAUAUGUUGUUUGAUGAUAAAUAAGUAAAUGUUUAUGAAAGCGUUAGAAUGAUUAUCCUUUAAUUUAUACAUUUUGCACAAUUAGUUUUCAAAUUUGAGUGCAAUAAGCUUUUAGAUGUACAAAUAUCCUUAGAAUAUGAGUCUUAGACAACAAGGGAAAUUAGGAUUAAAAAAAUAUGUUGUUUGAUGAUAAAUAAGUAAAUGUUUAUGAAAGCGUUAGAAUGAUUAUCCUUUAAUUUAUACAUUUUUGCACAUUUGCUAGAUAAUAAAUAACUAAAUAAAUAAAAAUGUUUUUUUAAGAAAAAUAAAUAAAAAUAUUAAAUAUUGAAAAGUGGGAAUAAAAAUAAAAAAGAGAAUCCAAAUAUUUAUUGUUUACACAUUUUUAAUUUAUAUUAAGAUUGAAAUUAUAAUUAUAAAAUCAUAAUAUUAUAGGGGGGCAAAAUAGUACUAUAUAUUCCGUCCUUGCUUUCAUGUUGAUGAUUUCUCUCAAGCCAGCAACACUUACAUUGGAAAGUUGAGGUUAGUCUGAUCUUUCUGCUCUUGUUUCUUUAAAUAUUUGAACUAUUGGCUUGAUUUGUAAACAUUAAGUGCUUAUAAUGGCAAUUGAUUUAUUACUUGCUGCAAUAAUAUAACCGGAAUUUGUAUAUUUUUACUGCAUUGUGUUUGUAAAAUUUAAUUUACAUCAAAUUGUGAUUGUCUUUUUGUUGCAUUAUUACUUGAUCUGCUUCUUGUCCUUGUCAUUAGUGUGCAUAUUUCCUCUCUUGCAAGGUACCAUAUAUAGUGAUGUAUUGUGUUUAAAAAAACAGCUUAUGUUCCGCUGCAUAAUUUUAUGGUUUGCACCUUUAUUUGUUCUUUAUAUCAUGAAUUUAACAUGCUACAGCCUUGAUAGGGUGUGGUCCAACUUCAUGUAUUGAUUGUUAGAUGUAGUAGUCAAUACUAGAAAAUAGACUUUUAACAUCGAUUAUUUUUUACUUUCAACAUCGGUUUUUAUCUAAUGUUGAAACCAUCGACGUUAACAUUAUCCAUGUUAAUAUCAGUUUUCAAAAAAUCAAUGUUAACAUACACUACACAACAUCGAUGUUCACAAAAACUGAUGUCGUAUAAUAAGAAAUAUACAAAAACAGCAAAAACAACAUCGGUUUUGGUCAAAACCAAUGUUGUAAGAUGAAUAAAAACAUCGGUUUUGAAAAAAAACCGAUGUAGAAAUUAUUUUUACAACAUCGAUUUUGCUCAAAACUGAUGUUGAAUAUGCUUACGACAUUGGUUUUGGUCAAAACCGAUGUUGUAAGAGCACUUUCUACAUUGAUUUUAGACCAAUAGAUGUUGUUUUUUUUUUUUUGCAAAUUUUUAUAAUAUUUUGUUUGUUUUUACAAUGAACCAACCAUAACCAAUUUAUAAAAAAUAUAUUAAUUAUAAAUUAAAAUAUUUAAAAAUAUUAUUUUCAUUACAAUGUUACAUUACUUACAAUUUCAUAAUAUUAAUCUAGAUUUAUAAAAUUUAUUUUAAGAAAGCAAGAUAAUUUCUCUAAAGGUCAAUUGUCUCCAAGAAAAAUAAGACUGAUAUGAUAUCCUAAAUGUCUAGCUGCAAAGCUCUUAUAAAAUCCACAGAAGAGAUGAUAUGAAUAUGUAUAUAAAAGCUAAUAGAAUAAAUAUAAAUGUAUAAAUAUGUAUUACAUAGGAAGGAUGAUACCAAUUAAUUAAUAAAUAAAAAUAACUCUUAUUCCAAAUUAAAAAUAGAUAGAAAAGGUUUAAAGAAAGAAAUUACCUCUACAAGAGCAACAAAGGAUGUCAUCAUCAUGGCAAAGGCUUCACCUGCAUCAAAUGUAAGUGCUCCCCUUCGAAAUGGAUAAGGAACUCGUAUCCUACAAACACAAAAUACAUGUUGAAUACAUUCCCAUAAGCUUCAAGUCAUAAGGCUAUGACUAAAUAGUAAAUUAAUAGUGAAUAAUAAAUUAAUAUCUCAAGGAUGCAAUAGUCUUGCAUAAAAAUGUCAAUUAUGCCCAUGCUCUAAGCUUGAUUAUCAUAGGGAGUUCAACAUCAAUAACUUGAAAUAUUAUAAAGAGACAAACAAUUAAUCAAGAUCAAUAGCACUAAUUGCACAUGUGUUAUUAGAUUUUAAGGUUGAUACUAAGGAUAUAAAAACAAAAAAAAAUCAUAAAUUAAAAAGAGAAAUACUAGCUUUUAUAUUUUUAACAUAAUAUAUGUUUUUAGUUUAAUGAACAAAUUUAAAUUAAGUUGCAUCCUUGACAUCAAAACCCCUUAAAUUUACACAAUGUUUGGACUUAGGGUGGCUCAAAAGUUGGUAGAAGCUAGUUAAUUGGACUGUGUCAUUGCGCAGACUUUGAAUUCACUUUCACAACAAUGUAAUAGUCAAGUAUCUGAGUGUAGAUAGAAUAAUCACACCUUCAAAGGACCCUUUUCACUAGCUUUCUCUAGAAAGUCUCCUCCACCAAAAUCAACCUUUUUCCUUGGUUCAAAAUCAACCAUCUCUGUUUCGUGAGUGUGCAAAAUCAAAGUCCAAAAGUGAACAAUUAUGACAUUGAAUGACUAGAUUAUUUAUUUACUUUUCUUUUCUAAGUGUUUCUUUUAAGUCCACUAUGGACAUGGAACAUUGGGGGUGGGGGUGGACUGGCUUUUACUACUACCGGGUAAGUUCCAUUUAAACACUUAAAAUAUGAAUUUAGACUUUUCAAACUGUUCAGGACAACCACCAUGUUUUUUUUGCAUAAGUCACACUUUCAUGUACUAAAACAAGUCAUUUUAACUUCAUUCGCUCCCCAAACAUUAGGGAUUUCAUGUACUAACCACCUAGCACUAAAAAGAUGCAACUGUUGGUCAAGUGGCCUCAAUAAAUUAAGAGGAGGGUGAAUUAAGUUUCAAAAUUUCUCACUAACAAACUUUUAACCUGAUGAGGACAUGACCAAGAGCAAGGGCAAGGAUCCACUUGAUGGACUUGGAGGACCUAUGACAAGGGCUAGAGCAAGGAAAGCAAAAGAAGCUCUUCAACAACUAUUGUCCAUACUAUUUGAAUACAAGCCCAAGUUUCAAGGAGAAAAGUCCAAGGUUGGGAGUUGUAUCAUGGCCCAAAUGGAGGAGGACUAAAUGACACCACUUUGUCUCAAUUUUAGAGUGUUUAGUUUGUCUAAAUAAUGGCCCAAUCCUUGUAAAGUUGGCUGACCAAAAAUAUGUUUUGGGUUAAUCAACUAAAGGGGCUUUAGUUUGGUUUAAUUCAAGUUGUAAUAAGGGCCCAAUUGGCAACUUAGGCAUCAACCUUUGGGAGACCAAAUGGUGAUUGGCUUGAUGGCUUUUAGGGUGACUUUUGGUUGCCACAAUUUCAGUUACACUCAGCCAUUAAGUUCUUUUCAUUCCCUAUGUUAAUGGAUCAUUACUAAAUCUAAGUGGAUUGUAUUUUCCUUUAAUGAAACAUAUGUAAAAUCUGAUGGUAAAGCUUCUUUAUAUGCUGAACCAUUUUAUCAAUAAAGACAAGUUAAGUUUUAUUCAGAAAAAUUAGAGUUUAUCUCUUUUAUCUUAGUGAGAGUGAUUCUCCUAAGUUCUUGAGUGAUUCAAGAACACCCUGGCUAUAUCAAAGGAAGUUCACAUCCUUUGUGUGCUGCCCUCGCCGGAAUGAGUGAUUCUUUCCUUCCACCAUUUCAUCUUCAACCUUAUUCUUUCAAACCACAAUUCUCGAAAAUCCAAUUCUGCCCAAAAUUAUCUUGUGACAUAAUUCUUGUUCUACUUGCUCAAAUUAAGUGAUUCUUGAGCCUAAAUUGAAAUUCAAAACGAGAUCUUCCACCUCGUUUGGGAAUCACCUCAUUUGGAACUCUGUAGCUUGAGUUAUAGUCAUUUCUAUAUUUCUGUCCAGCCGUCACUUCACCUACAUUUUUACCAUCUCAUUCAUCCCUUUUAUGUCAAGAUCCACCUUAUUAAGGCCUAAGAAAUUAGCCACUGCCCAACCCUUGAAUCUUGCCAAUUUCCCAUCCUUUUCUUAAUCAAUUUCCAAAUUUUCCAUCAAGGUUUAAUCCUAGACGAUCUUAAGUCAGCCCUUGUGCAAUGAAGGUUCAUAUCAUAACCCCCUUCUAAAUGAUAGGCUCAGAAUGCAAAACAAGAAGCAACAAUCAAUUUAAUAAUGUUUUUUUAAACAUGCAAGACAAAAUUUAUUGUAAUAACAUAAAUGAGAUAAGGGAAGAGUGAAAUGCAAACUCAAUUUAUAUUGGUUCGGCCACUUCCAGUGCCUAUGUUCAGUUCUCAAGCAAUCCACUUGAGAUUUUCCACUAUCUGUGUAAAUCCUUUAUAGACUUUGAACACACCUUGAGAUCCCUCACCCUUGUGUUCAAAGAUUCUCAAGGAGACAAACCGUCUCUUGAUUACAACUGACUUUCUGAGAUGAACAGAAAGAUUUCUCUCCUUUAGAGUGGAUGAUACAAAUUGAAGAUCCUAAAGGAAUUUCUCUUUUUUAGAGAUGAUAAUACAAAUUGAAGUUCCUAGAUGAACUCUCAAUAGAUUUGCAAGUGUUUGCCCAACAGUUGUUGAGAGAGCAUUUGAUAAUUAAGUUCUCUUAGAAUAUCUCUCUCUUGUUUUUCGAAGUCAAACACACAUAUAUAUUGGCCCUUCGUGCCUUUUCAAAAUGGUUUGAAGAGAUGUGUCUUUUUAAAAAGUUUUUUCUAAAAUUCUUCACUGGUAAUCGAUUACUCAGUUAUGUUUUGAAGAGUCAUGUCUUUUCAAAGUGUUUUCUGAAGUGUCAUUGCUAGAAAUCGAUUACAAACAUCUGGUAAUCGAUUACAUGAUUCAAAAUUCAAAUUCAAAAUCCUUUUUAAAAGUUUUUUUUCAAAAUUGUCUUUUGGUAAUUGAUUACACUGCCUGGUAAUCGAUUACAGCUUUUAAGUUUCAUAUUCAAACUUUUCUGAAAGCUGUUAAAACUAUUUUUGCUUUUGGUAAUCUAUUACAGCCUCUGGUAAUCGAUUACCAGAGAGAAAUACAUAUUUUUCAAAAUGUAAUAUUUACUUCAAAACUUUAUAAGAUAUUUGAAAGCUUAAGUCUUUUAAGGCCAAACCUUUGCAACCUUUUUAAGAGAUUCUUUUAACAUAUAAAGGUUUAUCGUAAAUCGUUUCUCUUGAUUUCUUGAUCUUGACUUGAAUCAAUGUUGAAUAGCUUUAAUCUUUUGGCAUCAUCAAAAUCUUCAUACAACAUAUGCACUUACAAUAUCCCUUUUUUUGAUGAUGACAACAAUCUGAAAACAAGAUAAACGAUAUACGAUUUGUAAUGCUUGCACUCACUCUUACUCCACCUUAAAUUUGCAAUUUAUUGCCUAGUUUUUAGAUAAGAUCUACCCUAGUUUCUCUCCCCCUUUGGCAACAUCAAAAAGCCAAAAAGACUGGAGUAAAUAUCAAAGCCACAAAAUCUAGAGCAAGCAUCAUAACCAAAAAACCAAUCAUCCAUUGCAAAACAAAAACUAAAUAUCCAAAGCAAAGCAUAAAUCAAAUGCUAAAUAUCUAAAGCAAAGUAUAAACCAAAUGCUAAAUAUCCAAAGCAAAACACAAAAUUAACCAAAGUGCUAAAUAACUAAAGCCAAAUACAAGGCAAAAAGAGUAAAAAUGUCUAGAAAAUUAAGAACGUAAAAUACUAGAAAUGUCUAAGAAUCCGCAGGAGGAUCAAAGCAACGUUGAAUGAAGCUCAUGUCGUCUUCAAGACAUAUGAUAUGGGAGUCCAUGGCAUCAAAGCGAUCGUCGAUAAAAGCUCAAAGAUCCCGUAGCUCAAUGAGGACGUCAUUCAAUAAGGAGGAAGAGGUAUCUCGUUGCGGUGGUGGAGAGGGUGUGUGUUCAUCGAGAAUGGGAGGUGGCAGGUCUUGCUUAUGAACCCAUUGGCCAUCCAUAUCCUUCCAGUAUCCGAAAGAAGUAACAACACCAGCACCAAUAGCAAAAGAUCUUUUAACCUUAACAAAAGGCUCAUCCUCUAAAGGAACAUUGAAAUGUUGAAGAAACAAAGUAACAAGAUGAGGAUACAGAAAAUGUGCAUUGGCCAGUAAUGCCUUAUGCAUAUGGUACCAAACAAGAUGGGCCCAGUUAAUUUGGCAACCCGUUUGAAGAGCAAUAGCAAGAUUAAAUCCUACUCAGAGGCCUGAGCAAGAUUGGUGGACCGGGGAAGCAAGACUUGACAAAGGAUAUAAUGCAUGAUGCGACACUCAAAGGUGAAUGAGCCAGCAAGCAAUCUGUCGGUCAUAUCAGCAUGGUCAUUACAGAUCAUUUUACAAGCAUCAUGACUAGAAUAAACAUGUUUUCAAUCAUCAACUAGAGUGCCCUCAAAAGGAACACCCUGACUGCUUAGUUUAGUAAGAGAAUAAAAUAGAGAUUGAUCAACAACAAUAGGUAUUUGAUGCACCUCAGAGAAAAUGACUCCAUCCUGAAUUUUCAAAUUAUUAUAAAAGACUCUAACUAAUUCAGGAUAAUACAAAAAUGGCAUAGACAUAAACUCAACUAAUUCAAAAUUUUGAAACACUUGAUAGCAACCAAAGGUUUCCCCAUCAAAGAAUUUUACAUCUAAAUACUUAGGAUCGAGAAUGACACGAUUGGAGAAUUGGGAAUAGUACCUUUGAUGCUGGUCAUUAGAAGAAAACAAAGUUAAUGACCUGUGAGAUGAAAAAGAAGGAGGAUUUGGUGCUGGUGGGUCACCGGAUGUGUCGUGGCGACAUUGGCCUACAGCGGUGGUGGUGGAGGAGGAUCCCUUUCUCUUCUUUGAGGAUUCUGCCAUUUUGAGCUUGUUUCUGAAAAUUUUGAUCAGUGGGUUUUGUAGAGAAUUGAAAAAGAAGAAAUUUGAGCUUUGUUUGAAGUGAUUUGGACAAGAAACGAGAAAGUUAUGGAGAUUUGAAGUAUUGAGAAAAAGGGGCGCCGUCAAGGAGAGUGAAAGAAAAAAGGGCUGCACAAGGAGAGAGCAAAAUGCAGUAUUUAUAGACAGGGACGAGCUGUAAUCGAUUACAGCUCAUGGUAAUCGAUUACAGGCGUAACCUGUAACUGACCAAGCCCGCUGGUAAUCGAUUACAGCCUAUUGUAAUGGAUUACAGGGAGUGGUAAUCAAUUACCAGACCCUAAAAACAUGGAUUUUUCAUAAAAAUCUAACUAUUUUUCACUCACAAAACACACAUUUAGUAUAACAAUCAUCAACAACAAUCAACAAUCAAAAUAUACAAUCAAACCAAGUAUAAAAAAUUCUCAAACACAGACAUCAAAGAUAAUCAAAAUUUCAAGAACAAUCAUCAACAACAAUCAACAAUCAUCAUAACUAUCAAAACAUAAUUAUCAAAGACAAUCAAAACUCAAGUGAAAACAAUCAUUAAACCUCAAUCAACAAUAAUCAUUAAAAACAAACACAAUCAUCAAGGGCAAUCAAAAGUUUAACAAUCACAAGAAAAGAAAAUAAUAAACAAACAAAUUAAUUAUUUAUCUAAGUCAUUGAUAUCUAGGAGUCCUAAUUCUCUUCUAAUAGCAAAUAAGGUUUCUUUGGGGAGAGGUUUUGUAAAGAUAUCACCUAACUGAUUCUUUGUGUCAACGAAUUCUAGUACACAAUUCCCUUUUUGAACAUGAUCUCUCAAGAAAUGAUGCCUAAUCUCAAUAUGCUUGGUUCUCAAGUGUAGAACAGGAUUUUUGGAUAGGUUUAUUGCACUCGUGUUAUCACAUCGAAUGAGAAUAUGAUUAAGAAUUAAUUCAUAGUUAGAAAGUUAUUGUUUCAUCCAAAGUAUUUGUGCACAACAACUGCCAGCAGAAAUAUAUUCCGCCUCAGCAGUGGAUAAAACAACACUAUUUUAUUUCUUACUAUGCCAUGAAACUAGAGCAGAGCCAAUGAAAUGACAGGUUCCACUAAUGCUCUUUCUAUUAGUUUUGCAACCGACAAAAUCAGAAUAAGAGUAUCUUAUUAGAUUACAAGUGGAACUUUUAGGAUACCAUAAUUCUAAAUUAAUAGUGCCUAAUAGAUAUCUCAUGAUUCUUUUAACUACACUAAGGUGAGAUUCUUUGGGAUUUGCUUGAAAUCGUGCACACAUACAAAUACUAAACAUUAUAUCAGGUCUACUUGCAGAUAAAUAAAGAAGAGAUCUGAUCAUACCUCUAUAUUUCUUUAUGUCUAUUGACUGAUCGGUUUCAUCUUUAUCCAGAUAGCAAGCAGUACUCAUUGGAGUAGUCAUAUGUUUAGCAUUUUCCAUCCCAAAUCCAUCAUUGACAUUCCAAAUUCAUUUUGCAUAUCUUGAGAGAAUUCCCUUUAGAUAUGUCACCGAUAAUGUUAUCAAGAGGGUGGUAUCUAGAAGUUCUCCACCCUUUUGGAAGAUAUGCACUUGAUUUUGUUUCAUCAAUUUGAAAGUCUUCAUCAUUUCCUUUUCCUUUGCCUUUGUGAUCUUCACCAUGAAUAUGCAUUCCUUCUAAAGAAUUUGAAAUAUCAUCUAGAGUAUCUUUUCUUGGCAAAAUUAGGUUAGUUUCAUCAAAAGCAACAUGGAUAGAUUCUUCAAUGAUCAUAGUUUUUUUGUUAUAAAUUCUAAAUGCUUUACUGUGCAAGGAAUAUACCUUCAUUAGAUUUUGCAUCAAACUUACCAAGUUGUCUUUGCCGUUGUUUAGCACAAAACAUUUACAUCCAAACACAUGAAGAUGAGAAAUGUUCGGUUUUCUAUCGUUGUAUAAUUCAUAUGGAGUUUUCUUUAAGAUUGGUCUAAUUAAAGCUCUAUUCAUAAUAUAGCAUGCAAUAUUUACAACUUCAGCCCAAAAAUAUUUAGGAAGGAUUGUAUCAUUAAGCAAAGUUCUGGCUAUCUUUUUUAAAAAUCUAUUUUUCCUCUAAACUACUCCAUUUUGUUGAGGGGUUCUAGGUGCAGAAAAAUUAUGUUCAAUGUCAUUUUCAUCACAAAAUGAUUCAAAAUCCUUAUUUUCAAAUUCUCCUCCAUGAUCACUCCUAAUUUUGAGAUUUUUCUUAUUUUGAAUAAUUUUAGCAAGUUUCUUGAAAGCAUGAAAAACAUCUCUUUUAUGAGUGAGAAAUAAUGUCCGUGUAAAUCUGGAGUAAUCAUCAACUAUAACAAGAGGAUAGUAGUUUCCUCCAAAACUCAUAGUUCUAGAGGGACCAAAAAGAUCCAUAUGCAAAAGUUGUAAGGGUUGAGUUGUAGAUACAAUAUUCUUUGAUUUGAAAGAAACCCUUACUUGUUUUCCUUUAUGACAAGCAUCACAUAAUCUAUCUUUUUCAAAUUUAGGUUUUUGUAAACCAAUAACUAAAUCUUUAGAAAUUAGUUUAUUUAAAUGUUUCAUGUUUAUAUGGGCAAUUCUUUUAUGCCAUAACCAAGGAUCAUCAUCUUUACUAAGAAAACAUUGAUCAUGAUUUAGUGUUCUAUCUAAAUUUAUCAUGUAAACAUUAUUUGAUCUAUAGCCUAUAUGUUUUAUAUUUCUAUCAUGUUUGUUUUCAAUAACACAAUUAUGAGAGUCAAAUAAUACUAGAUAAUCUUUAUCACAUAAUUGACUAAAACAUAGUAAAUUGUGCUUAAGACCAUUAACAAGUAGAACAUUUUCAAUGGAGGUAGAUGAAUUCGUACCUAUUUUUCCAACUCCAAGGAUUAUACCUUUAUUGUUGUCGCCAUAAGUCACAUGUCCACUAUUCUUGGGAGAAAUAUGAGUGAACUUUGAUGCAUCUCCCGUCAUGUGUUUAGAGCAUCCACUAUCUAUGUACCAACUCUUCUUCAAAGAAACCUCUUCAUCGCUUUCAUAAUUUUUGGCCAUUAGACUCAGAUUUAUAACUUCAUUUUCUGAAUCUUCGGAUGAAUGUUGUCUUCCUAAGUGAUGUAUGCCUUCUUUGCUUUCUUAUCAUUGAAGGUUUUCUUUUAAGAUCUUUCUAUUCUUUUCUUGAAACUCGGGCAAUAAUCAACUCUCAGAUGUCCUCUUUACGAAGAAACUGAAAUCAUCAUCUUCCUCUAUUUCAUUCAAAUCUUCUUUAUUACUUCCUUCUUGAAUUGAAGGUGAAGCUUUAAGUGUGAUUCCUUUCUUUUUCUUAUCAUUCUCCUCAUGUUGAUUCAGUCUCAUUAGUUCCAUUUCGUGUUCUUGAAGCUUUCCAAACAAAGUUGCAAGAGACAUGUUAGUAAGAUUUCUUGAUUCUGUAAUAGCCGUUAUCUUUGAUUGUCAUUCCCUGCUUAAACAUCUUAGAACUUUAUUAAUAAGAUCCUCAUUGGGAAAUAUCUUUCCUAAUGAUGCAAGAUGAUUUACUAUGUGUGUGAAUCUCUUUUACAUAUCUUGUAUAGUUUCAUUUUGAUUCAUUCUAAACAAUUCAUAUUGAUGGGUUAGGAUAUUUAUUCUAGACCUUUUUACAUCCGUUGUUCCUUCAUGGGUUACUUGUAAGGUAUCCCACAUUUCUUUUGCAUUCUUGCAAUUUGAUACUCUAAAAUAUUCAUCCAUUCCUAAUGCAAAUGUAAUUAUAUUUUUGGGUUUUAAAUUAUAUUGUACCAAUUUCUUUUCCUCUUCAUCCCAUUGUUCCUUAGGGUUUUCUAUAGUUGCAUUUCUUGCUACCAUAGUAGGGAUGUAAGGACCAAUUUCUAUGGCUUUCUAGAUGUUUAAAUCAAUAGCCUCUAUAAAAAUUUGCAUACGGGUUUUCCAGUAAUGAUAACCCACACUAUUGAAUAUAGGAGGUCUAUUUAUAGAGUUCCCUUCGGGAAAUAAAAAGUUUGAUGAGGCCAUGACUAUUCUGGAAGUUUCUAAACCUUAUACAAGAAUUAAGCUCCGAUACCACUUGUUAGUCAAGUGGCCUCAAUAACUUAAGAGGGGGGUGAAUUAUGUUUCAAAAUUUCCCACUAAUAAACUUUUAACCCCCUUCUAAAUGAUAGGCUUAGAAUGCAGAAGAAGCAGCAAUCAAUUUAAUAAUAUUUUUUUAAACAUGCAAGACAAAAUUGAUUGCAAUAACAUAAAUGAGAUAAGGGAAGAGAGAAAUGCAAACUCGAUUUAUAUUGGUUCGGCCACUUCCCAUGCCUACGUCCAGUCCUCAAGCAACUCACUUGUGAUUUUCUACUAUCUCUGUAAAUCAUUUACAGACUUUGAACACACCUUGAGAUCCCUCAUCCUUGUGUUCAAAGAUUCUCCAAGAGAUAACCCGUCUCUUGAUUAAAACUGACUUUAUGAGAUGAACAAAAAGAUUUCUCUCCUUUAAAGUGGAUGGUACAAAUUGAAGAUCCUAGAGGAAUUUCUCUCUUUUAGAGAUGAUAAUACAAAUUGAAGUCCUAGAUGAACUCUCAAUAGAUUUGCAAGUGUUUGUCCAAGAGUUGUUGAGAGAGUUUUUGACAAUUAAGUUCUCUUAGAAUAUUUCUCUCUUGCUUUUCGAAGUCAGACACACAUAUACAUAGGCCCUUCGUGCCUUUUCUAAAUGGUUUGAAGAGAUGUAUCUUUUCAAAAAGUUUUUUCUAAAAUUCUUCACUAGUAAUCGAUUACAUGGUUAUAUUUUAAAGGGUCGUGUCUUUUGAAAGUGUUUUCUAAAGUGCCGUUGCUGGUAAUUGAUUACAAACAUCUGGUAAUCGAUUACAUGAUUCAAAAUUCAAAUUCAAAACCCUUUUUAAAAAGCUAUUUUUCAAAAUUGUCUUUUGGUAAUCAAUUACACUGUCUGGUAAUCGAUUACAACUUUCAAGUUUCAAAUUCAAACUUUUCUAAAUGUUGUUAAAAUCAUUUUUGCUUCUGGUAAUCGAUUACAACCUCUGAUAAUCAAUUACUAGAGAGAAAUACAUAUUUUUCAAAAUGUAAUAUUUACUUAAAAACUUUAUAAGAUAUUUGAAAGCUUAAGUCUUUUAAGGCCAAACCUUUGCAACCUUUUUAAGAGAUUCUUUUAACAUAUAAAGGUUUAUUGUAAAUCGUUUCUCUUGAUUUCUUGAUCUUAACUUGAAUCAAUGUUGAAUAGCUUUAAUCUUUUGGCAUCAUCAAAAUCUUCAUACAACAUAUGCACUUAAAGCAAGAUGGCAACAGAGUAAAUUAUGCAGCAAAUUUUAACCUUUCAAGGUCUCCAACAUGACUUUUUAUACAUUAUUUAAUCACCAAUAGACUAAGGAAUCGUCUGAUAACCUUUGCAACACUAACCAUACCUCUGAGCACCUUAAUUUUAUUAUUUUAAGGACAAUUUAAACUACAAGGCAGCAGUUGCGACUCUAUUAGGAAAAUCAUUAAAUAAAGUCAAGAUAUAAUCUCAAGAUAUCAAAUACAUCAUUGAGUUAUCAUUGAAUGGUCUCAUGACAACACCUUAUAUGUAGGUUAUCAAUAUAUCUAACAUGAGUCGAAGUCAUAUAUAAAAGUUAUUUGGCAACAAGUUCAUCUGCUUAGGAAAUGCACUUAAACCAAAAUCGAAAAUCUUUAUAUUUCCUAGUGAAUCAAGUAAAAGAUUUUCAAGCUGCACAAGGAAAAAAGGAAAAUUAGAAGAAAUCACCAUAAGGGCAAUAGACAACUUUUCAGAUCUCACGCAAUGCAAACCUUUAAAUCUAUGUGAUAAACUCCGUUACAGUGGCAAUAAUCUACAUUGUCAAUAAGUUGUUGGAAAUAUCUUCUAGAGUCAACUUCACUAAGAUGACCAUGAUAUAUCUGCACAAUCAUAUUAUUCACCAUCAAACAUUUCCAAUAUCUCGAAUGGUGAUUAAUAAAAGCCACAAUAAAAUCCACACAAAAAAGGUUCCAUCUUGAGCUACUCACAAUUUUAUAAACAAUUCACCACCCGUGAUGAACUCCAAUAUGAUAUAAAUCUUGGUACAACUUGCAAGAACCUGAAGUAAACAACGUUUCACAACAAAAACAAGUGCUUGUGAGUGGCAUCAACUAACGAGAGAAACAUUAAGAAUUACUUCUCAGAGCAAAUAUUGAGUCGGCAUGGCUCUUCGUUUAAAACAUUUUUUUUUCAUUUAAUCAAGGAAGAUUCUCAAAUAUCAGAAUAUGAUUUUAGAACUAUCCCUCACUCCAAAAGUCCAAACAAUCAAAAUAAAAAAGAAAUUCUAUAAUUCUGGUUUCUGCAUUGCACACUUUUCCCCAACCCUAAAAGCAUGACAUGAUUCAAAUGUUAUUCACAAGCUUUGCAUUUUUUGGGUUUUAAUUUAUUAGUUUAUUAUUAAGUGUCUUCUUGGCAGGGAAAUAGAAAAACGAAAAGAGAACAACAACAACAUCAUUCUUUGAAAAUUAAACCUGUGUUGUUUAUGGAGAUGCUCGUGCAAAGACCUCACAUGAUUAUGGUAAACAUGUGCAUCCCCAAUAAUAUGGAUAAAAUCACCUGGAAUGAGAUCUGACAAGAAGAACACAUAGUAUAAAGAUUGAUUAUUUUAUGUUUAAAUUACUUUUAAUGUUGUAUUUUCUCUUGUGAUAUUAUCAAAAUCAAUAAGCUUCUGAACCUUGAAUCUACCUAGACUGGAACUUCAAUUAAAAACUUAUUGAUAAACUUAUGAAAACAACUCUAUCAAAAAAUCUAUAAAAAUAAUUGAAAAGUGCAAAUAGGCCACUAAAAUAAUCAAAUUAGUUAAGCAAUGGAAAACCUUUUCUAUACAGAGAUAAUCUAUAACAAUUUUUUCCAAAAUUUGUCAUGAUUUCUUAAUGUUACCAUGCUAGGUAGAUGGAAGUUGAUGAGUCCAUGAGAACCUGGAACAGUGCAAAUAAUGUCUAUGAUAUCCCAACAUACAUAUUUAUAUAAUAUCAUACAUGAGAAUGCGAAAUUAAUUAAAAUAAUUUUAUUCAAUAAACAUAAAGGAACUCACAUGGGUAAAAGGUUUACAUUCACGUUAAUCACCAAAUUAAAAACUUAUCAAAUAAGGGUAUGAAAACAUCUCUGGCCCAAAACAAGGCCAUCUAAUUUUAACAAAAGAAAACAAGUUAAGCAACAUAAUAACAUAAACUAACAUAUUCAGAACAUUAUGCAAAUAAUAUAGAAACUCAUGCCCAAUACCACAUCAUAUCAUAGUGUUGUGUCUCAGCAUCCUCUAGCGCGAGGUUCUUUAAAAUUAUCCACCUAACCAUCUGCUCCCACGAACACAAGGUUCAAGAUUAUCACAGGACUCAAACACAAACAACACACGGGGAGUGAGUUAUCACAUUCCUAAACAGGUAAAUCUAAACGAAGCACAUAUAUAUAAUAUAAGUAUAAUGAGCUCAACUUAGCAUAAUUCACAUCAUUUUACCACUCAUUGUGUAACUUCACUUGUCCCAAGGAUUUAAUCACAAAAUCAUUUUCAUACCUUCACAUUAAUCAGGUGUUCAGAACAACACGUCUCAAGUACAACACAAUAUCUCACACUCACACAAUUCAUUACCCACCAUCACGUAACAAGUCAUAAUAGUCAUUAUGCAAGUAUUAUGUAACAGAUACACUAAGACUCAAUCUUAUAUGCAAUGUGGUACCAUGUCAGUGAAAAACCUCGCCGGGAGCCUAGGAGUACAUGGCAAGACAAACUACACGCUGGUAAGUCAGGUCACUCUCACUAGGUAAAAUCAUAGGAAUACAAGCUAGGGUCACGCUGUUUUGUGAGACUACUUCAACCAUGUGAGAUUGACACAAGCUUAAAGGAGCAUUCAAACCGGGUGUAUUUACCCCAAGGUCUAAACUCUGAAGAGUCAGUUAGGACCUUUCCUUCCCAAUUCAGGUCCAACCUAGAAAACAUUUUAGCACGCAGAUUGUAUCAAUGAAUAGUAAAAAACACACGACUCUUGAAUUAUUCUCAAAAUAAUUUUAACUCGUCGUGCCUCAAAGUGAUUAAACUCGUCGAGUUCCCAUAAUGGAUCUCAUCACAAUACUCGUCGUGCAUUAACUUGUCACCCUUAAAGGGUCUUACAACCGUGUGAUUGUAUGGUUGAUAGCUCACAACUCAAUGCACACAACAUCUCAAUACAUGUGUGAUCUCUCAACUUAUCACAUACACUCAAUCUCAAUCACAAUGUUAUAAUCCCAAAGCAACAUAUUAUCACACUCAUGAAUCAUAUACACAUCACACAAUAUUAAUAUAUGCAUGGCACAAACACAAACUUUACCUAUAAACUAUGUAAUACACACAAUUACUCAAUUGUUUUCAAAAUCAUUUUAACUUGUCGCGCCUCAAAAUGAUUCAACUUGUUAGGUUCCCACAGCGGAUCCCAUCAUAAUACUCGUCGCGCAUUAACUCGUUGCCCUUAAAGGGUCUUACAGUUGUAUGAUUACACAAUUGAUAACUCACAACGCAAUACAUACAAUAUCUCAAUACACAUGUAUCUCACAAUUCAUCACAUAUUCAAUUUAUCACUUACACACUAUCUCAAUCACAAUUUCAUGAUCUCAAUAUAAUAAUUUAACACACUAAUCUAGUAAAUCUUUUUCCAAAACACAAACGAAUUAUACAAAAAUGCUUCUCACAACAUGGGGAGUAAAACCCCUCAUACAAUUUUACAUAAUCAUAUCAUAAUCAAAGGAAUCAAAAUCAUAGGUUCAAUAAUCACAAAAAAAAAACCAAGAGCACUCAAUUUUGUAGAAGCAAAGCUUCAUGGAGAAUCAAAGGUAAUUUAAAGGUGUUUUGAUGAUAACAAUGAUGAUAACAAAAGAUGAUGACAAAAGGUGAUGACAAAAAGCUCAAAGAUCAAUCAGAGAACAACUCAGGUGAAUCAAGAACAAUUCAAGAGUUCAAGAUAAGAAUCAAGAAGAAUUCAAGACUCAAGAAGAAAGUUUAGAGUCAAGAAUCAAGAUUCAAGGUUCAAGAUCUCAAGAAUCAAGAUCAAGAUUCAAGAGUCAAGAGAAGGCUUAAUCAAGAUAAGUAUGAAAAGUUUUUCUCAAAAAUUGAGUAGCACAUGAUUUUUCUCAAAACAUGUUUACCAAAGAGUUUUUACUCUCUGGUAAUCGAUUACCAGAUUGUUGUAAUCGAUUACCAGCAGCAAAAUUGUUUUGAAAGAGUUUUCAAAUUGAAUUUACAACGUUCCAAUUAAUUUCAAAAAGCUGUAAUCGAUUACAAUGUUUUGGUAAUCGAUUACCAGUGCCUUUGAACGUUGAAAUUCAAAUUCAAAUGUGAAGAGUCACAUCCUUUCACAUAAAAGCCUUGCGUAAUCGAUUACACUGAUUUGGUAAUCGAUUACCAGUGAUUGUUUCUGAAUAAAUCAAAAGAUGUAACUCUUCAAAAGGUUUUUGACUUUUUCAAAUUGGUUUUAAGUUUUUCUAAAAGUUAUAACUCUUCUAAAUGGUCUUCUUGACCAGACAUGAAGAGUCUAUAAAAGCAAGGUUUUGUUUUGCAUUUUCAUUCAUUCAUUCAAUCUUGAACACUUAUUCAGACAAUCCUUUAUAAGCCUUGAAUCUCUUUAAACGUCUUCUUCUUCUUUGUACCAAAAGCUUUCUGAAGUUUUUCUGGUUUUCUAAACCUUGAAAACUUGUGUUAUUCAUCUUUUCAUUCUCUUCUCCCUCUACCAAAAAGAAUUCGCCAAGGACUAACCGCCUGAAUUCUUUUUGUGUCUCUCUUCUCCCUUUUCCAAAAGAACAAAGGACUAACCGCCUGAAUUCUUUUGUGUCUCCCUUCUCCCUUGUCAAAGAAUUCAAAACGACACAGUCUGAGAAUUCUUUUGAUUCUUCCCAUUCCCUUAUAAAAAAGUGUUCAAAGGACUAACCGCCUGAGAAUUCUUUUGUAUCCCUAUUCACAAAGUAUCAAAGGUUUAACAGCCUGAGAUCUUUGUCUUAACACAUUGGAGGGUACAUCCUUUGUGGUACAAGUAGAGGGUACAUCUACUUGGGUUUGACUGAGAACAAGAGAGGGUACAUCUCUUGUGGAUCAGUUCUAGUGGAGGGUACAUCCACUAAGUUCAAAGAGAACAAGGGAGGGUACAUCCCUUGUGGAUCUUUGCUUGUAAAAGGAUUUUUACAAGGUUGAAAGAAAUCUCAAGGACCGCAGGUCGCUUGGGUACUGGAUGUAGGCACGGGUUGUUGCCGAACCAGUAUAAAAACUCUUGUGUGUUUGCUUCCUUCUUCCCUACUCUUUUACUUUCUGCUGUGCAUUUAAUUUCCGCUUUUACUUUCUGUUAAGUUUCUCUUCUACUCCUCAUUCUCUUAAUUUAGUAAAAGCCUUAGAAGAGUAAUUUUUUAAUUAGUAAAGGUUUAGGAAUAAUUAAUUCAACCCCCCUUCUUAAUUAUUCUGAGGUCACUCGAUCCAACAAAUUUUAUCAACCAAUUUGCAUUAGGAUAUCAAUUGGUCCGUCAAACAUAACAAUCUUGUGAUUAUAAUCAUAAAGGCAGAAUUAUCAUCAUAAACAUCCCAAAAAAGAUCCCAAUUUGAUCCUCUAAGGACCCUUACACAUGUUCAUUUUAACUCCAAUUGCGAUAAACUCAUUCAUAAGCGGACUCACGUGUGUAGUCUGAUGACAAUAACAAUGUCUCUAGCAGUUCCCUGGGAUUCCUCCCUUUGGUUGUUCUGUUAUGAUUUCUAAGCAUUAGAGAGAAACAAAAGGGAUUGGAGCCUCAAUUUUACUAUCUCUGUGCGAGGGACAUUUCUCUCUCUAUAGACAUUAUUUCUCAAAUCCCAAAAGUAAAAAUGUGCGAAAAUGAGUUCUGAAGAUGAUGUUCAAAUUUCACGAGGAUCUAACGGUUAUUGGGAUUAUAAUUUUAUUAAGACAUGUUUGAAUGUAUGCAAAAAAAAGAAGAUAUUAGAAGAGAAAGAAGGAAAAAAAUUUUAAGACAAAGAUGGAGGGUACAAAUGUUUAAAUUAAGUUAGUUAGGAUACUUACUUUCAACCUAUUAUUUACUUUAUUUAUAUUUUAUUUUAUUAUUUUAUAACAAAGGAAAUUUUAUUUCUCUUUUAUUAAAUAAAUAAUCAAUUAAAACAUCUUUUUAUUCUCUAAAUCAUUAUUUUAUUUUAUUUAUUUUCUAAUAUUAUCAAACUCUUAUUUUAAGUAAUAAAAAAUUCUUUUUUUUCAUUUAUUUAAUUUCUAAAAAAAAUUAUUAAUUUUUUAUUUUACGGAAAACGGGUGUGAGAAUGCCAUUGAGAGUGCUACUCUCCAUAUCUUCUCCGUCCGCAAAACAAACUUAACAUCCUUCAAGCAUUUCACCGGCAAAUAGUCAAGUUCACGAAGUUAGUAUAAGACAAAUUGCAAUCAAUAGGUAAGAAUGCUCAGCUCUGCUCCUAGGUUAACCUGUGCUAUGAAGGUACCCGAAGAAUAAAACUAUAAAGAAGCACAUAAGCUACUAAUUCAAGAAAUGAACAUGUGAAGAGUGGUGAAAGCGAUAACGAAUAGAUGAGAAUCGGAUCGGGGCAGCUAAACGAUGUCGUUUAUCAGAGCUUGUGAAGGGUUUGAUCAAGGCACAUCCCGUGUGUCUCAAAGCCAUGGAACAGUUAAUGUCUCACAUUCUUUUUUUUUUUUUCUUUUUCUUUUUGCACCCACUUUCAGAUUCAAUUGGUGCCUUUCUUGGUUUUUUCUUGUACCCUUUGGGGUUUUAUCAUUUAGCUCCAAAAUGGUACCUUUUGCAAUGUUUGCCAUUAUUUUGCAUUUCACUUUUUAGCAUAAUUUAUUUGUUUCUGAAUCAUACUGAGGAAUGUGGUGCUUGUGGUGUUCAAUUCUCCUGUUUUGGUCUACAUUAGGCAUUCUGACUUCUGAGUUUAGUGAUUUUAGGAAUUUUUGGGAUGUCAUGUGUUUUGUCACCUAAUUUUGAUUUUCAAUGUUUAUUUAAAGUUUAGUGUUUUUUUUUUUUUAAUAUAUACUCUCUCUAGUCAUUAGGCAUUAGAAAAAAAACAUAUUUUUCUCUUAUCAUUCAUUUGAUUGAGGUACUAGUUUCAUAAACUCUUAUUUUUUAUACUAAGUUCCAAAUAUAAUUUGAAAAAAAGUUACUUUUUAAUUAAAAUUGAUGCAAUUAAAUAUUGCUAAGUAACUUUUGUUAGUUAGCGUGAAAUGUUUUUUUUUACUUCUUAUAUUUGAGAUGGAAGGAAAUACAUUUUAAGUUGAUAAGGAAAUGUCAGUAUUUAAUCUUUUAAUCUCCUGAAAAAAAAGUUAUAUAUUUUUAGUUUCUUAAAAUGUGUUAAGUGUAAUAAUAUCUGUUCUUUUCUUGGACUUAGUACUAGUAACAUGAAAUACAACGCCAAUUUUAUAAACAAAAAUGAUACAUCGACACCUUAUGCUAAUGUACUCCUAAAGAGAGAAAGAGAGAACAAAGAGAAACGUGAAUGUGAUAAGAAGAGACAUUGAAAAAAAAUGAGAAGUGCCAAUGAAGUGUUUGUAUUAUAACAGAUGUCCCUAUAUCAUUUUUCUUUUAUAGAUGAGGAAUUAAAAAUAUGAUUUUAUUUAAGGAACAUUCUAUUUUUCUAGGAACAUUUUCUUAUUUACAGGAAUAAAAAUAUACUAUUCAAACUUUUUUUUCCUGCAGGGUGAAAAUUUGAGUAUUAUUAUCUUUUUGACUGUGUUUACAAGAGCGCCACCUGCAACAUUUCCUAGAGCUGAAAAAAAUUAGAAUAUGCUCUGCUCUUAAGCAUGAAUAUUUAUCUGAAUUUCUAAAUAAGCGCAGAAACUGCUUAGUUAGGCUUUAUGUUGACAGCUAAAAUAUUGAAAAUGUUGAGUUCAGUAUGAUUGUUGUACCAUUGUUCUCAAUAAUAUUGAUCAUGUUCAUGACUGAUGUUUAUUCAAUUGAUUGGAGGCUAUGUUAGCCUUUAGUGCUGCUCAAGUAUUUUUAUGUGACAGAUCUGUCAUAAUGAAUAUGGUAUUUCAAAUGCAUGUGGAAUAUGGUAUUUUUCUCUAGUUAUAAUGAAUAUUUCUCAUCUGUAGUCUGUUAUACAAAUGUUUUUAUAUAAUAGAUCUGUCACAUUUUUUUCAAAUGCAUUUGGAAUAUGUAUUUUUCUCUAGUUAUAAUUUCUCAUUUAGCUACUUGCUGAGUGGAUUCAAGUAUAAUCUGACACUCUGAGUUCCUUUCCAUAGAAAAAGUGGAAACUGAAAAGAGGUGUACUUUCUCUCAUUCUCUUUCUUCAUUUUGUCUUGCCCUUUCUGGGUGUGGACUGAGUUCUUAAAUAUAGAACUACUCAUGUGAAAGAUUAUAUGUCUCUGCUCUGUUUCUGAUAUGUGAUAUCUGAUAACUCUUUGCUUAUAUGUAUAUAUAUUAUAUAUGCUGGUUUUAUCAACUUGGUAAGAAUUCUUAAAAUGAAAUGUUUGUUACUAAUAGACAAUGUUAUCAAUGGUGGAUGGUGGAAUGUAGCGGAAAGUCAAAAUUCCACCACAUGAACACAGAAUUGUGGCCUAUGGUGCUGUGUUAUGAGUCACACAUUGAGUAGAGUAAACUACUUGGUGUGGUACAUAGUCCUUGAGGUUCUUCACCUAAUGAACCAGUCUUUUGGGUUGAGCUCUUCUCUUGUGCUUAAUCCUAACAAUUAAUGCUUUUGGAAUGACUGAUUCAUAUUGGAUGCAUAGAAUUAGAGUAGGGUAUUUUUUUUCCAAGUUGCCUACUUUUAAAUAUGCCCUAGAUCAUGUCCACUUAGUUCAUAUGGAUGAUUAAUUUUCAGUAGGUUCUGUGCUUUUGAUCCCCCUCCAUCUCUCGUAUUUGGAUUGAGGGUUCUUGAGUUAAAGGAGCAAGGUGUUAGUAAGGAACAAGCAAUGGCUAUGGCAGAUGUAGUAACGUGAACUGGUUCCUGAACAUGUUAGCUCUGCAAUUUGUUUUUCCCUUGUGUUCUCUUAUCCUCUAAUAAUCCACUUUGGCUUUUUUGCUUCCUAGAUGGAGAGUAUCUGACAGAGAAGAGGGCAAAAAAGAAAGCAUAUACCUGUUUGAGGAAAAAACCCAUAUCCUAGUCCUAUCAAGGAAAUACAAGCUGAGGAGAGGAAAUUGUGAAGCAAUAGAAAGCUGAGUCAGCAGAGAGAUUCAGAGAGGGGGUGAUUGGUGAGAUGUAGAGGGGAAAAGUUACACUACUUUGAAAGUUUGGCUCUUGAACAAAUGAUCUUUGACAAUAACAUUUACUGUUCAGCCACUGAAAAGUUAUUUGUUGUAAAUAAGAAAAUCUAUUUGUUGUGUUAGAUAACUGUAGAGGAAAAUUUUACCAAAAUCUUAUGCAAGUUUUCUGUUUUUCCAGGCCACCCAUGUAGGUUUGUUAGUUGGUACAAAAGAACUAAAUAGAUAAUCAAGAUUUGUAUAUUUACUCUUUUUAUUUUUAUGAUUAUGAGCCUCAUGACCAAAAUAUUAUGCGAUUAAUUUUCAAUAUAAUAUAUUUUAACUUGACUUUUUGAAUGUUAAAAAAUUGAAUCUGUUUUAUAAUAUCAAUGUUCUUGAAGUAUCCAGCCAUAUAGAUAGCUUAAGUGUUCAAGUCAUGUGGAUGUGUCAAGUAAACUGUUUGAACUAACAAAACUUUUGUUAGACUUAGUGAGUAGUGUAGGACACAUGUUGUACAGAUGUCGAGAAAGUGUUGGUGCUAAAAAUUUGUCUAAUCACUGUGCUUAACAAGUUUCAUCUUAUCAUUCAGUAACUAUUGUGUUUUUCUUUAGCAGCCUUUUCCACUACUUUUAUCUCUUGUUCUGUUCUUGUCAUCCUCACUUGUACUCAGGGUCACUUGUUGCAUCUUAUUCUCUUGAUCUUUGUAUGUAGUUAAGUACAUUAUCAGAUUUUGUGGCAUGCAGACACGAGAUCUCUCACCAUCCUUUUAAUUAUUUUCAUCAUAAGCAGCACAUAACACUGUUUGAAGCAAUUUUAAUGUGAGCUCCUUUGGAUGGAUGCUAAUUCCCAGGUUCUAUCUUAAAGUUGUUCUUCUGACAAUGUCAUCCAUUUUUAGCUUUAGGUUGUUAACCAAAAUAGAAGCAAGGUGGCAGCUGUUGCUGAAGAACUCUGAUUAUUUGUGUCCUCUGAUGUACAGAUACUUUAUGGUCACAUAUCCAUAUUUGUAUCGUACUUGUAAUGAAUACCCAUAGGCGUAUAAUAAGGCUGCCUAAGUCGGGUAUGCAUUAAAUCUAGACUGUUUUAUUGAAACUUCUUACAUACACUAUUUCUUUAAAUAGUGAAACAAUUGUUAUCAUUAAGUUUUUUAAUAAAUUCGAUAAGAGAUUGAACACCAAUGAUGUUAGGAUGAUGGAGAUGACCCAUCAAUAGAUAUCAUCUAUAUUAAGAAAUAAAGAAAUUAAAAUAUAAUUUUAUGUAUCACAUUGCACCUAAUACUUGUAUGAGUUGUAUCCAAAGCCAUGAAACAAAAUGUGUCAGAUAUCAGUUAGAUAAGAUUCAGUUCAGCAGGCAGGUUGGAUAAGAGUAUUGCUUAUGUAUAUCUUAAAAGAAAGUUUCCUAUUUGACCGAAUGUGGGUGUUUUUGUCCACCUAGGAGCUUUUUACCAUGUAACCAGACAGAUAAUUGGUAUCUUAAAAUUUCAAAGGGUGGUCCUUCACACCUAAUUUGGAGAUCUAAUUUGUUGAUAUGUCUUCACUAAUAGACUGUAUUGCAAAAUUAGUAAAUUGAAGAUGACAUUACUCAAGUUUUUCAUGUGAGGAAGGAAGGGAGCACAAGGAAAACGGUGAAACCUCACUGAUCAGCAUUUUCAGAGGAACCUAUUAUGAAGCACUCAACUUGCUGACAUAGGCUUUAUGAUCUGCACUAAUCUUUUGAAACUUCAUUUUGUCACAUGUUACUAAGUUGAAAAAGAAAAUAUUGUUUUAGGAGCUAAAGAUGAAUAAGUAGCUAAAGGAAAGUUAUAUAGAAUUUGUAGUAAAAGGGAAGAGUGUAAACAUAUUUGCUUCAGUACACAGAGUGGAUGACUCAAGUGCUGGUUCCAUUACCAAAUUUCAGUGGUUUUGGUUGAAUAUGUAAGUCAGUGGAAGUGGUGCUGAAGAUUGGAGGGAAUGUUUGGAGUACAUGAUUAGAAAAGGGGAGAAUGAUUAAAAGAAAUAGAAAAUUGGCUGACUAAUAUUGGGGAUUCAUAGGAAUGUUGUGUGUUAGUAAAUUGGAAAAAUGUUACUCCAUUGAUAUUUUCAGCAUACCAUUCAUCUAAGAAGCAUAACUGUUCCUUUUUAUAUAUUUUCUGUUACCUUCCUUUCCUUCAAAACAUGGCUUUUGAAUUUUGAACCAUUAACUGAGUUGGAAUAGUGGUAAAAUCAUGUAGAUUUUUGUUUUCGUUUUGUGGGGAUAUGAAUGAGAAAAAUCCUUACAACCAGACAAAGCUGUGGCUCAGAAGAAAGAGAAACAUGCCUCACUGCUAGAAUCACUGGAACUAACAUCUUGUAAACAAACUGUUAUACCAAACUUUCCUAAGGUGCAAUUCUCAACCAUUAACCAAUUUCAUCUCAAACAACACUAUCAGUUCUUCAGUCAUGAACUUCCCAUACUGAAAAUUUGUCACCUAUUUCUUUUAUAGGCAGUGGCUUCUUAUGAGAGUCACACUCUCUGAACUUCUUAUGUAAAACUUGACUUUUCAUUUUGUGCUUUAUAAUUGUUAUCUCAUGCAUUGCCCUUUUAAGAUAAGGUUGUUGUGCAUUGUUUGGUUGAGUACAACGAUUUACUGAUGACCAUAACUAUUUGUGGAUCUUAUAUUUUCAAAAGUGUAUGCUUGGUCAUUAAUCAACCAAGCUUGAUAAGCCCCAUCACCUACCAUCCCCUUCUAUGCCAUAUACACAUUUUGCUUAUCUACAUUGCUACUGUUACUCUCAAACAAGUCUAACAAAUAAUAAGUGAAGUUAAUGAACAUUUUUAGUAAUAUUAUUAUAAGGAUUGGCCAAUGUAAUGGUGAACAGAGAAGCAUGCUUUCAGCUACCCAACAAACUGGAUAAGAGUGUCAGUUGAUAUGGUUCUCUUGUUUUUUUUUUUUUUUUUUCCAAUGCAAAAUCACCUUUAAAAUAUAAAAGAUCACUGUAACAAAGGGACAAAGGGUUUUCACUUAACCCAUGCAUGAGAUAUGAUGGUCACAAAAUAUGUUAGGUUUAAUAUGGAAUGAGGGCACAGUACAAACCACUCACAAAUAAUAUCAAACUCCACCACCAUCACACAUUUUACGUUCUUCCAAGGAAGAGAUAAGAUAAUGAAGCCUCCUCCACGUGUCACUUCCACAUGGUACCUAACGAUAAGGCUACCAUUCAAAAUUUUCCUCACUCGUGUGGCCAAUAUGCUGUAAUGUCAUCACUUAUUCAAUCCAACGGUUGUAACUUCUCAGCAACCAAUCCCCUCCAUUUCACACCAUCGGAUUAGUACUACACAAAUCACACUAUUAUAUAUAGUAAGUUUGAGCAGAAGCUUGGAUAUCUGGCAGCAGAAGAACAAGUAGUUGAGAACUAAGAAGGAGAAGCAAAUGGCUUCCUCAAUGAUCUCUUCCCCAGCUGUUACCACUGUCAACCGUGCCGGUGCCGGCAUGGUUGCUCCAUUCACUGGCCUCAAGUCCAUGGCUGGCUUCCCCACCAGGAAGACCAACAAUGACAUUACCUCCAUUGCUAGCAACGGUGGAAGAGUGCAAUGCAUGCAGGUAUGACAACUCCACACAUAUAAAUACACAAGAGGCACCAAAAUGAUUAUAAUUCAUGUUACAUAUUUAGGCAUGUACCUAAAUGUUACUUAAAUAAACAUGUUAGUCAUAGGUUGCUUAAAUUUUAGUCAUAGGAAAAUUUGCACAUGUGCUAGUUAAUCUGUUAACCCCUUUACUCAAUUUUCAUGCAAAUUAAUUACUAGGUGUGGCCACCAGUUGGCAAGAAGAAGUUUGAGACUCUUUCCUACCUGCCAGACCUUGAUGAUGCACAAUUGGCAAAGGAAGUAGAAUACCUUCUUAGGAAGGGAUGGAUUCCUUGCUUGGAAUUCGAGUUGGAGGUCAAUUUCUUGCAAACACUUUUGGUUUAAUCAUAGAUUUUCUUAUUCUUAGUUUGUUUCAACUUAUUUUCAAGAAAUAAUCGCUUCUCUAGCUAGUGUGCUAAAAGUACUUUUGGAAACAAAACAAAAAAUGGUUGUGUUCCAAAAUUUAAAUUUAUCUAACAGAUUUUUCUAUCUGAGAGUUAUCAAUAUGUAUCAAAUCUGUUCCUAUCUCUGACCAAAUUUUAUUCUUCCAAAACAAGCACUUGGUUUUGAGUUUUGAUGGUUGAUCUGCUUGUUUGCAGCACGGUUUCGUGUACCGUGAGCACAACAGGUCACCAGGAUACUACGAUGGACGCUACUGGACCAUGUGGAAGCUGCCUAUGUUUGGUUGCACUGAUGCUUCUCAGGUGUUGAAGGAGCUUCAAGAGGCUAAGACUGCAUACCCCAACGGCUUCAUCCGUAUCAUCGGAUUCGACAACGUUCGCCAAGUGCAGUGCAUCAGCUUCAUCGCCUACAAGCCCCCAGGCUUCUAAGUGUGAAAAAUUUGCAAAGCAUUUGUAGCCGCCACCCCACUUUGUUUGUUUGUACUUAAACUACAUUCCCAUUUGUUUUUGCUUUUUGAGAUUUCAUCAUCCUGUAUUUUUGGUUUCUGUUUUCGGACUUCAAUGGAAAUUAAUGGAUGAGAACUAAUGAAUAAGCUAUUGUGUUGUGUUGCUUUGUUUCAAAAUAACUUCAAUAACCCAUCGUCCUUGCAUUUCUCUCUAGUGGGCUGAAAUUAAUCUUUUCUAAAUUUAAGUUAAUUAAUUGUGUCUCUAAAUGAUGGUUAACAGAGGAACUGUGUUAUUCAAGUACUCUGCAUAGUUUAGCUGAGCUUGGCCUUACUUUGUCACAACUCACAAAUCUGAUGUAUGAAUGUUCUUUAUACUUUGGUCUUCCAAGAAAUGAAGUUCAUGACAUAUAUAGUUUGUAAACAUGUUGCUAGGAAGCUUCUGAACUUUCAAAACCAAAUAUGAACUUGAUAAUUCUUGGAAACACAGAUAUUUUGUAUAGUACAUAGCAACAAAAAACCACUAAGGAACUGCUACCAAAUCGUUUUGUUAUUUAUGUGCAAAGAAAGCGAUGUCAAAUUCAAAUUUUUAUUGGUUUCAGAAUCUUUUCUUUCCAAGCAAUAACCACCAACUGCACGAAACCGUUUUGUUUGUUCCAUUUCUCACUCUCCUCACUGCAAUAUUCAAAUUCUGAUUUGGAAAACAGCACAUAAAAACACAAGAUUUGGUCAUGCUCUGGUUCUACCAAAUACUACAUUUGUUUCUAGAAUUGCCAGAAUCUGAUCCUUAGCUGACAAUUAAUCUCUAGAAGAUUCUUUUGCUUGUAACUUGGUAGUUAUGGAUUAGCAACUGAUAAAUAAAUCAUUUAGUGGGCUCUAUGUUGUGAGUAGUGAUAGGUAACUUAUCUCGACACCUUUUAGUAGAUUGCAUUAAUAUUUAGACUGGACCCUUUUGAUAGCUACAUUUGUGAACAAGAAUACAAUACGAUAAAGAAAUAGAUAAGAAGUUUCACCUCCUAUACUCCCAUGACCACAUCAUGACAUAUUCAAUGCCAAUCAUGAAUAUACAAACCAAUAGGAUUUGUUUUCUUCCAAAUAUUUAUUUGUGGACGUGAAUCUACUCACCCUAGAAGCAAGUUUCGUUAAAUUUACUUUGUUUAAUAAUUUUUUGUGAACAUUCAUUCUUUUUUAAUUCAACUGUUAUAUAAAAAUAUCUCACUAAGUAGAUCAAAUAUGCAAACUUUUAAUCAACAUUAUGUUGAUCCGAGGAUAAUUAAAUUCAAAUUCCUUAAGAAAGGUCUUAAGUUCAAAUUUUGUGAAUGGAAAAUAUAAUUAAAAAAAAAGACAUAACUAAAGUAGCUAGUCAAGUCAUGAUAAAGUCUUACAAUUCAUGAAAUAACUAAUAUUAUAUCAAUCAACUUCAUUUUAAUGGAUAGUAGUAUUAUUCUUUUAAAAUACAAGUAAAUGUUAACUAUAAGAUAAUCUUUAUGGUAAUAUAUUACAAAAUAUAAUAGUUAAGGGUCUGUUUGGGUGGUUGUUAGUUGUAAGUUUCAUUUUUAAUUUUAAACCAGUCUUUAAAAUUUGGUUAGUUUUCUAAUUCUUAGUUUUAAGAUAAAGCCAUUUAAAAAAAUUUCAAUCCUUUUAAAAUUAAUUUAAAAGGUGAUAAUGUCAACAUAGGUUAUGGUUCUAGUGUUAGUAGAGGCGACCAGAAAUGUCAUUGUCAAAUGUAGAGUGUGUACUUUUUUUAAAUUAAAAUCAAAAUUACAAAUGUUUUUUUUCUUUAUUUUGAAAAUAAAGAUAAAAAAGUGUUUUGAGAUAGUCAAUCAUUUCAACUUCAUUUUCUGCCCAAAGCUUUUGAUUUUGAAAAUUACAUUUAAAAAUAAAAUUAAAAAACUCACAAUUACCUGACCAAACCUUAAGUCUUUUAAAUUAAUUAAUAUUCUAUAAAGAAAUAGUAUUUUUAAAAUAUUUAUAUAAUUUAAGUAUUUACUUAUUUUUAGAGUGAAUAGAUCCCUUUCGUUUGUUUCAUUCAUCAUACAGAAUCAAUAAUACACUGGAAUAUUCGCUUAUAUAUAUAUAUAUAUAUAUAUAUAUAUAUAUAUAUAUAUAUAUAUAUAUAUAUAUAUAAAAUGUACAUGGAAAAAAUAAUUUUCCAUUAGUGUAUUAAAAUUUGAAGAGAGACAGACAAAUAUAUCCUUAUUUCCAUAGAGCCUGCAAAAACCUAACUAUCCAGUCAAUAUUUUAUAUUUCCGUAGUUUUUCUGACAAACCAAUUUCUUUAAUAAAGUUUUCAAAUAAGUUAUAUAACAUAUCAUAAUAUUCAAGGUUUUCCAAGAGAAAUUUAAAAAUUGUUAUUUUGACAAGAUAAGUGCUACAUAAUUGUGUGGUCUAUAGCGACUAAUGAGUCAAGGCAUCGUGACUCUGUCGUAGCAAAAAAGGUAAACAAAAACAAGUCAUUGUCAUAGCAUUAUUUGAAGUUGAAGAAUACGUAGUGUGAUAUGAUUUAUUUAUGACUUUUUUGGUUGUUUCCGUUGCAUUUUGUGAAUCGAAGAUCAAAUAGCUAGCUAUAAAAAGAUCCUAAACAGAUAACAACCUAUUGGUAAUUUAUUUUGUUUUUGUUUUAGUCUAUUCAAUUAUAUAUAGGCUCAUAUAUGUAGAUUUUAUAAGUUUAAGCCACAAAAAAUAUAUUUUUAUUAAAACAAUAAAAAGAUAUUGCCGUAGUGUUUAUACGAGAAAUGGCGCAUAGUAAGGUGCUCGAUCGAGUCUCUAUCAAUUUGCUUUUGGUAGGAAAAGAAAAGACAAAAGAAGAAAGUUACAAAGUGCACUCUUAAUCCUUGUGUCUUUAUAAUCAAGUUGGAUAAAGACACAUUAACACUCAUGUUAUUUUUUAAUUCCCUGAGUAUUUAACUCAAUUAGAUACUUAAAGAUUUAAAUUUGAGGCCGUUACUAGUUAAUUAAAAUAAUUCCGCAUAAAUUGAUUCAAACACAUUAUUUGACAUCUUAAGAGAAAAAGAAAAAAAAUGAAAUGUAAACAUGAUAAAUUAUAUGAUAUGAUAAGGGAAAUACAAAAAUAAAUAAAAGAUGUCAAAUAAAUAUCCAUGCAUGUAUCAUUACUAAUUAAGUUUCAAAAUCAUAGAGUGAUACAUGAAUUUUUUUAUUUUAAAUUCAAAAUAUAUCUCAGUGAAAACUAUUUAAUGUUUAAAAUAACAUUCAUACAUCAAUGUUUUAUUUGAGAACUUUGAUAAAUAAGUAUUUUGUUUCAGGAAUUAUGUUUAUACUUUAUAGUGUAUUAAUCCUAUGACAUAUUGUGUGAUAGUAACGAUGAGAAAGGAAAUAAAAAGGAAUAAAAUAGGAUAAAAAUAUUAAAUUCCUACUAUUAUUUGAAAGAAGAAAUAAAAAGUAGAAUUUUCUUAAUUAAUCUCACAUGAAAAUUAAUAUUUCUCCUCUAUAUAUCAAAAAAAAUAUCCCUGCUCAUGGGCAAGAAAGAAAACAAACAAAACAAAGGGCAACAAACAAGGCAUAGCCACUUGCUUGUGUUGGGACCAAAACAAAACAAAACAAAUGGGUCAUUAUUGUUUAGGGUGGUGGUAAGAUAAGGACUAAACUGUAAUUGUCUGGCUCAGCUGCAUACUUCAAAAAUGUGGUGCACAUGGAAACAAGGGGGAGAAGUGGAGAAAAUGAAGACCAAUGUACAUACUUUCUUCCUCAAUCAAUGUAUCAACAAUAUCAGUCCAUGGCAACGUUGUUUUUCAGGAUGUGACUCUCUCGAGGGCCUAAAGGCCCACCAGGUUCAUCAUUCAUCAAGGUUUUGUAGUUUAAUCAUACAAUUUCAAGCACCAAAGAAAAUGAGCCUUGGUAAGUUUUUUUUUCAUCACCAAAAUGAUAUUUUUUUUCCCUUUCAAAUUCUAUGGUUGCACUUGCACACAUUGGAUUUGACAUGUCAAUAUCAACAACUUUUAAUUAAAUGCAGUUCUUGUAAACAUUCAAUUUCAUCGAAACAAACAAAAUAAAAAUGUACAAAUGAGAACAUUUGAAAAAAAGAAGCAUAACCGAUUAUAAAAGAAGGAAAAGUAAUAUUCAAUCAGAAAAGAAAAUUGUGAUAACCAUCUUUUGUUCUCCCAUCUUAUUUUAUCUUUUUGUCAAAAUAAUUUUACAUUAUCGUUCAAUCAUAAAUCGUUACAGAUAUAAAUUUUAAAGUAAUUAUCAUAAAAAUUAAUAAAUUUAUCAUACAUGAUAAGUUAUAAUUGAAUGACGAUGUAUUUUACAUUAAGUAUAACCUAUUUUCUUUUUUUUCUUCGAUUGUUAUAUUCUUUGUCUAAUAAAAAAGAGAAUAUACUGACAUUAAAAAUAAAAAAAAUAGAAAAUUAUAAAAUAUAACAACACAACAAGAAGAAUGAUUAAGGGUAUGUUGGAUUGCUUUUUGAAGUGUUUCAAAUGGAUAAUUCCAUUUUUUCAUGCAAGUAGAAGCAAUUAUUGCUUGCCAUUUGAGUGAACGUUUAUUGAAGCGAAGGGCAACUUUUUUCCCAUCACGUCCUAGUUGUUUUGAAGUUAUUUUUGGCAUCUCUCUAGUUUCCUUUUGGGGGUUGCUAGGUGCACCCAGCAUUAUUGCUGGUGCACCCAGCACUUAUUGUGAAAAGUCACAAAUGCCCUUGUUAUUUUUUAAAAAAAAAGCAGUGCACCCAACGACCCUUUCUUCUUCCUUUUCCGCGAGCCUCUUCUCCUUCAUUCUUCUUCCUUUUCUGCGAGCCUUUCUUCUUCUCCUUCUUUCUUCUGCGAGCCUCUUCAACUUCUUUCUUCCUCCUUCCUCAUUCUUCCGCGAGCCCAUUUGCUUCUCUAGCACGAGGUGGUUGUUCUUCUUCCGCGCAAGCUGCUGCUUCUCCCUCCUUCGAGUGCGCUUCUUCUUCCAUUCUGCCGCGAGGUGCUGCUCUUCUAUUCUUCAUCGAGGUAAGGUCUAUUAUCCUUUUUCUUGUUUGUUAUUGCUUUCAUUGGUGAUUGCUUAAGUAUUUAGGUCAUCCGCAGUAGAGACAAGUUAGGACCUAGGUGAUCCGCAAAUAGGGUAGAUGAUCCGUAGGUUGUGUUUAUGUUGUGUUGAACUUGCGGAUCACGUUGAUCCGCAAGAAGAAAAGGUUGAUUCGCAUGCUUCCCACAGAUCAAGUUGAUCCGCAUGCUUCAUGCAGAUCAACUUGAUCCGCGGGAAGCAUGCAGAUCAACUUGAUCUGUGUGAAACAUUUUACAUUUUUAAAAGUUUAAAUUAGGUUAUAAUUAAUGAAAAAUGGUUUUUAAUGGUUACUUUUGAAGCUUUUGCCUCAAGUAUGAUAUUGUAUAAUGGUUAUUUAUAUCCUGUAUGGUAGUGAAUAUGCAAUUGAAAAUAUGAACACAAUCUAUUAGGUUGUAGCUUCUCAUGUGCCUAAAAAGGAUUAGAAUCCUUAAAUUUAGACAAGAAUUUGUGAUGGUGCUUGUCAUAUGCCUCAAAGCAGUAAACAUCCUGAAAUUGUUGUGUACUAGAUCAUUAACCAUAAAAUGAUGGUGGUAAGUUUAAAUCACUGAAAUAAUACUCCACCUACAAUAAUACCUCCCAACUACUGAGAAAAUCUUCAUAAGAUUUGGAUGAAUUGAAAAAGAAAAGUAUAUGGUCAGAAUAUUCUAGGAAGGAUAAAAAGAACUGUUGCUUUUCGUUGUCUUGGUGAAUUGAAAAAGAAAAGAAAAUAUCAAGCCAUGAAUGUCAUAAUCCAAAAUCCAAAUAGAUAUUUUUCAAAAUAAUCGGAAAAAAAUGAAAUAUCCAAGCACAAAUUGUCCCUUUUAUGUCUAAUGCUCUAGCAGAAUCAGACCUGAGGGUGAGAGUCAAAUUACUAUAUUAUACUCAAUCAAACAUCAAUAUGCAACUGCAGAGAUAAAUCACAUACUUGAGUAAUAGUUAGGAAAUAAUAGAGCAAACACACUUCAUGCAAAUGAUUGACCUCAACUUGCAAAAAAUUAGAAACAAUAGUUAGAAUAUAUACCCAAAGUAGGUCAAUUAAAAUAGUAGUUAGAAUUCAUGUUAUCCACCAAAUCCCAAAAUGAUGCUAACAAAAAUUAGAACCCUGAAUACAUGAUAUUUGAAUAAAAAAUUUCGAUAAGAAUACAUGAUAUGCAUGGGUCAUCAUAGAACCCAUCAUGCAACAUUAGUAAACUGUCUUGCACAACUUAAAGUCAAUCACACAUUUGCAGAUCAUGGUUAAGACUAGAGGAUUAGGCCGUGCAUUAGGUAGGGUUGGUGCCAAAGGUUUGGGGAGAGGAGGGGAUGGUGAUGAUACUGAUGGUGCUCCCCAGGGCCGAAGGCUGACCGCAUCGGCAAGCAGGUGACGAGUACCAGUCAUUCUUGACGAUGAUGUGCCUGUGGUGCCUGCGAACUCGCCUGCGGUACCAGAGGCAGAGGCUGCUGUAGCUGGGGAUGAGCCCAUGGUAGAUGCUGCCACACAGGACACCGGUGCAGAGACUGACGCACAGGAUACCGGUGCAGAGACUGACGGGGACGAGCUUGAGGGAUUUCUUGGUGGACCCAGGGACCCAUUAGUGCUUACAGAGUAUGCUGACCAUGUUGCGGGCAGCGUAUGGUCUGGACAGGUAUUUAUAAUAUUAAAGUUAGUUAACUUUUAUUUUUUUUUAUUUUUUGGUUACUUAUUGACGUUAUUUGAAAAAAUUGUGUGUUCCUUUGUACUUCAAUUCAGGAACAUCUUGAGUUGAAGUUAUGCUCCCAUGGGAGGAAGGUGCAUAACUUGGGCAGGUCUAUUCCUGCAAUUGAGGACAUGGUUGCUGGGACAGGAUUAAGUCCUUUGAUCGCGUGUUCAAUAGACACCGGCGAUCGGGGACUUAUAUCCUCCUUUGUUGAGAGGUGGCACCGGGAGACUUCUAAUUUCCAUCUUCCUGUGGGGGAGGUUUCGAUCACGCUGGAUGACAUCGCGUCUCUUCUCCAUCUGCCUAUCGUUGGCGCAUUCCAUGACUUCCAGCCUUUGUGCACCGACGAGACGGUGUUGCUGUUGGUUGAGUUACUGAUGGUCUCAGCAGAGGUGGCCAUGACCGAGACAGGCCAAUGUGGUGGACCAUACGUACGCCUGUAGUGGCUACGAGACGUAUACCAGUGCAGAUGUCAGACGCAGCACUGGACAGUUGCCGCUCAUGCUUAUCUUCUACAUCUUUUGGGUUGCACUCUUUUUGCUAAUAAGAGUGCAACCCAUGUUCAUGUCGCACACAUACAGGCCCUACGUAACCUCACUCUUGCUGGGCGGUAUGCAUGGAGAGCUGCUGGCCUCGUCCAUAUGUACAAUCAACUUAAUGAUGCCAGUCUCAGCACCAGCCGACAGUUUGCUGGUUAUAUCACCUUGUUACAAGUAAUUAAUAUGUAUUUCAUAAUUUAAUUACAACAAUGUUUUAAUGACUGUAUAUUUAAUUAACAUGUAUGAUUUUCAUGUAAACCCUAUAGUGUUGGAUAUACGAGCACUUUCCUUCAGUUGCAGAGUGCAAUGCUGAUCCGGACUACGACGAGGUGUUACCACGUGCAUGUCGGUGGAUUGCGACAAAGAAGACUGUGAAGAAGCUAUCUACAGCGACGUACAGGCAGUGCAUGGAUCGUCUGAGGAUCCUGGAUGCCUGCUGGAUGCCAUAUGCGGAGCACCGACCUGUGCAGAACUUUCAUCCGAUUUCGUGCUUCUCUGGAAAGCUCUGCAAGGGGCCUGCUGUUGUCAGAUACAGACUGGAGAGGUUUAUGCACCAGUUUGGCUACAUCCAGUGCAUUCCUGCACACCCUGUCCAUUCAUGGGUGUCAUAUGAUGACAUGGACGAUACGUGGACGCACUACUCAGACCAUCUGGAGGCAGCAGGUGAUCUAUGUGUUGUGUCAGGUCAGUGUGCGCCUGACUACAUAGACUGGUUCUUCGUCAUAUCGCAUCCAUUCAUGACUGCACCACAGACGAAUCCUCCUCGAGAUGCAUAUGCGAUGCAGCCCAGUCAUAUCCCUCAUGAGGCAGCACCGACAUCGACACAUGUGGAUCCUGAUGCAAACGAGCCCAGACAUGCAGUGGUAAGUGUUACUAUUUGGUUAGAUGUAUGCCAUUUACUUCAAUUAUUUUAAUACUAAUUUGUAUAAUUUGUUUGUUUUUUAUUUAACAGGAGGCUUGUCAUGCGAUCGCAGAGGCGUUGGAGCAGCAUCUAAAUGUGCUAGGCACAUCUACACAUGAAGAGGUUAUCCAAAAAUGCCUCAGGAUUGUCAGGAGUGUCACUGAAGACCGCAAUGUGUAUGUGAGGUCUCGACGUAGGCGGUGCACGGAUCAACAAUAGUUUAUUCACACUUUAGAUAUCAUUAGUUUUUGACGAUGUAUUUGACUUGACAUUUUGUCAAUUAUGUUUAAAUUACUUGAUCCAAAAUUUAUUUUGUAAUUGUAUGCUAAGAAAUUACAUAGACCCUAAGAAACUCCAUUUUGAGAAAACAUAAAGACAACUAAAACUUCUCUCCACAAAAACACUUAGGCAAACACAUCCAUGAUCCGCGGCACAAUAAUUUGCAAUAGUAAGCUCCAAAUCUGUUCUAAGAUCGUAAGUUCCUUGAUUAGUUGGUUCCUUCUGCAAAACAACCAAAAAAUUUACAAGCAGACAAGGUUAGGGAGGGGGAGGAAGCAAAUCCUUUUUCAAAAAUAAAUAAAUAUAUGAACUUAAUCCAAUAUCACUUUAAUUGUGACUGAAUAUAAUCACAUUAAUUUAAAAUAAAUCACCUCAAGCAGAAAGGAAAUGUUUUAUUAAACCAGUCAUUAUUUAACAAUAGCAAUGGAUAUUUUUAUAUAGCUACUUCAAAUUAACCUCGCACUAAAGUAGUUACCUGCAUAUAUCAGUGACAACUUUCAGUGCUUGCUUAGACACUUGUUGAUUGUGAUAUCUUCAAAUUAGCCAUUUGUCGCCUUCUCUUGGCUUUCCUUGAUAGAUUAUCCCUAUUAAUAUUUGAUCCGCAUGCAUCCCAACCUUUAGGAAGCCCAAGUAAUUCAUCCUUCUUUUCAAAAAUCUAGCUUCUCAUUGUCAUCAUGUCACUACAAAAGUCAGGGUCAGCAUCCUCUACAUUAUAAUAUUUCUCGUCAAAUGCCUUCUUCAUCAUUCUAUCAUACUCCUGUGGGUCAAAUUCCUCUUCAAUUUCUUCCCUGGACAAUGGGAUAAUAUCAUCACCAUGGAUCCCUGCAGUCUUCAUUAUCUUUUUAACCUUUUCCUGUAUUUCCUGCUUAUUCAAAUUCUUUAAGCGUUUCAACUCCUCCUCCCUCUCUUUUUGUUCUAUAGCCAUUCUCUCCUCUUUGCUCUUUCUCUGCUCUUUCCUUGCAUUCGUCUUCUUCCUCAUUGAUCCCUCCACCUUCCGAGCAUGACCCAACACCCUAUCUUCUGGAUUUUCCUGAAAUCUGUAUUCAUAUUCUUCCUAUCUCUUGAGCUCCAUCUCAUCCUCUGAAAUCUCUUGCAAUUCAUCCUCUCCAACAUUCAAAUUCUUCCCACUCUUGCCAAUCCACAAUUUGACCCAACACCCUAUCAAGUUGAUCCGUUGUUGAUCCAUAGAAGGCUUACGGAUCAACUUGAUCCAUAAACCAAACUCGAUCCAUAGAAGUAAAAUCAACAUACGGAUCAAGGUGAUCCAUGGAAGACUCGCGGAUCAACUUGAUGUUAGAGUUUGUGGUCUUAGUUCCUUUGUCCCACAUUGCUUGGUUUGUAAAAACUUGUGUCUCACUAGUGUUAUAUAUAGAGACACCUUGUAAGCUUUUAUGUGCAAGUAAUAAAAGUUCUCCUAGUGUAGCCGUGGACGUAGGCACAUACAUUGUGUGCUGAACCACGUUAAACUGUGUGUCUUUUUCUUUCUUCCCUUUAUUUCUUUCUCUUCUUUUAUUGCUCUAUACUAACAACUGGUAUCAAGAGCUUUUGGUUACUCCACGGAAUUUCCUUAGUUUAAAGGAAUUAGUGGGAGUCUUCUCAGUUUAGAGGAGGCAGUGGGAGCAAUGGCAUUAGAAGAGGGAAAAAUGAAGAUCGAGAAGUUCGAUGGCAGAGAUUUCAGCUUUUGGAAGAUGCAGAUAGAGGAUUAUCUAUAUCAGAAGAAGUUGUAUCAGCCCUUAUCAGGGGUUAAGCCAGAAGACAUGAAGCAAGAAGAAUGGAACUUGCUAGAUCGACAUGCUCUUGGCGUGAUCAGAUUGACAUUAGCCAAGAAUGUCGCGUUCAACAUCAUGAACGAGAAGACUACUGCAGGCUUAAUGAAGGCAUUAUCAGAUAUGUACGAGAAGCCGUCAGCAGCCAACAAAGUAUACUUGAUGCGCCGGUUGUUCAACCUCAAGAUGGGAGAAGGUAUCUCUGUAACUGAUCAUAUUAAUGAGUUUAAUACUAUUCUUGCCCAAUUGGAAUCUGUGCAUAUUAAAUUUGAGGAUGAGGUGAAGGCAUUGAUUUUAUUGUCAUCACUACCGGAUAGUUGGGCUGCAACUGUUACUGCAGUUAGUAGUUCUACAAGGGAGAACACAUUAAAGCUUAGUGACAUUCGUGACUUGAUCUUGAGCGAAGAUGUUCGCAAGAGAGAUUCAGGAGAAUCUUCCAGUCAUGUUUCCAAUUCAGCAUUGAAUACUGAAGGCAAAGGAAGGACUACCCAGAAGGGUCAGAAUGGUCGAGGCAGAUCAAAGUCAAGAGGGAAAGGUCAGAGAAAAUUUCAAAGUGACGUUACUUGUUGGAAUUGUGACAAGAGAGGUCACUUUAGCAAUCAGUGCAAGGCACCAAAGAAGAACAAGUCGCACAAAAACAAGAAGCGCGAUGAUGAUGAAUCCGCAAAUGCAGCAACUGAUGAACUUGAUGAUGCAUUAAUUUGCAGUUUGGAUAGUCCUGUUGAUUCAUGGAUCAUGGACUCAGGUGCGUCGUUCCACACUACUCCCUCUAAAGAUUUAUUGUCUAACUAUGUUUCUGGAAGAUUUGGAAAAGUUUACCUUGCAGAUGGAAAAUCUCUUGACAUUGUCGGAAGAGGUGAUAUCAACAUCAAGACCUCCAGUGGAUCCCUAUGGACAUUGCACAAUGUCAGACAUAUUCCUGCCUUAAAGAGAAAUUUAAUAUCUAUAGGGCAGUUGGAUGAUGAGGGACAUCACACCACUUUUGGAGAUGGAGCUUGGAAGGUAACAAAAGGCAAUCUCAUUGUGGCUCGUGGAAAGAAGCGAGGAUCUCUUUACAUGAUUGCAAAUGAGGAUAUGGUAGCAGUUACUGAGGCUGUCAAUAAUUCAACCAUGUGGCAUCAAAGACUUGGACAUAUGAGUGAAAAAGGAAUGAAGCUUAUGGCGGCAAAGGGUAAGCUAUCAAGCCUCAAGCAUGUAGAUGUUGGUGCUUGUGAACAUUGUAUCCUUGGAAAGCAGAAAAAGGUCAGUUUCUCAAGGGCAGGGAAGACUCUGAAAGCUGAAAAGCUAGAAUUGGUGCACAUAGAUGUUUGGGGGCCAGCCCCAGUGAAAUCUGUUGGAAACUCACGCUAUUAUGUCACCUUUAUCGACGACUCUACCAGAAAGGUAUGGGUUUAUUUUCUUAAAAAUAAAUCUGAUGUGUUUUCUGUGUUUAAAAGGUGGAAAGCAGAAGUUGAAAAUCAAACAGGUCUAAAGGUUAAAAGUCUGAAAUCUGACAAUGGUGGGGAGUAUGAUAGUCAGGAGUUUAAAGACUUCUGUUCAGAACAUGGGAUCAGAAUGAUCAAGACAAUACUAGGAACACCUGAGCAAAACGGUGUUGCAUAAAGGAUGAAUAGAACCUUGAAUGAGAGAGCAAGGUGUAUGUGGAUCCAAUCUGGCUUGCCUAAAGCAUUCUGGGCAGAAGCAAUAAACACAGCAGCAUAUCUCAUCAAUAGAGGACCAUCAGUUCCUUUGAAUUAUCAGUUGCCUGAAGAAGUAUGGUCUGGAAAGGAGGUAAAACUUUCACAUUUGAGAAUUUUUGGUUGUGUUUCAUAUAUACUGACAAACUCUAAUAGUAGAGAUAAAUUGGAUCCGAAGGCGAGGAAGUGUUAUUUUAUUGGUUAUGGAUCUGACAUGUAUGGCUACAGGUUUUGGGAUGACCAAACCAAGAAAGUUAUCAGAAGCAGAAAUGUUACUUUUAAUGAGAACUUAUUUUAUAAGGACAAAUUUUCUGCAGAAUCUACAUGUGCAGGUAAACUGUCAGAAAUUUCUGAGAAAGCAACACUUGAAGAAAUUUCAGAAAGUGAUGUAGCCAACAGAAACCAGAGUACAGGCGUAGAGGUUGAGUCAGAACCAGAACCAUCAACUCCUCCAAGAAAAUCUAGCAGAAUUUCAGUACCACUAGAUAGGUAUUCCCCUUCAUUGCAUUAUUUGUUGUUAACUGAUGCUGAUGAGCCAGAAUGUUUCAAUGAGGCUACACAGGGGAAUGACACUAUUGAGUGGGAGCUAGCGAUGAAAGAUGAGAUGACAUCCCUUCAGAAGAAUAAGACGUGGUCUUUAACUAAAUUGCCAGAAGGAAAGAAGGCGUUACAGAAUAGGUGGGUCUAUAGGCUAAAGGAAGAAUCUGACGGUAGAAGAAGAUACAAGGCGAGACUUAUGGUGAAAGGGUUUCAGCAGAAACAAGGAAUUGAUUUCACAGAGAUCUUCUCUCCAGUUGUAAAGAUGACUACCAUCAGAGUUAUUCUGAGCAUAGUAGCUGCAGAGAAUCUUCACUUGGAGCAGUUAGAUGUUAAAACUGCAUUCUUGCAUGGGGAUUUAGAGGAAGACAUCUAUAUGACCCAACCAAAAGGUUUUGAAGUGCCAAGCAAGGAGAAUCUUGUAUGCAAGCUUCACAAAAGUUUGUAUGGCUUGAAACAAGCACCGAGGCAGUGGUACAAGAAGUUUAAUGAGUUUAUGAGCAACUCAGGAUUCAAAAGAUGUGACAUGGACCAUUGCUGCUAUGUUAAAAAAUAUACUAAUAGUUAUGUUAUCCUUGUUGUGUAUGUUGAUGACAUGUUGAUUGCAGGAUCUAGUAUGGCAGAAAUUAACAGGUUGAAGCAGCAGUUGGCAGAAAACUUUGAAAUGAAGGAUCUUGGUCCAGCUAAACAAAUCCUUGGUAUGAGAAUUCUUAGAAACAAAUCAGAAGGAAUUUUGAAGCUGUCUCAGGAGAAAUAUAUACCCAAGUUGCUUGACAAGUUUUACCUUGGAGAUUCUAAGACCAGGAAUACCCCUUUGGGAUCUCAUUUGAAGUUUUCAAAGAAGCAAUCUUUGCAAACAAAUGAAGAAAAAUGUUACAUGUCAAGAGUACCAUAUGCAUCAGAAGUUGGGAGUUUGAUGUAUGCUAUGGUGUGUACCAGACCUGACAUAGCACAUGCAGUGGGAGUUGUCAGUAGGUUCCUAUCAAAUCCAGCAAAAGAGCAUUGGGAAGGUGUAAAGUGGAUACUCAGAUAUAUGAAGGGUACUUCAGAGAUGUGUUUGUGCUUCAGAAAAGGCAAUCUCACUUUACAGGGAUUUUCAGAUGCAGACUUGGGAGGAGAUUUUGAUACCAAGAAGAGCACCACAGGCUACAUUUUUACCUUGGGAGGUACUGCUGUGAGUUAGAAGUCUAAACUUCAAGAUAGAGUUGCUCUCUCAACCACGAAAGCCGAGUACAUAGCUAUCUCAGAAGCAGCUAAGGAGAUGAUUUGGCUAAAGAAUUUUCUCAAUGAAUUGGGGAAAGAACAAGAUAAUGCUCCAAUGUUUAGUUACAGUCAAAGUGCUAUAAGUCUUGCUAAGAAUCCAGUCUUCCAUUCUAGAUACAAGCAUAUUCAAUUAAGAUACCAUUUUAUCAGGGAGUUGAUAAAUGAUGGAAACUUAUCUUUAUUGAAGAUCUUAGGAUCAGAGAAUCCAGCAGAUAUGUUGACUAAAGCUGUUACAACUGACAAACUGAGGCUUUGCAUUGCCUCAGUUGGCCUUCAAGGAUAAUUGAAGAUGAAGGCGCUGCACUAGGUAAAGAGUCGAUGAACUCGUUGCUUACAAGGAGCUGCUAGAGUUUGGAACUUAGACCCCAAGUGGGAGAAUUGUUAGAGUUUGUUAUCUUAGUUCCUUUGUCCCACAUCGCUUGGUCUGUAAAACUUGUGUAGGCUUAGUCCCACAUCGCUUGGUUUGUAAAAACUUGUGUCUCACUAGUGUUAUAUAUAGAGACACCUUGUAAGCUUUUAUGUGCAAGUAAUAAAAGUUCUCCUAGUGUAGCCGUGGACGUAGGCACAUACAUUGUGUGCUGAACCACGUUAAACUGUGUGUCUUUUUCUUUCUUCCCUUUAUUUCUUUCUCUUCUUUUAUUGCUCUAUACUAACACUUGAUCCGUAAGCCAAACUUGAUCCGUAGAAGUAAAAUCAACAUACGGAUCAAGUUAAUCCGUGGAAGACUGACGGAUCAACUUGAUCCGUGGAAAACUCGCGGAUCAACUUGAUUUGCACUUGGUUCACGAGUCUUCCACGGAUCAACUUGAUCCGCACAAGGAAAAAAAGGACAUUUUUGGAAUUUUUAAAGGAUGCUGAGUGCACCAACAAUAACGCUGGGUGCACCUAACAACACCCUUUCCUUUUUCUUGAUCACUUCCUUUUUCCCAUUUAUUUUCCCGACACACAAUUUUAGUACUACACAUCCUACAUGCACCAUCUAAAGACUCACUCACAAAUCCAGUCUAAUUAAGGACAAGUUAAUACGGAGAAAUUAAUUAGUUCUCUACUACUACUGUAUAUUUAUAAUAUUGAUCAAUCUUUACCUAACAUGAUACGUAUUUAAGUUUUUUAAUUUAAGAAAAAAAUAAUAAUGCUAAAUUGUAGACACUCUUAGAUUGUUUGAUAAUUUUUUCUCUCAAAAAAUUAUUAGAUAUCCAAAACCAUCAUAGACUCUAUUAACAUAAUAUACAAUGCCACUUAAAAAAAACAUAAUAUACAAGGCUAUUAGUUUUUUUUUAUUAAUUAAAAAACUUGAAUAUUUUUUUUAUCGACAAAUAUUCUUUGUUAAUAGAAAAGAUCAGAUUUUAUGAUUUUUUUUCUUUUUCCUUCUCCUAUAAUCAUGUAAUUUACCUUAUAUUUCCGAAAAAUCUGAAAAGGUAUCAUACAAAUUGAUUCAGGCUAUAGAGAUGUAGUGAUCCGAAACUACUUAAUAUAUAGUUUCUUCCACACUCACGGCACUCAAAUAUUUCAUUUCCUCACACAUAGACUGCACCUCCCCCCUCACACACUCACACACUCACUCAUUCACAACACCACACUGACUUAUUCAUAUUCAUCCGUCACAUGAAAGGCCAUGGCAAGCACACACACAAGUUACAAAGCAAAUCCAAACUCUUCAGUGAUGAACCUUAUUUGCACCAUGCAACCAUAAUAUCCACCCAUCAUAGAUCUUAUAGACAAUUGCAUAUAUAGCCAUCAAAGCUUUUCCCAACCAUUGAACUUCUCAACCGAGUCUUCAAAGCUUUUUCCAACCAUUGAACUUCUCAACCAAGUCUUCAAACCUUCACGUGAAUCUGUCAUCAAGACAGCCCCUAAAUUAAGCUUGAGCCGUCUGUGUCAUACACGUAUAAGAGGUCACGCAUGGUUUACAUCAAGAAAAGAAGCUAUCAUAAAGAUAUUAAUUCUAUUUUUUGUUGUUGAAUAAGUCUAGGGUAUAAUAUAUUUUUUAUUUCUCAAAAUAGUUGAGAACGAUAGUUUUGAAAUAUUUUAAAGGAUAAAAACAUAUUUUACCUAGAAUUCUAUUUGUAUUUUAUUUCUUGCUUAGUUUUCGUGGUAAAGGCGUAAGGCAUAGCCGCAUGGAUAUGAACUUAUCAUAGGGCUCCAUUGAAUCAAAUCAGUUUAAACUUAAAGCUUUUGAAAAUCAUUAUUAAAAAAAAAUGAACUUUUGAGGACACCAAAAUUACGUCACUGAAAGAGAAUAAUGACUUCUUCUUCUUCUUUUUUUUCCUGUUGUAAACUUAGGAGUUUCAAAACCCAAGUUCCAAAUUUGCAAUGGUUUCUUGUUUUUGGUUCGUAAGUGGAUUACAAAAAUUUCAUUUUAACGAAAACUUUUGGAUUAUUUUAAUAUUAUGCGCUAGUUGUAAUUAAAAGUCAUUAGGAUUGUUUUAGAAAACUAAGAAUAAAUCUAUAAUUAAUUUCUCUUAUCUUUUCAAAAUACUCAUUAGUUUUUUUUUAAAAAAAAACCAACACAGAAUAGUAUUUUUUUAGCCAUAAAAAAAAUAAGGGAACGAAAGACUGAGGGAAGAAAGCCAAUUUAAUUAAAAAAAUAGAAAAUGAAUUUUUUUUUAAAAACACAAGAAAAUAUUGGGCCAGGAAAUAAAUAUGAAUUAUAAUAAUCAAGAGCGUCAUGCAUGCUUAGUAGCUUUCUGUGCAUUAAAGAACUCUAGAGAAAUUAUGUGUUAUGAUCUAUUCUUACAAAAACAUAUGCCAUAGCCUGUGAACUGGAUCCGUGUUCAUGAUCUCUUGUAUAUGCUUUUGUUCUUUAAUUGUUAAUAAUUAAGAACACAUGCCGUAGUGCAAGUUUAAAUCACGAAGAGUUAUGGAUACCCAUAAUUUUUUAAGGGAUAUAAAAUAAACUAUCCUUUUUGUUAUUGUAAUUUAAAAAUUUAAAGACCUUCUAAUUCACCUCAUAAUCAGUUUCAAGUCCAACCAAUUCUAUUCAUCCAUGCUUCACUCAGGUUCUUUUGAGACCUUUUAAAAAAAAGAAAAAGGACAUGAUGAGGCCCUUAUUUAGAUGUAAUAGAGGUGUUUAUAUAAAAUUAAGAAGAAGAAAAAAGAUCGUCAGCAACAAAUUGAAAUGAAUGUGUAUGCAAAGUUAAAACCUAAAAGGUUAAUCGAUCAAUGAUGGAACACCCAAAUAGUCAUGUUUUAGUUUCUCCCAAGCUCCAAAGGGGAAAAGCGUUUGGUAAAAUCAGUCAAAUAAGUUAGUUGAUAAAUAUAAAUUAACACAAAAAAAUAUAUGUAAUUAUUUGAGUUAAAAAGUGAUUAAAAAACGAGUGAGAAAAAAAGAAAGCUACAAACUUAUAAACUAGAGCUUAUUUUCGUAAGUUAAUUGAUACAGUUUAUGAAAAUAAACUCCAAGUUAAUAUAAUAAACUGUACUAAAUAAACUUAUAAGUUGAUUAAAGUAAUUUGUAAACUAUUAGAGUAUCAUACGAAAACAUUUAGUAUUCGUUCAGAGUCGCAAGUUGCUAGUUUUGGAACUUGUAUUUAGAAGUUUCUCUCGGUGCUUUAAAAAUUUGGAGGUAUUUAUGGUCUUAGCUGGAUUCAGACUGUUAACUUCAUAUUAAUUUUUGCUUAGAAAAAUUUACAAUAGUUGCAUGUUGUUCCUUUCCGAUAUUUCAUUUUUGUCAUAUAAUUAGUUAAACUAGCUUAACUAUAAGCUACUAAAGUGUCUUAUUGAGGGUUUUCUCCUUGCUGCACCGUUAGGGUUUUUUUAUUGAUCCCAAGGCUUGUAUGCUUGUUUUUCCCUUGUGGUUGUCGCUCUACUUAGGGUGAUUUGCUGUCCCAAUGUGACACCUUUUAUUCUUAUAUACAUAUUUAUAUAAUAAAAUACAUGAAAAUGUGGAAUUACAUAAAAUAAUUUUAUUCAAUAAACAUAAAAGAACUCACGUGAAUAAAAGGUUCACAUUUCGGUUAAUCACCAAAUUAAAAACUUAUCAAUUAAGAGUAUGAAAAUAUUUUCGACUCAAAACAACGUCGUUCAAGUUUACAAAAGAACAUAAGUUAAGUAGCAUAAUAAAAUAAAGUAAUAUGAUGACAUGUUUGGAACAUUAUGCAAUUAAAACAGAAACUCAUGCCUUAAUGUCACAUCCUAUCAGAGCAUUAUGUCUUGACGUCCUCCAACACGAGGUUCCUUAAAGCAAUCCACCUUGUCAUAUGCUCCAACGAACACAAGUUUCGAGAUCAUCACAAGAUCCAAAUACAAACAACACACAUGGAGCGAGAAGUGAAUUGUCACAUUUCUAAACAGGUAGAGAUAAACGAAUAUAUAUAUAUAUAUAUAUAUAUAUAUAUAUAUAUAUAUAUAUAUAUAUAUAUAUAACAAGCUCAACUUAGAACAAUUCACAUCAUUUUACCACUCAUUGUGUAUCAUCACUUUUCCCAAGGAUUUAAUCACAUUUCACACCUUCACAUUAAUCGCGUGUUCAAAACAACAAAUCUCAAGUAUAACACAACAUCUCACACUCACACAAUUCAUUACCCACCAUCAUGUAGUAAGUCACAAGGAUCAUUACACAUGCGUUAUACAACAGAUACACUAAGACUCAAUCCUAUAUGCAAUAUGGUAUCAUGUCAGUGAAAAACCUCGUUAGACAUCUAAGAGUACAUGACAAGACAGAUGACACACUGGUAAGUCAGAUCACUCUCACUAGGUAAAAUAAUAGGGAGACCAGUCAGGGUCACGCUGUUUUGCGAGAAUGCUUCAAUCAUGUGGGAUCGACACAUGCUUAAAAGAGCACUCAAACUGAGUGCAUUUACCUCCAAGGCUUAGACUCCGAAGAGUCUGUCAGGUCCUCUCCCUCCUAAUUCAAGUCCAACCCAAAAAAUAUUUUAACACACAGACUCUAUCUAUGAACUAUACAAAACACACGACUCCUCAGUUGUUCUCAAAAUAAUUUUAACUCCUCGUGCCUCAAAGUGAUUCAACUCUUCAGGUUCCCACAGUGGACUCCAUCACAAUACUCGUCGCACAUUAACUUGUUGCCCUUAAAGGCUCUUACACUCGUGUGAUUUUAAGAUUCAUAGCUCACAACUCAAUGCACACAACAUCUCAAUACAUGUGUGAUCUCUCAAUUUAAUACAUACUCAACUUAUCACAUACACCNNNNNNNNNNNNNNNNNNNNNNNNNNNNNNNNNNNNNNNNNNNNNNNNNNNNNNNNNNNNNNNNNNNNNNNNNNNNNNNNNNNNNNNNNNNNNNNNNNNNAACCCAAUCUCAAUCACAAUGUUAUAAUCUCAAAGCAACAUGUUAUCACACCUCACAAAUCAUAUACACAUCACACAAUAUUAUUAUAUACAUGACACAAACACAAACUUUACCUAUAAACUAUGCAAUAUACAUAACUACUCAAUUGUUUUCAUAAUCAUUUUAACUCGUCUUGUCUCAAAGUGAUUCAACUCGUUGGGUUCUCACACGGAUCCCAUCACAAUACUCGUUGCGAAAAAACUCGUUACCCUUAAAGGGUCUUACAAUUGUGUGAUUGCACAACUCAUAUCACAACUCAAUACAUACAAUAUCUCAAUAGACAUGUAUCUCACAAUUCAUCACAUAUUCAAUUUAUCACUUACACGCAAUUUCAUGAUCCCAAUAUAACAAUUUAUCAUGCUAAUCUAGUAAAUCUUGUCCGAAACACAAACAAAUUAUACAAAAAAAUGUUUCUCACAACAUAGGGAGUAAAACCCCUUAAACAAUUUCACAUAAUCAUAUCAAAAUAAAAUAAUCAAAAUCAUAGGUCAAAAACACACGAACACUAAGAGCACUCAAUUUCAUCAACCAAUUCGCAUCAGGGCAUCAAUUGGUCUGUCAAACAAAACAAUCUCAUAAUUAUAAUCGUAAAGGAAGAAUUACAAUACAAUAAACAUCUCAAAAUAAACUAUAAUUUGAUCCUCUAAGGAUCCCUACACAUGUUCAUUCUAACCCCAAUUGCGAUAAACUCAUCUCUUACCUCUAAACGGGCUCACAUGUGUAGUUCGACAAUGAUAGUGGCAUCUCUAUUGGUUCCAUAAGAUUUCUAAAGCUUUUCUUCUGGUUGCUCUGCUAGGGUUUCCAAGCAUUAGAGAGAAGGAGAAGGGAUUGGAACCUCAAUUUUACUGUCUCCAUGUGAGGGGAAUUUCUCUCUCUACAAACAUUAUUUCACAAAACCCAAUGGUGAGAAUGUGUAAAAAUGUGUUUCAAAGGUGGUCUCCAUAUUUUACAAUGAUUCAAUGGUUAAUGAGUCUGAAAUUGUAGUUGUACGAGGACAUGUUUGAAUGUAUGUAGGAAAAAGAGAGGAUUUUGAGAGAGGAAGAAGGGAAAACGAACUUGAGAAGAGAAGGCAUAGAGACGUAAAUGUAAGAAAUGACCUAACAUGUUUUUAUUUAUAACUAGGGUACUCUCAACCUAUUAUUUACUCUAUUUUUAUUUAUUUUAUAAAAAAAACUUUAUUUCACUCUUUCAUUGAAUAGAUAACCAAUUAAAAUAUCCAUUUAUUUUCUAAAACAUCAUUUUACUCUAUUUAUUUUCUAAUACUAUGAAACCCUUAUUUUAAUUAACAAAAACUUUUUUCUCUCAUUUAUUUAAUUUUUAAAAACUCUAUUAAUUUUUAAAUAAAACUCUUUUUAUUUAUUUGACGAAAAUCUGGUGUUACGCCUAAUAUAAUAUUUAUGCCUAUUUGGUACUUACCAAAACAACGUCGAAUGGAUCAUGGAAAUAACCUUGACCUCGCUGAUGAGGAAAAGGAAAUAAUAGAGUUGUCAAAACCGAAGGAAACAAGUCAACUGGGUAAGGUGGAUGUGGAAGGCAAUUAGACGGUCUUCAUCUUACAAGAGAUUUUAUGGAGUUGAAUUAGGUUAAAAAGCCCAAAUUCUAGAAAAUUUCCAUAAAAAUCAUGUUUUCGAUAUCAAAUAUUGUAAAAAAAUAGUUAAAACAACUAUGUAUGCAUUUUGUUCUCUUCUGAACAUACAUAAACAACAUUUUCCAGUUUAAAACAAGAUGUUGUCAUGUGAUAUGUGAGGAAGGAGAAAUUACAAAUAGUUUAAACAACUGUGCAUUUUGUUCUCUUCUGAAUACACAUAACCACCAUGAUUUUAAAUUGCAAUUGCGGUUGUAGUUGAAGUUCAGUUGCAAUUGUGGUGUGUCACAAAAUUUUUAUAUUAUGGGAAAGUGUGACUUAUGCAGUCACAAUAUGAUUAUGGAAAGUCAAAAUAUCUUGACGUUGCGACCACAAUUGUGGUUGUGGACCACUAUUUAAAAUCAUAAUAAACACCAUCUUAAGGCUCAAAAACAAGGAGGAAUUAUUAAGUAGUCGUGUAUUCAAGUUUUUCAAUUUACAAAAAAAAAAAAAAGAUUAAUAACAGUCAACUACACGUUACAUGAUGAGGCUAACCAGGGAGGCAGUGUUGCACUGGUGAGGAGAGUUGCGUUAGGGUUUCAAAUGAGAGACAAAAGGGGUUCUGCACUUGCAAACACGUAGUAAAUGAAUGACCAGAGAACGCAUAGUAAAUGUUCUAUCCUUUGUAACGAUAAUAGUCCAUUUAGUGUUUGUUAAUACAUUUUACAAGUAGAUAUAAAAUAUAAAAAAAAUUAACACUAUCUUGUGCAUUAUAAAAAUAUUUAUAGAAACAUAUAAAGUAUAUAUAAAAAAAUAAUAUUAUAAUAAUGUUAAAGAAAAUAUAUUUUAUUCAUAAAAAAUAAAAUGUAAAAAAUGCAGAAUUUGAAACUUCAUCUUCUUUAAAUUUCAAUCUCAUAUUUAUAUAAACUUUUUUUUCUUCUUCUAAAAACAAGAUAUUCCCAUGAUGAGAAGUUACUACAUUAAUUCUAUAAAUUAGUUAAGAGAUAAUUUCUCUUUUCACACAUAUCAUUUUAUUUAUAAAGAAAUCAAACCACUCGUAUAUUUAAAAGAGUAAAAAUUACUAGUGGCUACAUCCCAUGAGUAAACUAAAAUUAGCUUAGCUAUAAGUUAAGUAAACUUUUACAGGAACUAAUAUAAAAGAAAUUUUAUGAAUUGACUUAAAAAUAAUUAAAAUUUAAAAAAAAAUAUUUUAUUUUAUUUUUCUAAUUUUUAAUAUUAUUUUUAUUUUUAUUUAUAAGUCUCGAAAAUUAAAUUUAUUAUUUUUAUUAAGAUUCAAUUUAUUAUAUUUAUUGUAUUAAUUAUUUUUAAAUUAAAAUAUUCCUAAUUAAAUAAGAGAAAUAUUACAGUGAUAAAUACUUUAUUUAGAAGAGAAAAAAAAUUAUCGUAAUACAUAUGCCUUUUAAAUAACUUUUUACAUUUUAAGAAACGAAUCUCUAAUUUUCAGUCAAAGUUACCUAAAAAAAAAGAAAAGAGAAGAAAAUCCCUUAUUAAAUUAAUUAACAUUGACAAUGGCAUUUCAUUGUGGUAGAAAAAGUUCCCUUAAAUAAUAAAUGAGUACUUGAUCUACAUUUUCUCUCUCUUCAUUCUCCAACAUCUACGUUAUCUCCUCCAAUUCUUUAAAAUAUUUAUAGAAACAUAUAAAGUAUAUAUAAAAAAAUAAUAUUAUAAUAAUGUUAAAGAAAAUAUAUUUUAUUCAUAAAAAAUAAAAUGUAAAAAAUGCAGAAUUUGAAACUCUUCUUUAAAUUUCAAUCUCACAUUGUAAAAAAUGCUGAAUUUGAAACUCUUCUUUAAAAAAGUUUACAUAUAAAGUUUUUAUUUUAUUUUCAAAUGAACUAAUAUGCAAUAAUUUAUAUAAAUAUGUGUUAUAUUUAAAUGAUAAUCAUGAAAUAAUAAAAUUAAAAUUACAGAAUUUCUUUUAAAAAUUUAGUUUAAUUUUUAAAUGUUUACCUUUUGAAUUUGUUAUUGUUUAUUAAUUAUUACAUUUUUUAAAUUAAAACAUAAUUAAUAACUCAAUAUAUUAUUUUUAAAUAUAUAUAUAUAUAUAUAUAUAUAUAUAUAUAUAUAAUUAAAGAAAAAGAGUUGAUAUUAACCUCGGUUCUUUGAAAAUCGAUGUCGUUAAGCACUUUUUAACAUUGGUUAUUUGAAAACCGAUGUUGUAAGUGUUUAACGACAUCGGUUUUCAAAUAACCGAUGUUCAUGGGACGAUGUUAAAACUCAUUUUUUUAGUAGUGAGGGAUUGUAAUGAUCUCAUACCUUCUAAUAAUUUCUUUGCUACAAAGUUGUUUGGAGUUUGGAUGUUUAUGGCAAAGUAUGUGAAAAGGCACCUAAUGGCCUUUUAAGUUGGCAUUUUCACUUUAAAUUAUUGGUUGAGAGACAAACCCACUAACUAAAUAUUUGCAAGCAAUGAAGAAAAAGAAUAACAAUAUCCUCCGACCUUAUGUGUUUAAUAGAGGUUAAUAACUAACAUAGGCAUAAUAACAUUAUCAAUCAAUGUAGAAAAAGCAUUAAUACAUGCAGCAAUAAUUCUCACUGAUAAAUGAGAAUGCAAAUGUUACAGUGAAAGAUUUAAAAGAACAAUUAGCAACCUUGCUAUGAUACUAAGUGCAGGUUUGAAUUAAAGAAGAGUACAAAAGCCUAUUGAGAGAGGAAUGAUCUCUGAGUUGUCGCUGUUUUCGGGUUAAGCAUGGGAAUGAGUAUGUUGGAGUUGAAGUUGGCUUCGGUGGAUUUUCAAACAAGAGCCUUCGAUAUUUCGGUGUGACAAAUGGUAGAUGAGGUUGUUGCUCGAGACUCAAGAGGGGACAGAUAGGAAGAUGAGGUUCUUGCUUUCAUUUCAGUCUCUGUUGCAAUACUCUAAUUAUAGUCCCUAAUGAUUUGGCAUCUUAGUUGCCAGCCGCAUGUGUCAUGGGUAUGCCAAAUAGGCACUUAGCGUGUCACAUAACACAAAUGUUAUUGUAUGUUGUGCAGUCAAAGGGGAAUAAACAUCGAGAAAAUUUACACUAAUGGAUCAUCAAAUAAACACAUAAGUGAAUCUACACCACAUUUUAAUCCAAUGUGUGACUUCACCUUACACUUAAUUGUUGGAUUGAGGAGCGAGAUGGUUUGCACUUCCAAGGAUUAUUUUUUUAAUUUUAAAGUGUUACACACUUUUAGGGACCAAAAUGAUAUUUAACCCUAUAUUUUGAGUAAUACUUGUAUCUGAAUCUGUAUAACUAAAUAUGUCUUGUCAUAUAAGAUUCUUAAAUUUACUUUAGUAGGCAAACUGGAUAAGAUUAUUGCUAAAAUAAAAGCAACAAAAAUGGUGAAACCUAAUUGUUCAGCAUUUUCAGAGGAACCUGUGAAGGCACUCAUCUUGUUGACAUAGGCUUUGUACUCUGGACUCAUCUUUUGAAACGUUAUUAUGUCACAUGCUACUAAUUAAGUUGAAAAAACAAAGUACAUUGUUUUAGAAGCUAAAGAAGAGUUAUUUAAAAUUUGUAGUGAAAAUGUAGUGUGAAAAGCUAUUUGCAAUUUGCUUCAUUAAUAAAGUGGACAACUCAAUUGUUGAUUUCGUUACUAAAUUUCAAUGGUUUUGGUUGAAUAAGGAAUUCAGUGGACUGAGAAGUUGUGCUUAAGAGGAAGAGAGUGUUUGGAUACAUGUUUUGAAAUGGGAAAGAAUGAUUAAAAGAGAUAGAAAUUAGCUUGUCCAACAAUGCUAUUCUAUUGAUAUUUUCUUCAUACCAUUUAUCUUAGAAGACAAAUGAUUCCUUUUUAUAUUUUUUUCUAUUGCCUUCCUUUCCAUGAUCUUUUUUGUUUUAACCAUUAACUGAGUUGGAAUAGUAGUAAAAUCAUGUAGAUAUUUGUUUUCAUUUGGUGGGGGCGAUAUGAAUGAGAAAAAUCCAUACAACCAAACAAAGUUGGGGCUCAGAAGAAAGAGAAACAUCCCUCCCUUAAAGAAUAACUAAGUUAGAUUUCUUAGGAAAAUUUGUUGAUACUAACAUCUUGUAUACAAAUUUCUAUACCACUUUCAUUUUAAACACUAUUAGUUCCUCAGUCAUGAACUUUCUAUAUUGAAAAUUUGUCGUCUAUUUCUUUUACAGGCAGUGGCUUAGCUUUUCAUAUUUUGCCAGAUUAAAUUAUGAGUUACUCUUUGAACUUUUUAUGCAAUACUUGACUAUUGAUUUUUUCUUAUAGUUGUCAUCUCAUGCAAUGCACUUUUAAGAUAAGGUUACAUUGUUUGGUCGAGAGCAACAAUUUACUUAUGACCAUUAUAUAUUCAAAAUGUAUGCUUGGCCAUUAAUCAACCAACCAUGAUAAGCCCCAUCAUCCACCACCCCUUCUAUACCAUAGGCACAUUUUGCUUAUCUACUUUGCUACUGUUACUUUUAAACAAGUCAAACAAAUAAUAUGGUUUUAAAUCGUAGUUGUGAUUACAGAUGUGAUGAGUCAGAAAAGCUUUACAUUGUGCAAAAAUACGACUGAUGCGAUCAUAAUUACGAUUGCGGUGAUAUGAAAAACCUUAACAUUCUGGUCACAAUUAUGAUUAUAGACUGCAAUUUAAUAUGUAUUACUUAAGCUAAUGAACAUGUUGAGUGUUAGUUGAUAUGGUUCUCUAUAUCUUUUUUCCAAUACAAAUUCACCUUUAAAAUAUAAAACAUUACUGUAACAAAGGGACAAAGACAAAGGGUGCCACUUAACCCAUACAUGGGAAAUGAUGGUCAUAAAAUAUGUUAGGCCAAAAUGCAAACUACACAAAAAUAACAUCAACUCCACCAUAGUCACACAUUUAUGUUCUUCCAAGAAAGAGAUAACAUAAUGAAGCCUCCUCCAAGUGUCACCUCUACAUGGUACCUAACGAUAAGGUUACCAUUCAAUUUUUUCCCUUACUCGUGUGGCCAAUAUGUUGAAAUGUCAUCACUUAUACAAUCAAUGGUUGUAACUUCACAGCAACCGAUCCUCUUCAUUUCACACCAUUGGAUGAGUACUACAAAAAUGACACCCUUAAAUAUAGCAAGUUUGAGUAGAAUCUAGCAGCUGAAGCAAAAGUAAUUUAGAGAAAAGAAGGAAAUGGCUUCCUCACCGAUCUCCUCCCCAGUAGUUACCAUCAUUAACCGUGUCGGUGUCAGCAUGGUUGCCCCUUUCACUGGCCUCAAAUCCAUGGCUGGCAUCCCUACCAGGAAGACCAACAGUGACAUUACCUCCAUUGCUACCAAUGGUGGAAGAGUAUAAUGCAUGCAGGUAAGACAAUUCCAAACAUACAAACACAAAAGGCACCAAAAUGAUUAUAAUUGAUGUUACAUAUUUAUGUAUGCUACAAAAUGUUACUUAAAUUAACAUGAUAGUUAUAGGAAAAUAUGCUCAUGUGCAAGUUUGUUAACUCAAUUUUCAUGUAAAUUAAUUACUAGGUGUGGCCUCCAGUUGGCAAGAAGAAGUUUGGGACUUUUUCCUACCUGCCAGACCUUGAUGAUGCCCAAUUGGCUAAGGAAGUAUAAUAC
Molecule: long non-coding RNA, 91492 nt
Filed under: Glycine max (soybean)
Lineage: Eukaryota; Viridiplantae; Streptophyta; Magnoliopsida; Fabales; Fabaceae
Description: long non-coding RNA (GMAX_LNC004309)
Source: RNAcentral